RNAcentral lists this long non-coding RNA (89696 nucleotides) under Zostera marina. Its description in RNAcentral is "long non-coding RNA (ZMAR_LNC003293)". Lineage: Eukaryota; Viridiplantae; Streptophyta; Magnoliopsida; Alismatales; Zosteraceae. The record is from RNAcentral.
GUCCGGAAGGUAAUAUUCUUGACAAACAAACAAUAUUAAUCAAUUCAUUAAAUUUCAAUUUAUCUCUGUAAUUUGAAUUUUAUUUAUUUAUACGAUGGUCAAUUUUAUUUAUUAAUUUUUGAAAAUAGAAAUAGAAACAAUUAUAAGUAAAUUAUAAUAGACGACUAGACCACAGCCCAUAUGUAGGUAAAACGUUGCAGAUGAACAUUGCUUAAUUGGCAUUGCCGUACCCAGAACCCGAUCCACUUCCAUAUCCGGAAGCACUACCGUUUCCUUUACUUGAAGCACUUCCACUGCCACCACCUCCACCACUUCCGCUCGCACUGGUGUAACCAUUGUACGCUGAAGUGGAGGCAGAUCCUGAUCCACGACCAGAACCAGAUCCGUUUCCACUUCCAUUUCCAUUACUGGAUCCACCUCCACCGCCACCUCCGUUUCCACCUGCAUUUGUGUAACCGCCUCCGUAGUAACCGCCAGAAUUGUAUCCAGAUCCACUACCAGAUCCAUUACCAUACCCAGUUGCACUUCCAUCCCCUUGGGAUGAAGCUCCACCUCUUCCGUUUCCAUCUCCAUAUCCGCCAGCACCACCACCAUUAUAAUAAUAAUAAGGAUAAUCAUCCUUGUAUGAGUCGCCGUCUCCAUAACCCGAACCUGAUCCAUAAGCACGUGCAGAUCCAUCGCCAUUGCUAGAGGCCCUACCACCCCCGCUUCCAUUCCCAGAACCUCUAGCAUACGAAGUUAAGACUCUCGAUGCAGAGGCCAUGCUAACACAAAGAAUCAUGACCGCAAGGGCAGCGACAUUCACAGUAGAAGAACGAGCCAUAUUGGCUAUAGCAAGUUGAUUUCGAUAUGAAAAAAAGAAACAAUUUGGAAUAAGAAAUGAAGUAAUUUGAUAUGAUAUGAUUUGCAUGAUUGGUUGGUAUUUAUAGACAUCGUUGUGUUGCAGAAUUCAAUUGCCAGCAUUAAUUUCCAGCUAGUUAUCUAUUUUUUACAUUUCCUAUUCUGAAUUCUUCGUCAAUUUCACUUCAAUAACAAACUUCUUGCAUUCUUUAUUGAAUUCAGAGAGGAAAUGAAGAUAUAUAUGUUGAAAAAAUGAAAUCCCAUGAUUGAAGUAAUUGACUUAUGAUUAGGCUUAAUUACCAUUCCAUAAUUAAUUCAAACCUUUGACACAUUUGUUAAUUAAUUACUUGAAUAUUCUAAUUACAACUGGUGGUUUGUUCAUUUAAUUUUAUUUCUUUGACUUUUGUUAGCCAAAGAAAGGAUCAAUGCUAUAAACACACUCCUAUAUUAAUUAAUUAGUCCUUGAUUCAAAGCUUAAUUUGCCUCGAUUAACUAUUUCCAUUUUUUACAACUUGACAAUUAAGUAGAUUAUUUGAUUUCUUCAACCCAAUCUUGUUAGAGAAUGUAUGCUUUCUACAUACUCCAUCUCCGACCCAAUCUGGAGACCAUUUAGAGGUUGAAUUGGAUAAACCCUAACAUGCCAUUUCUUAAUUCAAAGUUUAGAUUCAUUUAUUUAUGUCAAUUUAAUUGCAACUUGUAAACUCAUUUUGAUUUCUUUGACUUUUUUAAGCCAUAGGAUCGAUGUUAUAUAUAGAAAGAGUAAUUCUUGUAGGUUCACCCUUCUACGCGGUUUAAUUUAUGACAACUCGAUUUGGAUGACUGUAAACAACUGAAUUUAAAUGGCUAUUUAAUUUUAACAGUAGGCUAAUUUUAUUAUUCAAGGUUUUAUCUCUCUAUUUAUAAUUGUAUUGUACUUUUGGACCUUCGUAAUUCUCAUAAUUCUGAUGUCACAUAAUUCUCAUAAUUCUGAUUAUAUCGACAAAUAUUUUAUAGAUUCUUCAAUCCCAUUGUAAUUAGACUUUAUUUUGGAUUUUAGGUUUAUUGUUUGAAACCAUCUUUUUUACCUUUUUCCUUUUUACGUACUCCAUCUCCGACACAAUCUGCAGACUGCAGACCCAGGCAAUUAGUCCAUUCUAGGGGCUGAUAGUAUCAUUUUACCACAAGAGUGAGUCAAUAAAAAUAUUGAAUAGAUGUUAUCAAGGGGAGAAGUUAAUGAAAAUCAGCAAAUAGAAGAAUUGAUUGAGAAGAAUCAGAAAAUUCAUAAGAUUCAGAAGAAGAUCUACAAGAACUAGUUCAGAACAUACAAGAAUCAAAGGCAAACAUAACUCAAAAAGAUCAGUAAGAGAGUAAAAGAUUCCAAACAAGCUCAAAGAUUGUAUCUUUUAUUAAGAAGAAUUAGCUAGUAGUUAAUUAGGAGUUCAUUAGUAUAAAAAUAAAUGUAAGAACAAAUGAAUUUAUAAUCAUUUGUUUAGUUGUAUUUUUUUUAAUUCUGUACUUUAACAAAUAUCUUGAAGAUUAUAAUCACUUGUUUAGUUGUUUUUACUUUAAAAUUCAGUAAACUCUGUAAAUCCCCAUAUAUAGGGCACCAUAUGUAUUUUUACAUGAUAUGAAAUAUAUACCAGUAUGCUUUUUCCCUCCCCAAUUGAAUUCAAAUUCUGUUACAGAGAAAUUGGAUUGUUAGAGAGCCGAGUCCUAUUCAUUCAAUUCAAUCAGCCAAGCGGCUUAGUGAAAUUGGAUUGAUAGCUUGGAGUUUCUACUUGAAGAUUCUCUAGUCUAGCGUUCCAGUGUUGAAGAUUCAGUUGCAGGCUCAGAUCAUUCAGCCAUUGUCUGCAUUCCGUCUACCGAAGACAGUCUUCCCAAAUACUGCCUUCGUCUCUCUAUCUUGGAUCGAUCUCCGGUCUGUAGAUUGGAGACAAUGAUUUGGGAUCAGGUCAUUUCCUUCUUUAUUGUACUCCAAGUCGCUGCAAGUGGAGUUCCAGGAACUCCGUCAUCACGCGGAACCGCGAAGAUGGAGUUCUUGGAGGUCCGUCGUCUCCUUCCGCGAAGAUGUCUGCAAGUUGGUAUUUUGUGCCAACUUGUUUUAGAAGAAUUAUCCCCUUUUCUAUCAUUUAUCUAAUUGAGUGGCAUGUGAUUUCUAUAUGUUUGCUUCUCUCAUGAAAUACUGGGUUAUUAGGAAGAUAUAUUGCCGAUUUGUUAUCACAGUAUAAUGAGGUUGGCAUGGCUAUCUGCAAUUUUAGAUCUUUGAAAAGUUGAUGAAGCCAUAGUAUCUCACAUUGAGUUUUACUAAUGGCUCUAUAUUCAGCUUCACAUGAUGAUAGAGAAAUGGUGUCUUGCUUCUUGGAUUUCCAAGAAACUAAUGAUGUUCCUAGGAACAUACAGUACCCUGAUAGGGAUUUUCUGCUUAUUUGGCAUGAAGCCCAGUCUAAGUCACAAUAACCAUGGAGAUUCAUUUGAUUUUGAGAUUUGUAUAUUAUCCCUUGUCCAGGUGCAUUUUUAAGGUACCUUAUUACCUUGAAUAGAGCAUGGAGAUGGAUUUAAUUUGGAUUUCCCAUGAACUGGCUUAACCAGUGAACAGGAAAACUUAGGUCAGGUCUAGUGAUAUAUUUAGGUAUAUUAAUUUACCAACUAGUGACCUGUAAAGAGUUGGGUUUGUUAAAACCUUGGCAUUUUCAUUCCUUAGAUUUACACGUCUUUCCAUGGGCACCUUUGAUGGUUUUGCAUCCAUGAGUCCACUUUCUUCUAGUAUGCCAAGUGCAUACAUUCUUUGUGACAAAUAUAUGCCUUCUGAUGGGUAUGAGACUUUAAUCCCUAAGAAGUAGGACAAUCUCCCUAAAUCUUUAAUUUUGAAGUUUUUCUCAAUAUUCUUUUUAAUUAGAAAAAAUUUUGUCUCAUUAUUUCCUGUGAUGAUGAUAUCAUCAACAUAUACCAAUAGGUAUAUUAUAUUUUCAUUUUUAUUUCUAACAAACAAUGAGUAAUCAGAAGGUGUUUGGAAGAACUUCAUUUCAAGCAGUACUCCCUUUAACUUGGCAAACCAGUUUCUUGAUGCUUGUUUUAAGCCAUAUAGGGAUUUUUUUAAUUUGCAAACCCUUUUAUCUCCUUCAUGGAGGAGUCCUUGUGGUGGUUUUAAAUAUACUUCUUCAUGGAGAUGUCCAUGAAGAAAAGCAUUGUUCACAUCUAACUGGUAGAUGUUCCAUCUUUUUAUUGCUGAUAUUGCAAUAAUUGUUCUAACUGUAGUCAUUUUGACUACAGGGGCAAAAGUUUCAUAGUAGUCGAAACCCUCUUUUUGUGUGAACCCUUUUGCUACCAGUCUAGCCUUGUACCUUUCUAUUUCACCAUUGGGCUUAUAUUUGAUUUUAUAAAUCCAUUUGGACUCUACAAUCUUCCUAUCAUGAGGAAGCAUAGUCAAGGUCCAAGUGUUAUUUAAAUGGAGUGCUUCCAUUUCGUUUUUCAUUGCUUCUACCCACUUUGGGUUUUUUGAAGAUCAUUUUUUAUUUCUAGGGGGUUUUCUGAAAAUUUGCAGGAUAUAACUUGUUGCUGAAAAUUUUUCUGUAAAUUUUGCCCUCUUGUGUUUUCAGAGGUGUUAGACUGAUUUUUUGACGCCUCUGUAUUUGAUUUACUUGUUUCAUUAUUAUUCUGAAAAUUUUCAGAAUUUGUGUUAUUUUCCAAAAUUUCAGUAUUUUCAUUGUUUUCAAUGAUCUGAAUAUUUUCAGUGCUUAUAGCAUUUUGUUGGCUGUGAUUAUGCUCAACAUUGUUAUUAUUUAUGUUUUUAUUCAUAUGAUCAUUGGUGAUGCUUUCCAUAUGAUCAUGUGCUAAAUGGUUUGUUUUAUUUGAUCCAGUGUGCCCUGGAUCCAACUGAUCAUAUUCUGAUCUUCUAUCUGGACUUUUAUUUUCCAGAUUUUUAUUUUUAUCCUCUGUUCUGUUAUGAGAUUCAGAGAGUUUUUCUUUAUUUUUGUCUUGGUUAUUCAACUUAUAAUCAUACCAAGACUUAUUUGAGUCAUCAUGAUAAAAGAAAACAUUGUUAUAAAUUUUUUGAAGAUAAUCUAAUUCUUCAGUUUUUUUAGACUCAUAUUGUCUUUAAAUGAGAAUAUUGAUUCUCUGAACGAGACAUUUCUUGAAACAAUAAAUUUCAUAUCAGAAAUUCUCAAAAUAAGAUAACCUUUGAUGCCUUUGGGAUAUCCCAUAAAAAUACCUUGAAAGGCUUUGGGUGAGAAUUUAUUCUCUAUUUGAGUUGUUGAGGCAUAGCAUAAACAACCAAGUGAUUUUAGCCUUUCAAAAUCGGGGAUUUUUUUACGUAUUAUUUCAUAGGGUGUUUUGUUUUCAAUAGCUUUAGAAGGAAUUCUAUUUAUGAGGUGAGCUGCGGUUAGAAUGCAUUCUCCCCAAUAUUUUAGUGGGAUAUUUCCUUGGAAAUGUAGAGCUCUUGCAAUAUUCAAGAGUUGCCUGUGUUUUCUUUCUACUCUUGCAUUUUGUGCAGGAGUGUAAGGACAUGAGAAUUGCUGAAUUAUUCCAUGUUUUUCAGUCAUUCUCUUGAAGUUAUUGGAGGUGAAUUCACCUCCAUUGUCACUUCUAAUAAUUUUAAUUUGUGUUGUAUUGAUUUUUGACCAUCUUGUAAAAGAUUUCAAAGCAUUGUAUUGCCAUUGAUUUAUUUUUAAUCAAAUAUAUCCAUGUUCCUCUACUAAAAUCAUCUACUAUGGUUAAAAAAUAACUAUAACCAUGCAUCAUGGGAUGUUAUUGGGAACUUCCCCCAUAUGUCUAUAUGGACUAGGUCGAAAAUGUUUUUGGACUUUGAGGAACUUAUGGAAAAUUUCAGUUUGGACUGUUUUGCUAAUGGGCAUAUUUUACAAUUUUGUUAAGUUGCCUUAAUUUCAUUUAAAUCUGAAUUUUACUGGAAAAAAUUGGAAUUUUCAUCCACUAUGGAAUUUUUAUUCAAAACAGUAUUUUUAUUCAACAUUUCAUUCAAAACAGAAUUAUUAUUAUCAAUACAAUCAUUAUUCUUACAAGAAAAACUAUUACAAUCAUUCUUAGAAGUUUUAUAGCUAAUUUUAUAUUUGGUGGCUAGAAUCUUCAUUUUCUCCGAAGAGAUGUGCUCCAAUCUUUGGUGCCAUGUUCUGAAAUUUAUGACUGAAUUAGCUAAGAAAAAGUGGGGUGUGAAAAAAUAGAGUCAUCACUUGAUUCACCCUUGCCAAUCACUUUCCCGGAUUUAUUUUCCUGAAAUUUAAAACAAUGAUCAUCAAAAACUACUUUAAUGUCAUUAUCUAAGGUUAAUUUGCUUAUAGCUAUUAGAUUAACCUUAAAUUCAGGAAUUUAUAAAACGUUUUUAAGUAUUAAAUCUUCUGAGAUUUUAAUACAUCCAAUCCCUUGAACUAUUAGUGUUUUUCCACUAGGUAUAGUUACAAAAUGGUUAUGUUCUUGAAUUAGAGGUUUUGUGAAUAAAUGAAGACUACCAGUCAUGUGUUGUGAUGCACCCGAGUUUACUAUCCAUUUAUCAAUAUAUGAAUUAAUAUUGAAUGAAAAAGAAGAAAUUUUACCAGAAUUGUUGUUUGUUUUGGUUGAGGAGACUAGCUCUUUAAAAAACUGGAUUUCUUCUUGAGUUAGCAUGAGUUGUUGUUGGUUGCUAGUAGAAGCUACUUGAUUGGCUACAUCAUUAUCUGUGGUAGUGCCUUGGGUUUUCUUUCCUUGAGACUUUUUCUGAAAUUUUUCUUUUGGCCUGCCAACUAGGUGAUAGCAUUUAUCUCUUGUGUGACCAUAAUACUUGCAAUUGUCACAAUAAAACCUAGUAUCUAAUUUUUUUCCACUUUUAGAAUACAUGAUUUUUGACUUAUCCGUUGUAUUCUUAUCUUUAGUAUUUUGGCCAUAGAAAGCUGAUUCAACUUUUUCAUUUGUGUGCUCUCUAAACUUGAAUUUCUGUUUUUCCUCUUGUAUGACUAACCCAAGGAUUUUAUUCAUAUUGGGCAGUUUUUCUAGUGAUAGAAUCUGAGUUCUUAGAUUAAAAAAACUCUCAUUCAGGCCUAGUAAGAAUUGGUGAAUCAUGUCACUCUCUUCCUUUUGUAGAUAUAGCUUUUUGCAUGUUUUGCAAAAUUCUUCUUUUAUCUCAUCAAUUUGGACUAAUUGGUCCCAAAUUGAUCUGAAUUUAUCAUAAAAUUCAGAAGCGGACAGUGAACCUUGUUGCAAAUAACACAAUUCAUAUUUGAUUUGAUUAACCUUAGGGGCAUUUCCUUGUUUAUAUCUACUUUCUAGAUCUAACCAAACUUGGUAAGCAUCACAUGUAUACAUUAGUGUGGACUGAAUUUGAGGAGAAACAGAAUUCAGAAUCUAAGCUAACACUAAGCCAUUCACAAUUUUCCAGAUAUUGUAUUCCCUACUAUCAAUGUCAUCCGGCAUUCUAAUCUGUCCAUUAAUGAAGGGUUCUUUUCUUCAUGAUACUAAUGAGACUUUCGUCCCAUUAGACCAAGUGAUAUAAUUGGUUUCUCCAACCAAUCUCUCAGGUACGAAUAUAGCCCCCGGGUGAUCACCAGAGGUCAGAAAAAAAGGAGACUCUGGGUCUUGAAGUGGAGAAACGUACCUCUCUGUUUUGUGCCUUUUAAAAAUUGAAUUAUAUAAACCUUUAUCAAAAUUAUUUGUUCUUGAUUUUCCAGUAGAACCUGAUGACGAUUGAUGUGAGGCUGCCGGAGUCUGAAUUGGAUUGCUGGGACGAGCAACGGAAGCUGCAGGAUUGUCAGCCGGAAUAAUCGCGGAAGCUGCUGGCCUGUUGGCCUGAGAAUAGUUGCCAGGUGGGUUGACCAAUGAUACCAUGAUGAUUUCUAGAGGGGAAGAUGCGCCGGCGAGAAUGUGGGUUCGUUGGGAGUCCGGAGAGCCACUGGAAGCACUUAUUUGGCCGAUUCUCUUCUAGGGUUUUCCGCCCAAGCAUUUUGGGAAAAACCGAUUUACCGGUCAGUGAGGAGGAAGAAGAACGAAUGGGAGAAAGGGAAAAUUGUAAAAGAAAUUUCAAGUUUUGACUUUCAAUUAAUCAGUGUAAAAAUUUGAGUACUUUAAUUGAUAUUAAUCCUUGAAUAUUUAUACAAGUUUAACAACCAAUUAUUACAAUCAAACUAAUAACUAAUUAAUCAAGAUUAGUUUAAUUUAAUCGGGUCCUGGAUUGGUCUUAAUCGGGCCUUGAUCUGGAUCCUAUUGGGAGUUUAAUUGUAACAAUUGCUGCACAUACACACAAAUUUAUUAGUAAUAACAAAUAGGUCAUUGACUUUAGUUUGUGAUAUUAAUUUAGUAGUCCUUGGAUUAAUUAUAUUUCUUAUAUAACCAAGACUUACUAAAUAGUUGUAAUAUUUACGAUUUGAUCCAUAUAUCAAAUUCUUAUAGUUCUACAACUUCUUUUAAUUGCAUUUAAGUCCAAAAACGAUUUAUUGAAACUUUUACAGAUAACCCCUUUUAAGUUAUAAACAAAACAGUUUAUUCUGUUUUGUUAUAACCUUUGGAUUAUCUUUAUUACACUUAGGUCCUGAACUCAGUGUUGUGGUAAAAUUGCUAUUUUACCUUAAAUUUCAAUAUAUUCUUAUAUAACUAAUCUGUUAAGUAAUAACAACUAAUUGAUUCUGUUGUAUUACUCACAUACCCCCUCCCUUAAGCUCUCAGAGCUUCUCCGACGAGUUUGUUCUGUAGAUUUAGAAAUAGCCUUGCCGGUAGUGGUUUUGUCAAUGCAUCUGCCCAUUGCGUGUUGCCGGGAAUGUGCUCUAUCGUGAUGUCCCCUUUCUCCUGUACAAAUGGGAGAUCUAUUGCGACAUGCUUUAAUUUGCAGGGUCCAAUUGGGUUCUUUGAAAUGAAUGUUGCACCCAAAUUAUCUGAGAGUAUCUUCCCAAAGAGCGAUGUUCGAGAAGCGAGGAAAGAAGAAGAUUAGACUUAGAGUGGAUUUUUUGUAAUUUUGUAGUGGAUUUUUUGUUAUUUUUAUCAAUCAACGAACUAUUUUGCUUUUGUUAAUUUUUUGUAUAAAUAUUUUAAAGUUGUAACAUAAGGUUGAAACUAGAUACACAAAUCGUAACUUAUCCGCUCUGGACGUAAGUUAGAUUCUGCUAACUCUACUUAGCCGCUUCAGGCGUAAGCUUGGUCGUACGAAUCGUAGUUUAGUUGCUAGUUAAACUCGAAAAUGAUUUAUACUUUUAAAUUAACUUUUAGGGUUGAAAAUAGUUUGAGUGAUAAAUUGAUGUAACACCCACUAAUUCCUGAUUCGCCCGUGCGAAUGAGGAUUGUGGUCGCAAUUCUAGGCUUGCAUGCCUAAAUUGGACCUGUUCGUACUAACCCUGGAUUUGAACCUUGAGGAUGUAGUCUGACUCCUGUACUAGUGAUGGAGUGACUUGUUGAUCUGUAUCAAGGCCGAAGCGACAAGAUGGGAUAGGAUCAUUGGGGCCGUAGCGACAGAAUGAUCCUUGUUCUACUGAGGCCGAAGCGACAAAAUAGACUUUUUAGGGUAUCCUUGCGGGUUAUAACAUGAAGAAAGAAUUCUAUGAUUGACUAACAUACAUACUAGGAAAAUUAAAGAAAAUAAACGUAAUGCGAUGAGUACUAUGCGUAGUACUGUUGCAUGUUGUCCGCGUGCCAGGUGUUUGGAACUAUUGUUCCAUCCUGUCGCCGUAGGCGAUAAGUUCCUGGCCUUAUUUCCUUUUCGACGAUGUAGGGACCUUCGAAGUUCGAUGACAAUUUAUUUCUUGGUCUAUUCCUUUCUGUUAUGCUAGCUUUUCGCGUGACGAGAGUUCCUGACAGGAAGAAUUUUUUGCGUACUUGGCGAUUGUGGUACCCUGAUACGCUUGCCUUGUAUGAUUCGUUCAACAGGUCCGCCUCGUCAAGGGUUUCAUCCUUCAACUCUAGCUCUGUAGCUAGGUUUUGAUCAUUUGUUUGUUCGUCGUACUUCGAGACUCGAUAUGUUGGUAUACUCAUCUUGACUGGUACGACUGCUUCCACUCCAUAGGUCAUAGAGAAAGGAGUGUUGCCCGCGGGGUUUUUAAUCGUUGUGCAAUAUGCCCAUAGGAUUUCGCACAACUUGUCUGCCCAAGUCCCUUUGGCUGAUUCAAUUUUCUUUUUCAAUCCUUAUACGAUGGCCUUGUUGGUGACCUCCACUUGCCCGUUUGCCUGAGGUCGGUAAACGGGGGCGAAGUGGAGUUUUAUGUUUAGGUCUUCGCAUAUUUUUGAAAAUUUUCCCCCUGUGAAUUGCGUGCCAUAGUCCGUGACAAUGUGUUGGAGAACUCCGAAUCGUCAGACUAUGGAGCGGUAGACGAACUUGACCGCCGCAUCCUGAGUGAUUUUCGCUACAGCCUGAACCUCGACCCACUUUGUAAAGUAAUCUACUGCUACAAAGAUGAACCGAGCCUGGGAUGUUGAGGGGGGGAAUAGUCCUACGAUGUCCAAUCUCCAUCUUGCGAAAGGGAUCGAACUCAGAAUCGGAGUCAUGUCCGCGGAUGGUUUCAGCUGCAUGGGGAUGUGCAGCUGACAUGCUCGGCACUUGCGGACGUAAGUGCGAACUUCCAACCUUAGAGUGGGCCAAUAAUACCCCAGCCUUAUGAUUUUGAAGGCCAGUGUUCUUCCUCCCUCAUGGAGUCCGCACGAGCUUUCGUGUACUUCCUGAAUAACCUUAUCCGUAUCGGGUUUGGCCAAACAGCGUAGCAGCGGGCUAUCGAAGGACUUUUUGUAAAGCACCCCUCUGAUGUCACAAUACUUUGCCGCUUUAUGCUUCAACUUUUUGGGAUCCCCUUUAUUGUCAGGAAGUACUCCAUUCUGAAUGAAUACCAAUAUCGGUUGCCUCCAAUCCUCUUGAGGGUCGGAGGUAACAGUCAAUACUUGGCUUGUAGGCUGGAGUAUGAAGUCUACUAAAAUCUCGCGUUGCCCUCCUUCCCAGGCCGACGCCAAACGUGCCAAAGCAUCGGCGGGCGAAUUUUGGAUUCGAGGGAUUUGUUCGAAUUUGAACUCAGCGAACUGCUUAGUGAGUGGUACCAUUGCCUCCACAUAUUUGGUUAUUUGUGGCUCCUUGCAAGUGAAUUCACCAGUGGUUUGCCGAACUACGAGCUGGGAGUCAGUGCGGAGCGUGACAUUCUCAACGCCGAGAGUUCUUAAUAGUUUAAGGCCGUGUAUGGCCGCUUCAUAUUUCACGACGUUGUUAGAGGCCGGGAAGUGAAGCCGUACCGAGUGUUCGUAGUUUUUUCCAUCCGGGCUAUGGAUUUUCACUCCGAUACCUGAGCUUGUGCUACAACUCGAGCCGUCUACUUCUACAACCCAAGGUUGGGUCAAAUUGGGUGGUGUGAGUUCGACAAUGAAGUCGGCCACAGCUUGCCCCUUGAUGAUGACAAUGGCUGGUCGGAAAUCCAAGUUGAACUCACUGAGCUCGAUUGCCCAUUUGGUUAACCUCCCAGAAAUAUCGGAUUUGUGAAGUAGACGGUACAAAGGACACGAUGUUAGUACCACAAUCGUGUGCGCUAAGAAGUAAGCUCGAAAGCGACGACAAGCGUGGAUCACCGCAUAUACGAUCUUCUCGAUAGGAGAGUAUUGUAGUUCAGCACCUUGUAGUCGCCUUGAGUGGUAGUAUAUAGGGACCUAGUCCUUGUCCCUCUGCGCGAUGAGGACUGCACUCACGGCUUCUUCUGAGGCCGCUAUGUAUAAGUACAGGUCCUCUCCCUCUUUGGGUGAUGUUAGCAUGGGGAGCGAGGACAUAUGUGCUUUUAACUUAGCAAAUGCCUCCUCGCACUCCGGUGUCCAAGUGAUACUACCCUUAGCCGCAGUUUUCAGUAAUUGGAAGAACGGUUUACACUUGUCAGCCGUUUGUGAUAUAAAACGAUUGAGUGCAUUAAUCCGACCGUUCAGCCUUUGUACUUCUCUGAUUGUGCAGGCGGCUUCCAUAUCAAGGAUAGCUUGGAUUUUGUCGGGAUUAGGUUUGAUCCCGUGCUGACCUACAUAGAAACCAAGCAACUUGCCUUCCUUGAUUCCGAAUGCGCACUUGGAUAGGUUGAGCUUCAUUCCAUAUUGCUUUAGUGUAUCAAGGGUUUCUCUCAGAUCAUAAGGGUGUUUUUCCAUGCUUGACGACUUGACUAGGAUGUCAUCGACGUAAGCGGAAACAUUGCGCCCUAUCUGGUCCGCGAAAACCUUGUCCAUUAAACGUUGGAAUGUAGCCCCAGCAUUCCGCAAGCCGAAUGGCAUUACUCUGUAACAGAAUGUCCCUGAGUCCGUGAUGAAGGAUGUUUUUUCCUCAUCAGGCUCAUGCAUCAGGAUCUGGUUGUAUCCUGAGUGGGCAUCCAUCAUAGAGAGGAGCUCGUUACCGGAUGCUCCAUCGACUAGUUCGUCGAUAGAUGGCAAUGGGUAACUGUCCUUAGGGCAUGCUUUAUUGAGAUAAGUGAAAUCAAUACACAUACGCCUCUUGCAUUGGGCUUCUAGACAAGGACGGGGUUGACCAACCAAGUCGGAUAUCGAACCUCUCGAAUGUGCCCAGCAUUCAGGAGUUUCGAUAUUUCCUCAUUGGCUGUUUCCCACCUGUCAGAAGUGAGUACUCGACGUUUCUGGCGUCGAGCUGAAAUGGAUGAGUCGACGUUAAGUUUGUGCGUCACAAUCUGAAGCGCAUUCUGUGUCGGUGCCUCACCCUCCCAAACGAACCUGUCCUGGUGCUCCUCCAGGACAGUCAAAAGCUUGGCUCUUAAGUCAGAGGGUAACCCCUUCCCUAAUGCCAUUUGUCCCCCUUUCAGCAGAAAUACUUCAGUCUCGUCCACAGGUUGUAAUUUCUCCCUUUCCUCAAUGUCGGGCGGGGCAUGGACGAGCAUGUUGUUAAGCCUGCUCAGCUGGGUUGCCUUCUUAUACCCCUGCCUAGAAUCCUUUUGUAAUCCUUUGACAGUUGCAACGAACCCAUUUGCUGAGUAUCGAAUGCAUUGGUGAUAAGAAAACGGGACUGCUUGGAUUUCGUAGAUGAAGGGACGUCCGAAUAUGCCAUGAAAAGUGGAUUCUACUUCCACAACUAUGAAAUGACACGUUCGGCUAACCCUUCCUCGCUUGGAACCGAUGGAGACUUUCAAAUCAAUAACAUCGGCCACUGGGGCGGCGAUGUUAGUGAAACCAUAGAUGGCUUCCUUACAGGGAGAUAGUUCAUCCCUUUUAAGGCCCAUCUUGGUAAAAGUGUCCAUAUAAAAAAUAUCCACAGAGUUGUCGUUGUCGACAAUCAUCCUUUCGACUCGGGAAUUGGGACCGAUGUCUGCUUGGAUCACGAGUGGGUCCUCGUGAGGUUGCAGGACAUAUUCCAGGUCCUCUUCGAAGAAGAAUAUUGACUUCUCCUCGCGGACCCGUUUUUCGUUGUCUCGAGGUGUUGAUUGUGACAUCAGCACCUUUCGGGCAUAUCCUCUAUUUUGGCCAACAGAUCCACCACCAAAUAUCAUAUUGAUGGUCUUCCGUUGGCGAUCCUCGCUGUUGUCGCUAUCUAGCGAAGGAGAGCGUGGACGUUUCCCCUUUGGGUCAGAUUUGCAAUUGCCAAGUUCUCCCUUUGAGAUCAAUUGCUCGACAAAAGACGAGAAUUCUCUGCAAUGGUCUGUCAGGUGGCAGCAGUCCUUGUGGAAUUUACAGUAUUUUCUAGAUUGUGUGCGGCCAUCUUUGCUUGCAGGGUCUGAACGAGGAGCAGGCAGAUCCGCUCGGUUCUUUAGUUUCUCAAACAGCUCGCCUUUUCUGAUUGUAAGCGGGGUAUUUUUUCUCCACAGUUGAGAUGCACCCUUUGGCGGUUGACUGGUUGAGGUUUGGUACACCUUGUUAUCGUGCCUAGGCUUCCACUCUUUUUUGGAAGUUUCAGUCCUGUUGUCGGUAUACUUGUUAGAGGUGCCGUGGAAAUUGUUGUUUCCACUAUACCCCUUCCUCUCAAACUUUUGUUUUUUGAAGCUAGGAGUCCCAAGUUCAGCUAGCUUAUUCUCAUCCUCUUCUUCCACUUCAAUGUACGAUUGAGCGCGUUGGAAGAGGUCGGGUAGAGAGUCCACUUUAUGGAGAGUCAGAUUCUGGGCCAGAGGAGAGAAGGGGAGCAAUCCUCUGACGUAUCCCGCUAUGGCCACACUUGGGAUUAGAUCAUUCACUUAUGUCAUCAUUGUAGUGAAUCUAAUCGUGUAAUCCCGAAGAGACAGCUUAUCCUGUCGAAGUGCCAGAAGUGCGUUGGCACUGUGUUUAAUCCUUAUCAUCCCCACAUGCUGGGCGAUGAACUUUGACGAGAGGUCUGCGAAAAUGGUGACUGAGCCAGCUGGCAGACCGGAUAACCAUCGAUAAGCAUUUUCCUUGAGAGUGUCGGGGAAUGCCCGACACAACAGUCCAUCAUCGAUGGUUUGCGGUUCCAGGAUAUUAAGGUAGAGGUUUACGUGAUCUUUUGGAUCAUUUGAACCAUCAUACGCUUUAAUCCUGGGUACCCGCCAGGUGGGUGGAAAAGAUUCCCUCAAAAGGUCCUCGUGAAGAGGAGCACUUUUGAUCCUUAGGAUCUCGUGCGGAUUGCCGACAGCUGGGUCGUUGGCCAGUUUCCGACGAAGAUCCUCCACGAACCGAGUGGUAAGAGUCCUUUCGGAGCGACACUUACUAGGUCCCGUCUUUGUUUUAAGACGGGAACUCUGUUUGGUUUUCUCCGCAGAUGGAGAGUAAAUGGACCCAGAUUCAUCCGCUCUCUCACGGAUGGUGGUCCUUUGACUCCUCGCUUGCUCGAGGUUAGUCAUCCUUCUUUCUAUGUUGUCCAUAAAGCUGAACAACCUUUCUUCCAAGGUGGGAGGAGCCUUGGGCACUAUGUGUUCCUCGAAAUGUGAAGGAACCGAGUUUGUUUGGUCUGGUUGAGCAUUAUCGGGUCUCUUUGGUUGAGACUGCUCGCCCUGCUCCAGCUCGAUUGCUGGCAUUUUACCCUUACUUCUCGUGGCGUAAGGGUGCUUUUGUUUUUCGAUGAUGGCCAUAGAAACAAAAGUGGGGAAGUUCCAAAGCGGGGAGGUGACCUGACUGAGCUUGUUCGAAAAACAAAGAAAAAUCGGUGAUUUAAAGGUCUAAAUCGGCGACUUUAGAUUUUGAGGCAUUUUCGAACAAAGUCGUGGAUAGCACUCUUAGCUAUCAGACGAUAUUCCGGAUCGGGCGAUUCUCAAGGCUAAGUCGGCGAUUUAAGAAUAAAUCGGACCUGAGCCGAGAAUCGGCUAUCGAUCUAAAUCGGCGACUUAGUUGACAAAGUCGGCGAACCCUCUGGGAGAGCUCGAGCCGGAUUUUGCAAAAAAAAUCGCGAUUACGACGGGAUACCGGUGGUUCGGUAGUCCCACAGACGGCGCCAGCUGAUGAAGCACUGAAUCUGCUACCAGGGCUCGCGGUGGUGCGAGGUGAUGCUGGAGGCUCUGGAGUCCACGACGCGCGCUCUAUGUCAAAUACCUGCAAGUAAAAACUAGUCGAUUCUAGUGAGAAUCGGCGAGUUUCUUAGUGAUGCUUUGGUGAGAGUGGAACUUGUGUUGUGCCUUUGAGUGUCCCCUUGGGAUCCUUUUUAUAGGGUCUUGGAGGGCCCGAUCAAAGGCGGAUAUCGCGCCUAUGGCCAUAUAUGGAAGCAUUUAUGGCGUUGGCUGGCGGUGAGUAACGGUCGUAAGUCGGCGAUUCAGGUAUGGAAAUCGCCUAUUUAGGGCAAACUUGUCGAGUUUCCAGGGGCGAGAUGUGCAGUCUACCAUACUGCUGAUUUGGGCCCUAACUCGGCGACUUAUCCCUAAAGUUGGCGACUUGGUAGUCCAAUCGCGACUCAUGGGUUAACUCGGCGAUUUGGACGAUGAACUUGUUCCGCACCGUGGGACCUCUCCGGGGGUCAGGCGUAAAGCGACGGAACCCUAGUCCUUAUUGAGGCGUUGCUGGGAGUGACUGCCGUAAUCAGGCAUGUCUCACCAGUACUCCCCCCUGAAGAGAGCACAAGAAACAUGCAUGUAUCGCCAGUCAUAAAUAUUCCUGAAGAGGAGGCCUCCUUCUAGUAUGCGAGUUCUUAUUCUUUAUUUUAUAAAUAAACCUUUAUGAGUGUAUAGGUCUUAUUUAUUCAUUUUUAUCGUAGGUGUAACAUCCCUUAAUGGGAUGUUAACGAUUCUAAACUAAUACUUAAUUUAUUUCACAUAAAAGCAUACACACAUGAUGGUGAGUACAACCAUGUAAAAACAAGUGCAAUAAUAUGGGUCGAACAUGUUUAUAAGUUUAAGUAUCAAUAUCUAAAAUAUGCACGUUUCAUAAUCCAUCUAAAUAAUAAUCUCUAUCAUAGAUAAAGUUUAACAAAGUAACAAAACAAAAAAAACAAAACUCAAUUAACUUCGCCCCUUCACCGUCGUGCAUCUUUUCAUUGGUUCCAUCCUAUCAUACAAUGAACACAAAGAUGAGUGAGUUAAAUAUUUCAUCGACUCGGUAUGGGUUCACUAACGUCAGCCACAUCACAUAUACAGAAUCAUAAUCAUUGAAAUCAAUGAGAAUCAGAACAUUUUACGCUAUUAUAUAACACUCACACUGUAAUUGUAAUUCACCUCCAAUCAAUAUUAUCCAUUUUCACUCAAGUAACACUUCACUUAUUGGUCACAAUAUUACACUCACUAUUCCACAAUAUAAUUAAUACAUAUCAUAAAUCACUCGCUCAUCAACCAUAUAACCCUUCCCUAAUGCAUCUAGCCCACAUGCAAACCGAUGUAGAUAAUCUAAGAGAAGCAAAUAAAAUAUGUCGUGGUAAACCAUUUAGUUACUUCACGAAAUGGGUCGAAGCAAUAGCUGUACCCAAAACCACCUAAGGUGCGGCAACCAAAUUUGUAUUCAGAUGCAUCAUGUGCAGAUUUGGCGCACUUCUUCACAUAGUCACAGAUAACGGGACACAGUUCACAGGCGGAGAAUUCACAAGGUUAUGUGAUAACAUGUGCACAAAGGUGCAUUUCUCAUUGGUGUGUCGGCCACAAGGAAACGGAAAGGUAGAGGUCACCAAUAGGGCAAUUGUUCAAAGACUGAAGAAGAAAGUCGAACAGGCUAAAAAUUCAUUGGCUGAUCUACUUCCGGAGAUCCUAUGGGCCUACCGAACUACGGAGAAAACACCUACUGGUGAAACCCCAUUCUCUCUAACAUACGGAAUGGUGGCGUUGAUAGCAAUAAAGCUUAGUGUCCCCACAAUCAGGGAGCUAACAUACGAUAUGGAAGAAAACAUGAGAUCGUGUGCCACAACCCUCGACAUGGUGGAUGAGUUGCGAGAUAAUGCGCAGGCCAAUAGUGCCGCCUACAAGCAAAGUGUCGCCAAGUAUCAUGACAGAAAUGUGAAGUUAAAGAAUAUAAGGAAAGGGAGCCUAGUCCUAAGAAAGGUAAGUAUAACCAGGAAGGAUUGUUCUAAAGGUAAGUUAGAAGCUAAUUGGGAAGGACCCUACAUAGUAGGAGAAGAACUCCAUCCCGGGACUUAUAGACUAAAACGGGAAGAUGAAAGUUAUAUUUCCAACACCUGGCACGCUGACAAUUUACAGUUAUACUUUUAUAAGUUACAAAACUUACUAUCUGGAGAUAAGGUAGAUAUAUUUGUAACUAUUCUUUUAUAGUUGAAUUCUUUUUAAUCAUGUUGCUUAUAGAAUUUUAUUAGAAAUUAACUUAAAACAUUAAAGUGCAAAAAUAUUCAGUGUUAAAAAUACAAAAAGAAAAUGGCAAAAGGUGUUAGAAAACAUCGUAAAUAAUAGGCAUUGUCAGUAGGAGGGUCAGCAGGAGGAUCUUCAGUUGUGGCAGGAGGAGCGUCAGUCUUUGAAGCGGUAGGAACAUCAGUCUUCAGGUUAGCAGGAAGUUCAAUAGUCUUCAAAAGCGAUUCUAUUGAAACAAGCUCUUCUUGCAAAAUAUCCAUCUUGUCAAAAACUUUUUCAAGUUGAGGAGGGGCUUCAAUCAUAAGAACUUCACUCGCAGGUUCAGCAUUAACCGCGGACCAUUCCAGUCGAAGUUUGUCGGCUUCUUCCAGUUGAUCUGUAACCCACUUGAGGACUUCUUCAGCAUCAAACUCUGGAUGCAUAUGAGAACCAAACUGAACCAAGUUGUUAUCAUCAGUGAUGUUCUUCUGAAGUUCAGCUCGAAGAAAGUCCUCAUUUUCCGCACUUUCCCUCUGAAGGUUAUUCAGCUCCUCUGUCUGCUCAGCGUGUCUAAUUAGGAUGUCAUCAGCAGAUGUUUGAUUAGCCUUUGAAGCAUCAAGUUCACUUCUAAGCUGAAGGAUCUGUUGAUCCGCUGCCUUAAGAGAGGUACCAAUUGAUUCAGCAAGUGUCUUUUGAAUGGUUGCUUAGGCUUCAGAAUUGGUUCUGGAAGUUUGGGCAUCGGCAUGUUCAGCCUGCAUCUUCCUGUUCUUCUCCUCCAAAUCCUUGAUAUGAGUAUCCUUAGCAGAAAUAUCUUGAAUCCGCAGUUUUGGCCUCAGAAAGCUUUAAUUUCUGCUAUAGGGAGGUGAGUUCAUCAAGGAUUUGGUGAGGAUUCUGGAUUUUGCCCAGAGGGGCAAAUCCUCCCUUCCACAAAUGAUCAAGCUGUAAUAAAGAAUAAAGUUAGAAAAAUUAGAAUAAAUAAAAAAGAGCAAAGGGAAUCUUAUUUUCGCCAAAUUUUGGGCCAUUUCUUCGACCAGCUUGUCCAACCCAUACAUGGAAAUCCUCUUUAAGGCAGCUUGACUUGCAGCAGUUUCAGGAACAAUAGGGGUUUUGCUUCCAUGAUUUACUGGGUGAUAACAUUCAUGCCCCGACAUUUGUUCAUCGUGAGUAGAUUGGUAGGAAGGUUUCGACAAAGUCUCCUUCGUAGAUAUAGGAGGUUGUAAAGCUGAACCCUUCUCAAAAACACGUUGUCUCUUUAUCGGAAGAGCAGAAGUAGGUAGAAUAGGGGACCUCUUCCUUGAAUCAUUAGAGUGUUGAAGCUGAACAGGGACUUAAUAAACAACCUCGGGAGUACGAAUUUCUCCCAUCUCAAGUUCAGUGGAAGGCCCCUGAAGAAGUUUGGAGGCAUUCAUUUUCCACAACCUCUUCGUGUCAGAGGGCUUGCUAGAAUCAGGGAAGAGCUUCCCCCAACUUGUUUUUGACUGAUGUGGUCAGUCGCACCAUCAGAAUAAUGCUUGAUAUAUUCUGCAUAAAACAAUAAAAGGUUAGUAAAAUAAGAAACAUAAACAGAAAAAGAAUAAGAAUAAAAAUAUUAUUAACCUUUACGAGUAAAAGUAUCCUUAUUAGCUUCACAAAGAUGGAUGGCUUGGGGAUACUUUUCACUCAGCAAGUUGACCUGUUCAAGCUCCUCAAAACUAAGAAUGGGAUUAAGAACAGGGUUACGAUGCUUAGCCAAUACAGGUGACAGCAUAGUAUAUGGGCACAAACGUGCAUCGAUAAAAAUAAACUCAUUUUUUCUUCUCCUCGUAGGAGGGUCACGAAAAAGGGAGUAGUGAUAAGUAGAAGCUACUCGACUCGAACAAGAAAUGAGUGUUUCAGAGUGGGAGGCAACAGAAAAAGAAAAUAAUGAAUAAAUAGAUUAAAUGUAGGUUUAAUAUGUAAGUCUCGAAGGGUAUUUUGGAAACCGUAAUCAUAGAAAAAGAAAGCCGUGCCUAGCUAGUUGGGAUAUACAUACGCCAGCUACUUUCAAAUGAAGCAUGGGAUAGGGAGAAUAGGGAAAUUAGUAAAAUAGUAUUUAGGGAGGGCCACCAUAUAAUAGGGCGCCACAUCUCCCGUAAAUUCGUCAGGAUGGAGCCAAUAAACCCUCUCCCUCGACUCAAGGCUCAUUAAAACUUUAAUCGAUGCCUCUUUUGACAACCGGUUUGUAGAAACACGGCUCUCAGGCUUGGAGUAACCAGUGAUUAAAGGAGAAAUUGAUCUUAUUGAACCACAGUCCACCCCAUAUGACUGUUCCCUUAUUUGAGGAGAAACACAAUGAUAGUUAUGGGGACGGAUGAAAUAAACACUCCAUUUUUUCCGACUCCUGUUAGGCUUGUUAUAAAAAGAUGGAGCAGGAUCCCCAUUGUCUUCAUCAAUCGGAUAUGGAAAGGGGUAGGGGUUCCUAGAUUUCUUCGGUUUCUCUAGGACAAACGAAGGGGGAUCUAAAAGGAUGUCAUCUUCGGUUACCUCCGACGGCAGUCCAACAUGAGAAAGAGGUGGGACAAGGCUACGACAGAUAGCUAUGUCAUCAGGGGUAGGUAUACGUUCGUCUUGCGAGUCAAGCUCAUUUAUGUUAGCCUCCCCAUCAGACUCACUACGACUUGUACUCGAAUCCUCAGCACCCCCAGAAUGGGCAGGUUUAGGACUCUGACCACUAAUAGAAAAGGAGGCAGAUGCCUCAGAACCAUCAGAAUUUCUCACGUUAGGAGAAGAGUCAGGGCCUACAAGAAAGGUUAAUAAAUAAACUCUACCCAACGAUAGAAAAAUAAUAAGGGUAGGAGAAACUUACUGCUAGGCUUACUAGGUUUGAGAGGCAGCAUCGUCUUUAAGUCCUUAUUUUGUGAAGCUGCCUUCGGCGGUGAGAUCUUUGUAAAAGAAGAGCCCCUGGGCAGAGUUUCAGCAGAUAUGUUCAACCCAUAGGCCUGGAUAGUUAUAGAAACACCCUCAACCACAGAGAUAAGCUGGCGAGAAGUAUCCCCCGCAUCAUCUUUGUACCUCUCGGCCCGACUCUUUUCAACGUAAGCCUUGGAGAGCUUACUUGUUUGAUCCUUUCCAGUAGAUAUGGAUAGCAGAAAGCUGCAGUAAAAAUAAAGGUCAGAAACUUAGAAAACAGAAGUCGACAUUCACAGGAGUCGAUAUUUAAAAAUCGACCCUAAAAAAGUCGACGCGAAAAAGAGGUACUCUCCACGAGUCGACUUACGAAGGUCGAGCUCAAGGAGUCAACCCCGCCCUCAGGGAAUACUUCAGAGGAAGUCGGCCAAAGGAAUCGACAGAAAGAAGUCGACCCACCAUCCGAAAGGGAAGAAUUCUAAAAAGUCGACCGCGCAGGUCGACCCUAGGGAAAUCGAACCCCUAUCCGAGGGUGGGACGACCACCAAAAGUCGACCCCAAAAGCCGACUCUAAGAAGUCGAACCCAAGAUAGGGUAGAUAUGACUCCAAGAAGCUCGACUUUGAAAAGUCGGGCUCAAGGAAAUCGACCCCUUUUUCACAGUGCAAGUCGAAUCCUUACAUUGGAAAACUCGAGCAUUGAGAAGUCGAGGACCGGAGUGAGAAAGUUGAGCUAGGAGAUCGGAGAAUGCGGAGGAAUGAAGUACCCAACCCCUCGCCUAUUUAUAGCCAAAAGUCGAGAAGUUGAAACGUCACGGGCCAGAUGGGCCUAUUGGGCUCGAAAACAGGCCCAGACUAGGCCCAAAACACUGCCACCCGACAUUCCAAUACUCUAGCUCGACAUCAUAAAUCCAACGCUCGACAACGUGAUUUUAACAUCGGUCGAUGCUCGACGGCUCGACAUUUUGAAAAUGCGGCUCGACAUCUGGACCGUAGAUUUGAAAAUCACGGCGCGAGAUUUUGACAUCGGUCGAUCCUCGAAGACUCGACAUUUUGGAAAUGCGACUCGACAUCUGGACUGUAGGUUUGAAAAUCACGACGUGAGAUUUUGACAUCGGUCGAUGCUCGAAGGCUCGACAUUUUAAAAAUUGGCGAUACAGUAUCCCGAACUUAGUCACAACGCACCAGCAACUAGAGGUUCGGAUAACCCAAGAUGAGUUAAGACACCUAUUCCGGGUUUAGGGAGGUCCCACGUCAACUCCUGGGAAGAUCGACUUUUCUAGAAGUCGACUUCUGAAAAAGUCGACGUCUGGAAAAGUCGAUCCCAGAAAGUCGACCUGGGACCAGAUCUGGUCAGUUAGGCGGUUAGACCCAAAUGACCAGAUUACCCCCAUAAAAAUCCUAUAAAUAGGAGGUACCUCUCACUCAUUUGGGUAAGUCAUUAGGAGUGGAGAAGUCCCAGCGAAGCAGAGUUCUGAGCAACUGAGUCCCGACCUGAUUUCCUCACGGAAUUCCCCGCCUGGCGCUUGUUCGAAGCGUCGUCGAGCACUGGUCAGGUUUUACCCUCAUCAGGUGGCGCUGUCUGUGAUUCAAAGAUACUUACGACAAAAGAUCCUUGACUUUUGGAAAAAGAGUUCGACUUUUUUCCCAAGUCGCCAAUCGGGGAGCCGCGUCUGGAAAUCACCCCACUGAAGGUCGACUUUUGCUAAAAAAGGGUUCGACUUUUUUCCAGAGCAAAGUCAACUUCUCUGAAGGGAAACUGCUUCUCCAACUCGGGAACUGACUUUUCUUCAAAAUGUCAAGUUCCUCAGCUUUCAGGAAAAAGCUCCUCCAAAAGUCGACUUUUCUCCCAGGGAUGGACUUAGACCUUUUGAAGUCGACUUUUCUCCCAGGGAUGGACUUAGACUUUUUGAAGUCGACUUUUCUCCCAGGGAUGGACUUAGACUUUUUGAAGUCGACUUUUCUCUUAGGAAUGGAGUUAGACUUUCUCUCAGGAAUGGAGUUAGACUUUUUGAAGUCGACUUUUCUCUCAGGAAUGGAGUUAGACUUUUUGAAGUCGACUUUUCUCCAAAGAAUGGAGCUAGACUUUUUCCAAUGGGAAUUGGGUAGACUUAUGUUAAAGGAAUGAACCUCGACUUUUCCCAAGGAGCUCAAUCUCUUUUUGUUUUUUAGAAAUGGUAAGGAUAUUUCUAAAAAAAAAGUAUGGGGAUUUUGGCCAUUUAUGGCUUUUCCCAAACCAUAGUCGUCAUACCCAAGGCCACGUAGGGACUUUGGACCUGAAAUUUUGUCAACUGAUAAAUAAAAAGAGUAUGAACAGACCUAUGAGGUGCAGGUCUCCAAUUCAUAAAUGAUUCAUCCCAGGUGGAUGUUCAGACAUAUACUCCUAAAACUGGUCCAAAUUUGUUGCAAAAUUGGAAAAUUUUGGAAAAAUUUCAGUGAAUUUUUUUGCUAUCCCACAAUUUUGUCAGAUGAAAGUAGACUUCAAAAGAGGCCUAAUAAUGCGAUUUAAGUUUUAUUUUUAUUCUUUAUUUUUUCCUAAUCGCAUGAGGUCAUAAUAGGUAUGAACUUCGGAUGUUCAUAAGUGACUAUACCUUAAUCAAAGUUCAACAUUGUGACUGAUAGUCAAUGCUCAAGUUCGACAUUUUUAGUUCUGGUCAAAAUUUAAGACCGGCAUUUCGACCACCAGGUCAGAUAAAUAGUUUCAUUCCGUAUGGGAAAAAUAAGGCUAAUAUGUAGUCUACUCAAGCUAUUUCCUAAACCAAAAGGAAUAUUUUUUACGUGCAAUACCAACAAACAGUCUUGCUGUUUACAUCAAACUGUCCCAACAGGUUAAUCAAACUAUUAAGGUGGGAUAAAAUGACAGAAGUCAUUCAUAAAAAGAACUUUUCUCAAAACCACUGGUACGUGAUACAAUUUUCAUAAGGAGGGUGAGAAUAGGACAGAGAUGAUGUCAGAUUCUUCAUAGUUCUCAAUAAACACCCACUACUAUAUUAAUAGUAUCACAUAACAAGGAUGAUAGUAUGGACAAACAUUUCAUACAGAGAUAAGAAUCUAGGGCUAAAUAUCUCAUUCCUUGGGAUAGUAGUAUUAGUAACUUAAUGGUGUGUUCCAAUUCAUAGCACCCAAUAUUUAUAAGUUCCUAGACAGCAAUAAUAAAGCACAAUCCCAAGGAGGCACUCAAAGAAUUGGUCUACACUUUCGUUAGUAUACUAAACCUCCACAUCGUCAUAUAAUGUGCAUACAAAGGAUGGAGUUAAGAAUCACGUACCAAAAGUUGUAGGCAAGAAUCCUGACAUUUUAAGGGGGAUAGGAUGUAUUAAUUGGGCAAGUUCGUAGCCCAUAGAAUAGAAGAGCAAAAAUACUUGUAGCCCAAAUCUGAAAUAAAUACAAUCCUUUGGUGGUGUAAAGCCUCCAAAUUCACGAUACUCAGAGAAAUCCCCCCACAUCCUCGGUCAAUGUUCGAGGGCUCGACAUUUUUCAAUAAUGCGGCUCAACAUUUGGACCAACGGUUCGAAAAUCGUAGUUUUAGAUUUUAACCUUGGUCAAUGCUAAGAGGGCUCGACAUUUUGACUUGGUCAACAAUGCGGCUCGACAUUUGGACCAACGGUUUGAAAAUCGCGGUUUUAGAUUUUAACUUCAGUCAAUCCAGCUAGAGGGCUCGACAUUUGGACCCAACGGUUCGAAAAUCAUAGUUCUAGAUUUUAACCGGGAUUGGUAGUCCCUUUUUUAAUAUGGAGGUUAGAAAUUGUUUGAUCAUCCCCACCAUCAACAGGUCAGGCCAAAUUUAUAUUUGUCGCCCAAAUUUAAAUGGGUUGAAACCUUAGUGGUACCCACGGUUAUGCAAAGCAUGGCAAGCAAAACUUACAUUCAAGUGCAUUAGGUACAGAUUCAAUAUCCCUAUAUAUAUAGUGAUGGAUAAUGGGACAAAGUUUAAUAGUAGGGAGUUUACGUGAUUGUGUGACGACAUUGGCACAAAGAUCAAUUUCUCAUCGGUAUACCGACCACAAGAAAAUGGGCAGGUAGAGGUCAAGAAUAGAGAUAUUAUUCAGGGACUGAAGAAAAAAGUCAAACAAGUCAACAGUUCUUGGGCCAACCUAAUCCCACAGAUCCUAUGGCCUACAGAACCACUGAGAAGAUACCCACUAGCAAAACCCCUUUCUCACUGAUAUAUGGGAUGGAAUAACUCAUACCAACAGAACUUAAGAUUUCAAAAAUGAGGUCCUAACAUAUGACAUGAAUGAAAACAUGAGAUCAUGUUUCACAACCCUAGAGUUGGUAGAGGAGUUACGAGAUAAUGCACAAAUAAAGAAUGUUGUUUACAAACAAAAUGUAAAAGAAUGAUCAUGAUCAGAGCAUUAAAAGUAAAAAAAAAACAAAAAGGGGAAGUAUGGUCAUCACAAAUACAAGUGUCACUCCAAUAGAAUGUUAAAAGGGAAAACUCAGAACCAACUGAGAAAGACCCUACAUAGUGGGCAAAGAGCUUCAAUCCUGAACCUAUAGGUUAAGGAAGGAAAGCAAUUAAAAUUCCCAACUCCGGACAUACCAAUAAUCUACAACUAUGAGAAAGAGUGUUGUACAUUACGAAAUUUUUUGUAAUAUUGUUACACGUCAACUAGCAAUAUAUUACAAAUAUAAAAGAAAAUGAUUAAUAUGACUUAAUCAUCAUCGCAAGGGGUUAACAGUUAUAUUAACAACAUACAAACAUCAAUCGAAAAUGAUUAGUAUGACUUAGUUAUUGCCUUAUAGAAAUUAAUAUAAUAAGUCAGAUUAAUCAUCACGAAAAAUAUUAACUUAUGACCUGGGUCUAAGUUAUCAUCAUUGAUUCGUUCAAAGUUCGUAAAGUGUUAUCUUGUUACCAAAACUGCAAAGUUCAGAGGAGCAAGGCAGUGGGUAACAAAAAGGGAUGACAUCCUAUACAGAGCAUUCCCAGAAAUAUUAAAAGAAUCUACAUACAUAUGGUUUGUAGAUUUACAACCAUAAAGUAUAACAAGUUUUGCGGACCUAAAGAAAAUUCUUGGCCCAACACUGUGAGAACGCAAGAUUCAGAAAAGGCACUGACUCACUUUUUUGCGGUAAGUCAAAACGGAGAUACACUCCGAAACUAUGACAACAGGUUUACAGAAACUAUUUCAUCUACACACAACCAUCGUAAUUUACACAUACUCUAAAGGGUUAGAUAUGAACACUCCAUUGGCCAUAGAAUUAAAUAUAAGCAAUGUAAAAUGUCUAGAAGAUCUACUAAAGACCAAUGUUUAGAAGAUUCAUAAUAUAGUCAAUCUACAUGAGGUUCCACUAGUGAUACAGGUAGACAUAGGGAAUGACCUAAGCCUGAGUAAAGUCAUGGUGGACAAUGGUAGCUCAGUUGAUAUAUUGUACCUAGCAGCAUUCGAAAAAAUGGGCUUUAAGGUAGAACAAUUGACCCCAGCCAAGGAGGCAAUAUAUGGGUUCACGAAUACGAAAGCCUCAGUUGUGAGAACCAUUGACCUACAAGUAUCCUUAGGAAAAAAGAAUGGAAGGGUCUCACGUAUGGCACACUUCAUCGUAGUCAACGUUAACUCUCCAUUCAACGGGAUCUUAGGCAGGCCAAGUAUUCAUGGAUUUAAAGCAAUUCCAUCAUCAUAUCAUCAAUGUUUGAGGUACCCAGGAAAGGAUGGUAAGAUAGCGACAGUCUUUGGAGCGCAAAGAGACUCCUGGGACUCCUACAGAAAGUCAACCAAAAUGGCCAAGCCAACAACCUUAUAUAUCCAAGAAAGAGAGGAUGAGGAAGAUACACCACCGACAGGCCAGAUAGAGGAGGUAAAGCUUUCAAGAGGAGUACUCAUAGGUACGUCUAUAUCCUCCGAAUUGAAAAAUUCCUUACUAUGUUUAUUAGAAACUCAUAUCGACACAUUUGUGUGGGAGGGUGAGGCACCUUCACAGGUACAACACACAAUAACAUAUCAUGAGCUAAACAUAGACACCAGCUUCACUCCUAUCUGGCAGAAGCGAAUAAUACUCGCAGCCGAAAGAAAGGAAGCAGCACAAGCUGAAAUAGAAAAGCUGGUUAAAGCUAGACACAUAUGAGAAGUAAAAUACCCAUGGUGGCUAGCCAAUCCGGUUAUGGUUAAAAAGUCUAAUGGAAAGUGGGGGAUAUGUGUAGACUUUACAAAUCUUAAUAAAGCAUGUCUAAAAAUAGCUACCCACUCCCAUCCAUCGACAUAUUGGUAGAUGCAGCCUCAUAAAAUGAAUUACUAUCCAUGAUGGAUGCGCAUUCAGGCUAUAAACAAAUUCUAAUGAAAGAAGAAAAUGAAGAGGCUACAUCGUUCAUCACUGACUAGGGAAUAUUCUGCUAUAAAGUCAUGUCUUUCGGACUGCAAAAUGCAGGAGCAACCUUUCAAAGGCUCAUUGAUAAAGUUUUCAAAGAGCAGGAAAGAAGAAAUGUUAUGGUUUAUGUAGAUGACAUCUUGGUAAAAUCCAAGAAAGCAGAAGAUCACCCAGGUGAUUUAAAAGAAAUAUUAGAAACUUCACGAAAGUAUGGGAUGAGGUUAAAUCCUUCAAAAUACAGCUUCGGGGUUCAAGAAGAAAAUUUUCUUGGGUUCUACGUAGCACAAAAAAGAAUAAAAACAAAUCCAAAAAAGUUAGUGGCUAUCUUAGAAAUAAUACCCCCUUGGACUAUCAAGGAGCUAUUGAAAACUAGCCAGAAAGGGGUAGUAACAUGGACCCCAGAAUGCGAGCAAGCAUUUCAACAAGACAAAGCACAUCUGGCAUCAUUACCUCAUUUGACUUCACCCAAAGUUGGGGAAGAAUUAUAUAUCUAUGUAGCAGCUUCAUAAGAAGCGAUCAUCACAGUACUAAUCUGUCAAAGAGACAGUGAGCAAAUCCCGAUAUACGAUCACUCCAAAAGGUGUAAGGGGCGGUCUGAAGAUUCCGUGCAUAUCUUUUGGCUCACACAAUCAACGUCUUGACAGAAUACCUGCUUCGCAGAAUACUCCAUAGGCCAAACACUUCUGGAAGACUUAUGAAGUGGACCCUGGAGUUAAGAAAGUUUGAUGUAGAUUUCGUCCCCGCUACAACCACCAAAGGGCAAUAGCAGAUUUUAUUGUAGACAUGACUCAGGAAAACAAAGAAAAACCUUGAAUAGUAGAGGUUGAUGGGUCAAGCUGCACCACUGGCGUAGAAGUAAGAAUAAAAAUAGUCACUUCUGACCAAAGAAUAUACGAAUGCUCAGUCAGAUUACAGUUCUCAGCCACAAACAAUAUGGCAGAAUAUGAGGCUGUGAUCCAAGGCAUAAGAAUGGUCAAAAAACUGGGAGCUUGCUCAGUAGUCAUCAGGGCAGACUCUCAGCUAAUGGCUCAACAACUCACAGGAGAGUUCACGGUGAAAGAACCCCUAAUUACGCAGUACUCAACUACACUAGAAAAAAUGAAGUUACAAUUCAGAAAGGUAGAAAUAGAACAAGUCCCGAGGAGUCAGAACAACUCGACUGAUGCUCUAGCAAAGCUUGCGUGUCCGCUUUCGAAGGGGGGCAAAGGGGGAUACUAGUUGACUCACCUCUACACAUUCGUGCAACCUAGUCACGGUUCAAGCACCCUUGAUAGAAUAUUUCAAAGGGUAGAAACUUCUAGCUAGAGGACAAAAAUGAGUAGCGCAAGUUACAGACACACAUCCCAGAUUCUGCCAAAUCGGGGACAUUCUGUACAAAAAAUCCUAUGAUAGACCUCUAAUAAAGUGUGUCUCAACAGAUAAAGGACAACUCAUAGUAGAGGAGAUCCAUCAGGGAGUAUGCGGGAUACACCAGGGAAGAAGAUCUUUUGCCUAAAAAUAACAAGGCAGGGAUACAUUUGGCGCACAUUAAAGAAAGAUGCAGUCCUAUUCGUAAGAAAAUGCAAGGCCUGCCAAAUUCAUAAGAAUAUCCAAAGGAAUCCCUCCACUCAACUAACAGGGGUAGAAAGCCCCAUUCCUGACUAAAAUGACAAAUCCGACUAACUUUCCCUCGCCUAAAACCGAUGGAGACUUUCAAAUCAAUAACACCGACCACUGAGACGGCGAUGUUAGUGAAACCGUAGAUGGCUUCCUUGCAGGGAGAUAUUUCCUCCCUUUUAAGGCCCAUCUUGGUGAAAGUGUCCAUAUAGAGGAUGUCCGCAGAACUGACACUAUCGACAAUCAUACUCUCGACUCGGGAAUUGGGAUCGAUGUCUGCUUGGAUCACGAGUGGAUCCUCGUGAGGUUGCAGGACAUCGUCCAGGUCCUCUUCGGAGAAGUAUAUUGACUUCUCCUUGCGGACCCGUUUUCCGUUGUCUUGAGGUGUUGAUUGUGACAUCAGCACCUUCCGAUCAUAUCCCCUAUUCUGGCCAACAGAGCCACCACCAUAUAUCAUAUUGAUGGUCUUCCGCUGGCGGUUCUCGUGGCUGUCGCUAUCUGAUGAAGGAGAGCGUGGACGCUUGCCCUUCAAGUCAGAUUUGCAAUUGUCCCGUCCUCGGGGUCCCAUGAUAAAGUUUCCAAGUUCUCCCUUAGAGAUCAAUUGCUCGAAAAAGCCUGAGAACUCCCUGCAAUGGUCCGUCAGGUGACCGUUGUCCUUGUGGAAUUUGCAGUAUUUUCCACCUUUUUUACGGCCACUUUGGUUGCAAGGUCUAAAGAACGAGGAGCGGACAUAUCCGCUCGGUUCUAUAGCUUCUCAAACAGCUUGCCUUUUCUGAUUGUUAGCGGGGUGUAGUCCCUCCAUGGUUGGGCUGCACCCUUUGGCGACUGCUUGGUUGAGGUUUGGUACACCUUAUUGUCGUGUUUUGUCUUCCACUCCUUUUUGAAAGUUUCAGCCGCAUUGUUGGUGUACUUGUUAGAGGUGCCACGAAAAUUGUUUUUUCCAUUGUACCCCUUCCUCUCAAAUUUGGGUUUUUUGAAGCUAGCGGUCUCAAGCUCCGCUAGCUUACUCGCAUCCUCCUCUUCCACCUCAAUUUACAAUUGAGCUCUAUGGAAGAGGUCAGGCAAGGUCUUCAUUUUAUGGAGCUUCAGAUUCUGGGUCAAUGGGGAGAAAGGUAUCAACCCUCUGAUGUAUCCCAUUUUCGGUAUCAACAGGCCAGGCCAAAUUCAUGUUUGUGGCUGUUGACUAAUUUACAAAAUGGGUCGAGGCUCGGAUAGUACCCAAGAUAACACAAAGCACAAUAGCUAAAUUCGUCUUCAAAUGCAUAAUGUACAGAUUCGGCGUUCCUAUGCAUAUAGUGACUGACAAUGGGACACAAUUCACCGGUAGGAAGUUUACGAGAUUGUGCGCCGACAUUAGCACAAAGAUCCAUUUUUCAUCGGUAUAUCGACCGUAAGGUAAUGGUCAGGUAGAGAUCACAAACAGGGCAAUUGUUCAGGGACUAAAGAAAAAAGUCGAACAAGCCAAAAUUGUGUGGGCCUAUCUACUACCAAGAAUCCUAUGGGCAUAUGGAAACACAGAAAAAAUACCCACCGGGGAAACCCCUUUGUCACUAGCAUACGGAAUGAAAGCACUGAUCCCGACAGAACUCAGUAUCCAAACGUCAGAGUCUUAACAUAUGACAUGCAAGAAAAUACAUUAGAUCAUGUGCCACAGCUCUAGACUUGGUGGAUGAGUUACGGGACAAUGCACAAGCAAAGAAUACUGCGUACAAGCAAAACAUUGCUAGAUGUCACGACAAGAAUGUCAAAGAUAAAGUAAUAAGGAAAGGAAGUUUGGUUUUAAGAAAAGCCAGCAUCACUCGUAAGGAUUGCUCCGAAGGAAAACUAGGAGCCAAUUGGGAAGGACCACACAUGGUAGAGGAGAACUCCGACCUGAAACUUACAGGUUAACAAGAGAAGAUGGAACUUACAUUCCUAACACUUGGCAUGUAGACAACUUACAACCAUACCUUUAAUCAUUUUAUAUAACUAUUAAAUAAUAAUAUUUUUGAUUAAUUCAAUCUGAGUCAAUAGUUGACCAUUGUAAUCACUCAGAUUAGCGACAAAUUCAGCUUGGACCUCGUUUAAAGCACUUUCCAACUCCUGGUUUGCUUUAUCUUUCUCAACCAAGGAAGCAUUAAGUUUGAUAAUGUCAGCUUUCUUCUCAGACAGUUGUUGUGCCAGAGUAUCAUAUUUCUUCUGAAGUUCUUCUUGAUCUGUAUCAUCUUCUGAAGCCCGCUUCAUUAUAUGAUCCCGCUCAUCCAAGACCCGGCGAAAAUUCUCAAUGACAGCCUUCAAAUCACGCUCAAUAACAAACAAAUUCAGCUCAAACUUGGUCGUUGCAGUAGUUAAUUCAAGUAACGUUGGAACCAUACACCUAUAUAGAAAUGGAACCACCACCGAUAACAGGGAUGACCUGAAAAAAGGUAUCACCCGCUUCGUCCUUGGACCUCUCGGUCCGACUUUUCUCAGGAAAGGCUUUAGAAACUUACUCAUACUAGUCCUUUUUGGAGAACAUGGUAGCAAAAAGCUGCGAGAAACAAAGAAGUAGGAGUUAAAAGCAAUUCUAAGAAAGCUCCCAAAAGAAGUCCAUGGAACACUUCAAAAGAAGUUAACCGAAGAAGUUGACAAUAAGAAGUCAAACCCAUCCUCGAAAAGGGAGGACUCGAUAUUUCUUAUGUUAGUAAGAAGUCUACAUUCAGUUCGAGAUUUUAAUCUCGGUCGAGGCUCGAGUCCUCAACAUUCUGACUUGAUCAACAUUUCGACAUUCUUGAAAGGAGUCAAACAUCGAUAUCCUUCCCAAGGAAAAGCAGAGCUCGACAUUUUUAAGGGGAGUCAGACAUCGACAUCCUUCCAAAGAUAGAGCAGAACUCGAUAUUUUUCAAAAGUCAGAUAUCGACAUCCCUAUGAAAGGAGGGCAGAUCUCGAUAUUUUUUCAGAAUUCAGAGAUCAACAUCCCUAUAGAAGGAGGGAAGAUCUCGACAUUGUUUCAGAAGUCAAAAAUCGACAUCCCUGUGAAAGGAGGGAAGAUCUUGACAUUUUUUCAAAAGUCAGAUAUCGACAUCCCUAUGAAAGGAGGGCAGAUCUCGAUAUUUUUCAGAAGUUAGAGAUCGACAUGCCUAUGAAAAAAGGGGCAGAUCUCGACAUUUCCUCAAAUAGGACAAAAAGUCAACAUUCAAAUAAAAUUCGACAUACACUCAUCAAAGAACAAGGUAUAAAUAAAAAAGAAAAGAAGUAUACCUUUAUUCAGAAAAAUCUAUGAUUACAAGUAAUAGAAAAGAAAUAUUACAAGUUCCUAGUUAAAAUUAAUGCAACGGCGCAACCGCCUGGGAACAUGAUUCUACGGAGACCUAACACACCUGGGACGUCUCCGAUGUUGGCCACGAGAAGGAGAAACAUAAGAAGUUCCAAUAGAAAGGUCCCCAAUAGACCAAUCUUCGAAAAUUGACUCAGAGGUCGAUUUUUCUGAAAUCAACACAAAAGCUUGACUUUUUCAUAAGAGCUCACCAAAGCAGGGGGAGUAGAAAAAAUACCCCUGGAAUCUUGAAAAUCAACAAGGCAGGGGGUAUAGGAAAAAUACCUCUGAUAUUUUUGAAAAAAAUCACCAAGGCAGGGGGUGUAGGAAAAAUACCCCUGAAAAUUUUGAAAAGAUCACCAAGGCAAGGGGUGUAGGGAAAAUAUCCUUGGAAAUUUUGGAAAUAUCACCAAGGCAGGGGGUGUAGGAAAAAUACCCCUGAAAAUUUUGAAAAGAUCACCAAGGCAAGGAAUGUAGGAAAAAUACCCCUGAAAAUUUUGAAAAAUCACCAAGGUAGGAAAAAUCAGUCUCCGGAAACGGCAGCAAAAGGGGCCUUGAAGGUGUAGGGACCUUUAUGGUCACACCACCAAGGAAAAAAUAACACCAAUGAUGGUACAGGGACAGAAUGAACUGUAUCACUCUGAGAUAUUUGAACUCCUACAAUUGCUGGACGCAGUAAUAAAGUAGAACGUUGAAUUAACUCCACCUACGGAAGCAGUAGACAGAGGAAGUCUUAAUGGUAAUAGGGUCAGGAAGCGUAUCCCAUUCAAAUCUACUCCACCUAUGAAAACAGUAGGCAGAGGAGGACAUAAUGACAAAACAUGCGCCCGACCUACGGAACAGUAGGCAGAGGGGUCAGUAUUCAAAAAUGAACUCCACCUACGAAAAUAGUAGGCAGAGGAGAGGAGAACAUAAUGGAAAAAUAUGCGCCCCACCUACCGAAGAAGUAUGCAGAGGGGUCAGUGUUCAAAAAUGAACUCCACCUACGAAAACAGUAGGCAGUGGAGGGCAUAAUGGCAAAACACGCACCCAACCUACGGAAGCAGUAGGCAGAGGGGUCAGUGUUCAAAAAUGAACUCCACCUACGAAAACAGUAAGCAAAGGAGGGCAUAAUGGCAAAACACGCGCCCCACCUACGGAAGUGGUAGGCAGAGGGGUCAGUGUUCAAAAUGAACUCCACCUACGAAAACAGUAGGCAGAGGAGGGCAUAAUGGCAAAACACGCGCCCCACCUACGGAAGCGGUAGGAAGAGGGACAUUGUUAAAAAAUGAACUCCACCUACGAAAGAAGUAGGCAGAGGAGGAUAUAAUGGCAAACCAUGUGGCCCACCUACAGAAGCAGUAGGCAGAGGGGUCAGUGUUCAAAAAUGAACUCCACCUACGGAAGCAGUAGGCAAAGGAGGACAUAAUGGCAAAACACGCGCCCCAUCUACGGAAGCAGUAGGCAGAGGGGUCAGUGUUCAAAAAGGAACUUCACCUACAAAAACAGUAGGCAGAGGAGGGCAUAAUGGAAAAACAUGCGCCCCACCUACGGAAGCAGUAGGUAGAGGGGUCGGUAUUCAAUAUUCAACUCCAUCUACAGAAGAAAAACUAACAAUUGCGAAGGGAAGAGGUACUCGAACAUUACUCGGUGACGCUUCAACAAGGUGUCCAGGUGGGCAAACAAGUUUCCGUUGGGAAAUCAGGCUAAACAGGCUGCUUAAAGGGAGCACUUCGACUGGGAGGUACCGGACAAUAGUUGCUAGAGGUACGUGACAACCUCUAAUGAAGUACAAAUAUAACUUUGCGGUCGGAAAGGGGGGGAAGAACUGGUGAUUUAGGAUUAUAAAUCCCUGGACAUCACCAACUGGUGAUGUAGGAUUACACAUCCCUGGAUAUCACCAGCAAUUCCCACCCCAGCACGCAAAGAGGGGGGAAUACUGAUAGUACGAGGUCCGACACACAAACCAUGGUACUAAAAGUCGUAUCCCAAAAUAUCUAACACAGAGGAGGUGGGAGUACUAGUGAUACAGUAUCCCGAACUUGGUUACAACGCAUCAUUAAAUAGUGGUUCAGAUAGCCCAAGAUGAGCUGAGAUAUCUAUUCUGGGUUAGGGGAGGUCCCAAGUCAACUCCUGGGAAGAUCGACUUUUCGAGAAGUCGACCUCUGGAAAAGUCAAUCCCAGAAAGUCGACUUGGGACCAGAUCUGGUCAGUUAGACGGUUACAACCCAUAUGACCAGAUUACCCCCAGAAAAAGUCCUAUAAAUAGGAGGUACCUCUCACUCAUUUGGGCAGGUCAUUAGGAGUGGAGAAGUCCCAGCGAAGUAGAGCUCUGAGCAACUGAGUCUCGGCCAGAUUUCCCCAUGGAGUUCUCCGCAUGGCGCUUGUUCGAAGCGUCGUCGAGCACUUGUCAAGUUCCACCUUCAACAAAAAUGCGGCUUAACAUCUGGACCAUAGGUUUGAAAAUCACGGCAAGAGAUUUUGGCAUCGGUCGAUGCUCGAAGGCUUGAAAUUUUGAAAAUACGGCUCGACAUCUGGACCGUAGGUUUGAAAAUCACGACGCGAGAUUUUGACAUCGGUCGAUGCUCGAAGGCUCGACAUUUUGUAAAUGCAGCUUGACAUCUGGACCCGUAGAUGUGAGAAUCAUAAUGCGAGAUUUGAACGUCAGUCGACGUUUAAAGGCUCGACAUCUUAAACAAGUCUACAACACGGCUCGAUUUCUCGAUCAAAAAAUAAAGAGAAACAACUCGACAUUUCGUAAUACAUGUCGAUAUUUAAAAGAAUAUAUCAAUACAAGUUUCUAAUUAAAGUUGAUACGACGGUAAAGCCGUCUAAGAACAUCAACUAUGGGACAUCUAGCACAACUGGAACGCCUCCGACGGUGACCACGUCUCGCAACCAUAGCAGGUUCCCUAAGAGAAAGUUCUCCAACAGACCACUCCUCGAACAAGGUUUUCCGAGCAGCCACAACAAUACUCUGCUGCUCCAAAAUAAUCUGACAAAGAACAGGCAGAUCUAAAGCAGGUGCACGAGGGUCAAGUAAACCUAAAAUUUUGUUAAGCUCUUCGAUCUCUCCCCGCACAAAAUCAGCAAAGAGACUCACAAGAAGAGCCAAGUUUGAAAAGAGUAAAGGAACUAGACACCUAUUUAUAUGGGUCAAAGAAAGCAGGACCAACUUAAAACGUCGACUAGAGAAAGUCGAGGCCAAAAAGUCGACCAUAGGAAGUUACGGCCAUAAGUCGACCUCUUCUCAAAAGUCAACCCCUUUAAAAGUCAAAUCUAAAAUCUCACCAAGACAGAGGGUGUGCGAGAAAUACCUCUAGAUGUUCACCAUGUCGGGGGAGGGGGGUGUACGAGAAAUACCUCUGAAUUCACCACUAGAGGCGUGUUCUGGUUAAAUACCUCUGAAUGUUUCACCAAGUCGGGGGGUGUACAAGAAAUACCUCUGAAUUCAUCACCUAAGGGGUGUUUUGGCUAAAUACCUCUGGAUGUUCACCAAGUCGGGAGGUGUACGAGAAAUACCUCUGAAUUCACCACCAGAGGGUUUUUUGGCUAAAUACCUUUGGAUGUUCACCAAGUCGGGGGGUUUAUGAGAAAUACCUCAUAAUUCACCAUCGGAAGGGUAUUUUGGCUAAAUACCUCUGGAUAUUCACCUAACCAAGGGGUAUACGAGAAAUACCUCUGAAUUCACCACCAGAGGAGUAUUUUGGCUAAAUACCUCUGGAUAUUCACCAAGUCAGGGGGGUGUACGAGAAAUACCUCUGGGAUUUCACCAAGAAUGAGGGGUGUACGAGAAAUACCUCUGGAAUUUCGCCAAAACAGGGGGUGUGCGAGAAAUACCUCUGGAAUUUCACCAAGACAAGGGGUGUACGAGAAAUACCUCUGGAAUUUUACCAAGACAGAGGGGUGUACGAGAAAUACCUCUAAAAUUUCACCAAGACAGGGGGUGUACGAGAAAUACCUUUGAAUUAUCGCCUGUCAAGAAAGUGAGUGAUAAAGGGCAAGGGAUCCGACCAAGGCUUGGUUACGGGCUUAAGCAGACAACGUUCAAAGGAUCAGGAAUAGGCUCGCACGGAAAGUGGCUCGCUCACUUCGGUUGCUCGAAACAGGCACUAGCAGGGGAGGGGGGAACCCCGAAAACAUAGGUUAUGCAUCAAACCCUACGAGUACGAGAACGGGUCUCCUAUCGCUAUGUGAGGGGAACCCUUUGAAUUAUCGCUUGUCAAGAAAGUGAGAGAUAAAGGGCAAGGGAUCCGACCAAGGCUUGGUUACGGGCUUAAGCAGACAACGUUCAAAGGAUCAGGAAUAGGCUCGCACGGAAAGUGGCUCGCUCACUUCGGUUGCUCGAAACAGGCACUAGCAGGGGAGGGGGGAACCCCGAAAACAUAGGUUAUGCAUCAAACCCUACGAGUAUGAGAACGGGUCUCCUAUCGCUAUGUGAGGGGAACCCUGGUGAUAGCGGGAUAGGGAUCCCCACCAUGAUGAGCGAAGGAGGAGGGAGUACUAGUGAUACACUAUCCGAGACUUGAUGAUGACACCAGCAAUCAGAGAUUGAGAUAACCCGAAAUGGAUGGUGAGUACCUGUAUAGGCAAUGGGAGGCCCUAAUCGACUUUAUGAGGAAGUCUAUCCCUGCAAGUCGACUUGUGCCGAGUCGACUUCUAAGGAAAUCGAGGGCUAAAGUCGGCUUGGGGAAGUCGACCUGGGCCAGAUCUGAUCAAUUAGGCAGUUAGAGCCCUAAUGACCAGAUUACCCCAUAAGGACCCUAUAGAUAGAGGUCAGUUCCACUCAUUAGGGUUAGGUUGAUUCGAGUGAGAGAGAACCCCUGCCAGAGUGAGCCUUAGUGACUGAGGUGGCCAAGCUAUUUCCGGCGAUGUACCUGGCCCAACGCUUGUUCGAAGCGUUGUCCGAGCACUGAUCGGGAUCCACCCUUAUCAAUAAGAUUUUUUUCUUUUCUGUUUUCAGAUUAGAAGCAGAAAUUACUUUUGAAUAAAGUGACUGAAAUAAGCUAAAAAAGAGGGCAUAUAUAUUCUGACUCUGAUCUGGAUCAUAGUUCUUGAAACAAUUAACUAAAAUUAUGAGAGGGUUUCCCAUCAUAAACAGCCAAUGGGAUUUUAUCCUUUACAUGAGAUUAGAUAAUUGUUUUUCUGAUGAACUACAGAUUACAACACCUGGAGAAGUCUGAAAUCGAAGACGUCUUUGAACUUUAUAAAUGUUCAUUCAGGAUAUGCAAUAUUUAGGGAAGGAUGUUAGAUACACAUGUCAUUAGUCUUGAUAAAAGUUACUUUCAGUUAUUGUACAAGUUUAGUAUAAAUAAACUUGUAUAGCUCAUUUGUAAAAUACGGAUUGUAUUUCAUUUUCUCAAUACAAGAUUGGUUUCAAAUUAUACUCUGUUUAGGAAUUUAGAAUUGAUUGUUUGAAUACAAAUAAUAUAAAUGAUAAACGAUUAUAAUAAAGAAAUAGUAUUGGAUGAUCGAUAACUAGAUGUGCUGAUAUCUGGUGUAGCGAUAAUUCGGUGAGCGACUAUAUAUGAUAAUUGAACACCGAUGACUGCACGGAAACAAUCUGGUUUGCGGUGAUAUAGAUCUUCUUGCCAUAACUUCCUUAUAAAUAGGGAUCCAUAUCCCUUAUUUUUCUCAAACCAUGGCUCUUUGCCGAUUUUAUGCAGGGAGAGAUAGAGGAGCUAAAUCGAAUUUUGUAUAUUCUUGAUUCUCAUGCUUCUACUUUGGAUCUCCCCUCUCUACGCCAAAUUAUUAUUAAGCGUCAUAUCCAUACUAUUGCAACCCAAGAGUCUAUAUUCGAAGAAUGGAUUGUUGGGGAUCUUGUCGUUGAGGUUCUGCUUGUAGCCCCAGUCCCAGCUCCUAGUCAACGUCGGAGUCGUGAUUGACAUGCUCGACGUGCUAGGUCUUUGCUGCCUUACCUUCCAAGGAGGCGUAUUAAUUUUACUUAGGAAUUGUAAUUUUUGUUUUUCGAUAUCUAUAAACUUGAUUUUAUGAAUAAAUGACCGGGUUGACUUUUAUAAGUCUAACUCGGUAGGCUAAAUUGAAAUUUAAUUUUUUCGAAUUGUUUACAAAUUUUUGUCCAGUUUGACUUUUUCAGAAAAUCGAGCUCGAUUUGGCCUGGACUUUGAAAAGUCGAACUCCAAUUUACCUUGUUUUUUGGAAAAGUAGAACUCGUUUUUUUUAAGUCGAGCUCAACUUUGUCUGGAAAGUCAAAAUAUCGAACUGAAAAGUCAAAAUUAGAAUUAUAUCUAAUUUCUUGAGCCAGGCUUACUUCUAGGCCCACGAGGUCCAUGACGUUUCAUCUUCUCGACUUUUUUUAUACUUCGUAGAGCAGAUGAAUUAUUUUUCACUUUCACUAUCAUUCCAGAGCAGUUCGAUUUUAAUUUUCCUAUUCGACUUUUCUCCAAGUUUGACUUUUACUUGCUCGAAGUAGCUUGACUUUUCAAAUGAAAGUGUUCAACUUAUAGUUUGAAUAAAUACAGACUGGGAUCAACUUUCUUAGAGUCGACCUUUUGAGGUCGACAUUUCUUGAAGUCUUUCCAAUCUGUAGAUUGGGAUCGACUUUCUUGAGAUCGACUUUUUGAAGUCUCCUUUUCUUGAUGUCUUCCCAGACUGUUAUCACUUGAUUUGAGCUCGACUUCUUGAGGUCGACUCUUUUAAAGUCAUCUUUCUCAAGAUUCUUCUCGAUAUGGAACGUUUAAAGUUGAUCGAGGUCAACUUCUGGUCAGGCCGAAUUUUUUUCGAUAUUUUUUUAACUCUUUUCAUGUUUUCCUUUGCAGUUCAACUUUAAUCAUGUCUUCUGGGAAAAAUCAGACUAGUAAAUUGAGAAAGGCAUAUAAAUAAAAUAGAAGGAGAGGGAUGCCUCAAAUGAGGCUAUCAUAACUGCUGGAGGUACCAUAUCGAUACAAACGUAUGGUACCAAUCUGAGUGAGGGGGUCCUGGAUCCUCUCUACCAUCAACCCAAUGCUAUACCUCUUCUAAUGCCACUGCCACCAAUUGAAGUGGAAGAUACUGGGUUAAAGAAAAUGAUCGAAAGAGCUCGUCGGCUCCAGAAAUCUGCUCUGAAGAGGCCUCCUCUAGUAUGCAAGUUCUUCUUUAUUUUAUAAAUAAAUCUUUAUGAAUGUAUCGGUCUUAUUUAUUCAUUUUUAUCGUAGGACCUAGCUCUCCCAAUUUGACCAAGAGUUCUAAUCCGGAAAUUGAGAAACCUAACAAGGUCUUGACCUCUUCCUCUUCAUCUGACGAAUCCGGGAGUAGUAGGAGUUCUAACUCUAAAACCUAUAGCUUUACUUCCAGCAAAUCGUCGGAGGAGUUUUGGGUUAUCCUCCGACGUGAACUUGACUGGAUUGAGUUCACAAGAGGAUAUACCUGUCGAUAUGAACAUAUCGCCUAUUCCCGAAGACACUAUAGAAGUGGAAAACCUUGAGUCAACAUUAAUCUUGUACGUACCAUCGGAGAUUUCUAAGGUUAACAUUCACGACCCCUUAGACAUGCCCUAUAAGGAUUCCCGUACCAGUAAGGCCUCUACUCCCUACCCCUUCGCCAAUCCUAUCAAUGAGGAUGUGGAUGGAAGUUUAGCUCCCUCUUACUAUGAAAUAAAGAUAGUACACAACGUAAGUUGCACCUUUUCCUAGUAGGGAACUUUUAUAAAUUACAUAUGAAGUAUGAGAACAGCCUUUUGGGUGGGAUAUAGUUCCAUUUGAUUAAUAUUCUAUAAUAUUCCCCAUUACUCGCUAUUGUCCAAUCUGAACACCCGCACGAACAAGUUGUCUCCGGAAGUGUGUGUGAAAAUUUUAAUAUGUUUAGAACUGAGGGAGAGAUUGUAUUGGUUGUACUCCGAUGCUAACACCGGUGAUGCUCCCCCUUUUACAUGUUCCUUCUCCCCAAAUUUUAUUUUUACCAACUUCCCUAUCCUGCCCAUCCCUAGGUUUAUCAGUGAGAUUUUAGGAUUAUCUGGAGUGUGCAUAUCGCAGUUGGGUGCUACUUUCUAUUUGUAUGCACACGCAUUCAUGAACAUCAUUAUAGAUUUAGGCAUAACCCUUACUGCCCGACUCUUCUUCUAUUACUUUAGCUUUUCCUCUGUCCCUAAAUCUGACAUUUUAAUAUCUUAUUCGAGUCGAGUGGUAGUUUCAGACCGGUUUCCACUGCUUAAGGAACUAUCGUCUAGGAUGAAAAUAGAUUAGUUUCUUUUUAUAGAUCAAGAUUAUGUCCAUUAAGCAUGGAAAUUUCUAUGGUCACGAAAGAUCGUAGACUCAUUCCGAGAAUAGAGUUGUUCGAAGAAGAGUUAAGGAUAGUGAGAUGGCUUAAAGACAUAUAUGAUGUGACUAUCCUUGUCUAUGAGGCAAAUAAGGAUUCAUUUAAUAGUGAAGGUAUUAUUACCUUGUUUAUUUCUAUAUCUCUUUUCGUGUCUAACCUUUUAUGCUUAUGUCGUAGAUUUCUUUAAAACAUACCCUGGUGGAGUUUCUGAAAGGAUUAAUCAAAAGCAGACUGGAAGAAAGUUAUAUUCUCAUAUGUCUGCGAGGCUUUCCGAUGCUCGGAAGCUGGUAGCUUCUAAGAAGAUAAUUGUCGAGCCUUCAAGAGGUCGAGAAUAAGGAGAAAUGCCUCCAUCUUCUUCUGAUGGUUCAAAGCUUGGCAAGAUUCUUUUCAAAACGAAGUCUCCCCUUUUGACGACUAGACAGCUCGAAAAGAGGAAGAAAAUAUUCCAUCCUGGAUCAUCUUCGCAAUGACCGUCUGCUGUUAACAAGCCCUGCAUACAAGUCUAUCAAAGAAUUCCAGUAUCCAGGCAACAUGGGCAAUACGACUACCAAUUAUGGCAAGUCUCCCAUCGUAGAUGACACUCCCGCCAGCUCUGUCGCACCUAUGGGAUGAAUAAACUGAUUGGCGAAGUUGCAUAAAAUUUAGCAAAUGUAAAUUAUGUAUAUCUUUAACUUAGGCUUGUAUUUUUCUUGGACGUAACCUAAUUAGUUGGGUAUCGAUGAAACAAUUGACUGUAUCAAGAUCAAGUGUGAGGCCGAGUAUAGGGCUUUGGCUCAUACAACCUCACUCAUAAGGUGGUGUUGUUACAUCUUAAGAGAUUUAGGGAUACAAAUUGAUAGAACACUAACAAUAAAAUGUCAUAAUCAGUCAACAAUGUUCAUCGAAGCAAACCCAAUUACAAAAACACGAUCAAGACAUUUGAAAGUAGAUUUUUACUUUGUUAGAGAGUUGAUACAACAAGGAAGUCUAAGGGUGAGUACAGAAGAUCAAACGGGAAAUAUCUUUACAAAAGGCUUAUCAAUUGAAAAUUUCAACAAGUGUUCAACAUUGAUGAAUUUGGGGUCAGUCUUAAGCUAUGUUUUCUUUUUAUAUUAUUUGUUAAUGUUUUGUUGCUAUAUAGAUAUACUAGCUUAUGUGAACAAUAAUUUCACUAAUUUUUUACUUUAAUUUUUUUACUUUUUAAUUUUUGAAACGAUUUUAUUAAAUAGUGCACGUGACCUUAAAAUUAAAUAAAAUGAAGGUAAUAUUCUUGAAAAACAAACAAUAUUAAUCAAUUCAUUAAAUUACAAUUUAUUUAUGUAAUUUGAAUUUUAUUUAUUUAUUUAUUUAUAUGAUGGUGAUAUGGAUUAUUAAUUGUUGAAAAUAGAAUUAGAAACAAUUAUAUGUAAAUUAUAAUAGACGAUUAGACCAUGAGCGCCCAUAUAUAGGAGAAACGAUGCAGAUGAACAUUGAUUAAUUGGCAUUGCCGUAACCAGAACCCGAUCCACUGCCAUAUCCGGAAGCAGUACCGUUUCCUUUACUCGAAGCACUUCCACUGCCACCACCUCCACCACUUCCGCUCGCACUGGUGUAACCAUUGUACGUUGAGGUGGAGGCAGAUCCAGAUCCACGACCAGAACCAGAUCCGUUUCCGCUUCCAUUUCCAUCACUGGAGCCACCUCCACGGCCACCUCCGUUUCCACCUGCAUUUGUGUAACCCCCUCCGUACGUAGUAACCGCCAGAAUUGUACCCAGAUCCACUGCCAGAUCCAUUACCAUACCCAGUUGCACUUCCAUCCCCUUGGGAUGAAGCUCCACCUCUUCCGUUUCCAUCUCCAUUUCCGCCAGCACUACCACCAUUGUAAUAAUAAUAAGGAUAAUUAUCCUUGUACGAAUCGCCGUUUCCAUAACCUGAACCUGAACCAUAAGCACGUGCAGAUCCAUCGCCAUUGCUGGACGCCCUACCACCUCCAUUUCCAUUCCCAGAACCUCUAGCAUACGAAGUUAAGACUCUCGAUGCAGAGGUCAUGCUAACACAAAGAAUCAUGACUACAAGUGCAGCGACAUUCACCAUCGAAGAACGAGCCAUAUUGGCUAUAGCAAGUUGAUUUGGAUAUGAAAGAAAGAAACAAUUUGGAAUAAUGAAUGAAGUAAUAUGAUAUGAUAUAAUUUGCAUAAUUGGUUGGUAUUUAUAGACAUGAUUGUGUUGCAGAAUUCGAUUGCGAGCAUUAAUUUCCAGCUAGUUAUCUAUUUUUUACAUUUCCUAUUCUGAAUUCUUCGUCAAUUUCACUUCAAUAACAAACUUCUUGCAUUCUUUAUUGAAUUCAGAGAGGAAAUGAAGAUAUAUAUGUUGAAACAAUGAAAUCCCAUGAUUGAAGUAAUUGACUUAUGAUUAGGCUUAAUUACCAUUCCAUAAUUAAUUCAAACCUUUGACUCAUUUGUUAAUUAAUUAUUUAAAUCUAAUUACAACUGGUGGUCUGUUCGUUUAUUAUUAUUUCUUUGACUUUUGUUAGAUGCUAUAAACACACUUCCCUAUAUUAAUAAUUAAUUAAUUAAUUAAUUAGUUCCUUGAUUCAAACUUUAAUUAAUUACAACAUGCCAAUUAUGUAGAUUAUUUGAUUUCUUCAACCCAAUCUUUGUUAGGGAAUGAAUGUAUGCUUUAUACAUACUCCAUCUCCAACCCAAUCUGCAGACCCUUUAGAGGUUGAAUUGGACAAACCCUAACAUGACAUUCCUUAAUUCAAAGUUUUGAUUCAUUUAUUUAUGUCAAUUUAAUUACAUCUUGUAAACUCAUUUUGAUUUCUUUGACUUUUUUAGCCAAAGGAUCGAUGUACUGGAGAAUGAGAGAAAAACGAUCUUUCGUGACCGAGAUGGGCACUUUCUGCUUCCGAGUCAUGCAGUUUGACCUCCGAAAUACCGGGACCACCUUCCAGAGAUUGAUGGAUCGGAUUUUCGAAAGGCAAAUCGAUAGAAAUAUCGAAGUCUAUAUAUAUGAUAUAUACUGGUUAGAUGACAAAGAAUAGGAGACCAUCUAUGUACGAGACCUUGAAGAAACUUUUGAUAUCAUACGGAAGGUGAGCCAUGAGUUAAAGGUAAAAAAGUCAUUUCCUGGGAUUUUGGAUAAUUUCAGAUGGGAUAAAGCCAAGAAAAAAAUGGAAGCCAUUACGGCCAUGACCCAAUCAUUCUACGCCCCCAUCCCAGGGGGACGGACCCCUAACAAUGUACGAGGCCUUCUCCGAUACAGCCAUAAGCACGAUCCUCCGAUACAACCAUAAGCACGAUCCUCUGAUACAACCAUAAUCACGAUCCUCCGAUACAGCAUGAGGCCUGAUCCGACCUUCUAGGAUUUUGUUUUGCGUCUGUUCUUGGUCAAGUGGACCUCAUGCGAUGCCUCCUCCUGGAACUUUUCCAGUUUUCAGGUAUAUUAACCUAAUAGACUGGACAGUUUUCGAGUGGUUCCUCGACCUACGCGCGGUCCAUCUAGUUUUUCAAGUACCCCCCUCCUUUAGAUAUUUCCUUGCUCUCAGGUGCAUGUGCUGGCCUAUCAACCCAUACAUCCUUCGAGCGGUCCUUGGACCUAGAGACUUUAGCUGGUUCUUAAACGGAUUCUCCCUCGCAUCUUUCGUCGCCAUUGGGUAUGUUGGCCUAAUAGUAUAGAUGGACUUCGAGCGGUCCUUAGAACUAGGGUCCGUCUGGCUUUUCAACCAGCAGCCUUCAAACGAUUCAUGGACCUUUGGUCUGUAUGGAUUUUUGAAUGGUCCCUCCGAUCCCCCUGGAUAUUUCCAUGCCUUUGGAUGUUGGCCCAAUACGCCGUAUGACCUUCGAUCGAUCCAUGGACCUAGGGUUCAUUCGGAUUUACAAGAAGCCUCUCCCUUUGAAUAUUUUCUUGUCUUCAGGUGUGUUGGCCUAAUAUUUCGAAUGGUCUUUGAACGGUCCUUGGAUCUAGGAUCCAUCCGGCCUCUCGAGCGGUCCUUGGACCUAGGGUCUGUCCGGCUUUUCGAGCGGCCCCUCACCAUGCACAUUUCCUUUAGAACAUACAGAACCAAAUGUCCCUUAGGUCUGUCAUAUCCUCCAUGCAUAUACGGAAUGAGUGUAGGUAAUCCUUCAGGUCAGUUAGUCUCUCAGACACCCCCAACUUAGGGGCCCUCUAUCCCAAAAGAUACUCGUCGAUCAACAAGUCUUUCUCAAGGGCCUCUCCACCGCCCCCUGGAUGAUGGUCAAAUCGUUUUCUCCAUUAGAUUUCAAUGUAUUGUUCUUGUCCAUCUUUAAUUUCAUAAUUUUUUCCUGGAGUUGUCUUUGGCAAUCCUGGAGGCCUAUGAUGAUGGACAGUACCUUGUUAUCUGUUCGAUCUCGCCAUUCCCGAAAAAUAAUUUCUUCCUUCCGGUUGUUGGAUUGGUUGUCUAUAGAGAAUGAGGAUGCACCAAAGAAGGCCAUGGAGCAACCAACGUUUUGAGAAGUAAGUGUGGAGGUAGGAUUUUGGGCAAAUAAUGUUGUAAUUGCCUUGAGUAUAAGAGAGGUAUUUAUAUACACUUGAGGAUAACAAACCCACAAUUAUGUGAGUGGGGUUUGUUAUUGGUGAGACAUGCCUGAUUACGUCAGUCACUCUCAGCAUCGUCUUUCAACAAGGACUAGGGUUCCGCCGCUUUAUGCCGGACCCCCGGAGAGAUCCACAGAUAUGGGCAAGUGUCUACGUCAAAUACUCAAGUCAACAUUGGGAAUCCGCGACUGAGACUACCAAGUCGCCGACUCCAGAGGUGAGCCGCCGAUUCUAGGCCUCGUUGGUCAGUACUGGUAGACUGCCAACCUGGCUCAUGGGAAAUCGAUGGCUUCACCCUGAGUCGCCGACUCCCAGCCGUUACUUGACUUGACCCACGCUAUUAUGGCACCCUUAAUAGGGCACCAUAAUAGCGUGGGCCCCACGGGUAAUGAAUGAGAAACGUCCCAAUAGACCCUAUAAAAGGGGUCCUUGUGGGGUCCUCUCAUUCAUCAAGGAAUCUCUCCACUCACUUGACUCCACACUCCAACCAGAGAACCAAGGAGCCCGAGUCGCCGACUCCCACACCUGAGUCGCCGAAUCCCCUCCACUUCUGCAGGUAUUUGACGUAGAGCGCGCGUCAUGGACUCCAAAGCCUUCGGCCCUCCUCGCGACCCCGCGAGCCUACUGGUAGCAGAUUUAGUGCUUCAUCAGCUGGCGCCGUCUGUGGGACUAUCGAACUACGAUAUCCCGUCGUAAUCGCGAAUUUUUCUUCGCAAAGUUCGGUUCGAUUCCCUUAGGGUGAAUCGCUGACUUUGUGUCAAGGAAUCUCCGAUUCACACAGGCAAUCGCCGACUCGACCUAGUGAGUCGCCGAUUGCGGGUUAUUCUGCUAGCUAAGAGUGUUGUCCUCAACUCAGCUCGAAAGUCAAAAACCUAAGGCCAGUUGCCGACUCCACCUGUUGAGUCGCCGAUUCCACUUGGUUUCUUUCGAGUUAGUUCGGUCAAUACCUGCGCUUCGCACUACAAAAAAAAGUAGGCAGUUCGGACGAAGCAAAGUUAACGGAAUUUCCGUUACAAAUACUUAUUAUCAAAGUUAACGGAAUUUGUAACGGAAUUUCCGUUAACUUUGCUAUUUCCGUUACAAAUACUAGAACUUAUAUAUUGUAACGGAUUUUUUAACUAUUUUUAACUGAUAUUCCGUUACAAAUAACAAUUAUUUAAUAAUUUUCAUAAUUAGGGUUAGGGUAAGGUUAGGGUUAGGGUUAGGGUUAGAGUAAAUGUAAAUAAUUAUGGUUAGUGUUAAGGUNNNNNNNNNNNNNNNNNNNNNNNNNNNNNNNNNNNNNNNNNNNNNNNNNNNNNNNNNNNNNNNNNNNNNNNNNNNNNNNNNNNNNNNNNNNNNNNNNNNNGUUUAUUUUACAUUAAAAAAAUAGAAGAAGAUAUAAAUUAAAGUUAUUUUAAAUUAUAAAUCCUAAAAAAUAAAAAAUUAACAACUAGUGAUUUUUUUAAAAAUUAUUAAAAAUUAAUUACAACUAGUGAUUUUAAUAAAUUGUAAUAUUAACAACUAGUUGGAAUUCCUAAGAGUCAAUCCGGUCGUCAGCGGUCUGAUCGAAUUCCUAAGAGUUAAAAGCGCUCCUUUCCAAGAGGACCUUUUGAAGGUGGCCUUUCCACCAACCUGACGGGUACCCAGAAUAGAGUCGUACGAUGGUUCGGGUGAUCCAAAAGAUCACGUCAACCUCUACCUCAAUGUUCUGGAACCGCAAACCACUAACAACGUACUGUUGUGUCGAGCAUUCCCCAACACUCUCAAGGGUAAUGCCUAUCGGUGGUUUUCCGGUCUGCCAGCUGGAUCAAUCUCCAGCUUCGCGGACCUCUCGUCCAAAUUCAUCGCCCAACAUGUGAGGAUGAUUAGGAUCAAACACAGUGCCAAUGCACUACUGGCACUGCGACAGAACAAACUGUCUCUGAAGGAUUACACGAUUAAGUUCACUUCAAUGAUGACAAAAGUGAGCGACUUAAUCCCGAGUCUGGCCAUAGCGGGGUACACGAAUGGGCUAGUACCCUACUCCCCUUUGGCCCUGAAUCUUACGCUCCAUAAAGUGGAGACCUUACCCGACCUCUUGCAAAGAGCUCAAUCAUUCAUUAAGGUGGAAGAGAAGAAUGAAAACAAGCUAGUGGAACUUGAGAACACUAGCUUCAAGAAACAAAAGUUCGAGAAGAAGGGCUACAAUGAAAGGAACAAUUUUCAUGACUCCUCGAACAGAUACACUGACAAUGCGGCUGAUUCCUUCAAAAAGGAAUAAAAGCCCAAACACGAUAACAAGGUGUAUCAAACAUCCAUCAAACAAUCGCCAAGGGGUCCACCUCAACCAUGGAAGGAUUGGACCCCGCUAACAAUCAGCAAAAGCGAGCUGUUUGAGAAACUGAAGAACAGAGCGGAUCUGCCUGCUCCUCGCUCUAUGGACCCUGCAACCAAGGAUAGCCGUCAAAAAGGUGGAAGAUUCUGUAAAUUCCACAAGGACCACGGCCAUCUGACGGACUAUUGCAGGGAUUUCUCGCUUUAUGUUGAGCAAUUGAUUUCGAACGGUGAACUUGACAAUUUUGUUAAAGGAUCCCGAGGUCGAGACGAUUACAAGUCUGACACGAAGGGGAAACGUCCACGCUCUCCUUCGCUAGACAGCGACAAUAGCGAGGACCACCCACGGAAAACCAUCCAUAUGCUAUUUGGUGGUAGACCCACUGGAAGGCUAGCAUAACUGAGAGGAAUAGGAAUAAGCUGUCACCCAAAGGUCCCUGCAUCUGGCACACGGACAACAUACAUCAAUACUACGCUUAGUAUUGAACACGUUAUUCCUUAGGGCCUCUUAGUAUAUAUGUUAGUACAAAUUGCAAAAUAGAAUAAUCAGAUUUUACCUUUGUAAUUUGUAUUUCAAUAAAGUUUACAUUUAUCAUCUACCUACGACUCUAACUAGCACCCCACAUUAUAAAUCUAUUUUUUCGCUAUGGCCUUAAUAGAUUAAAAUCGUUUUGAUACAUUACGAUUCAACCCAAUCUUGUCGCUUCAGCCUAGAUAUGGGUCUAAAAAGUUACUCUGUCGCUACGGCCAGAGUUCAACCACGCAUUAGGGUCUAGAAGUAGAGUCCUAGGUAGUUGAUAGGUACAAGUGAACACAACCACGAGAGGUUCUAAGUACCCACCUCACUUACAGAAUCUAUUAUGUCGCUAUAGCCUUAAUAGAUUAGUAAUCGUUUUGUCGCUAUAGCCUUAACGAUUCAACCCCAUCUCGUCGUUACAAUCUUGAUGUGGGUAAAAUGUUGCUCCGUUGCUUCGGCCAGAGUUGAACUACAUAGUAAGGAAUCUAGAGUCUUAGGAUCGAAAAAAGUUCUAAGUGCUCACGUCACUUAGUCUAGAAAAUUCUAAGUCUUAGAUAAAAUUUCCAAGAGUUUUUUGUAUCUCCAACUCACUACGUCAAUUAGAUUUGCGAGUCUGGAUUAGUUGUAAAGUUUAAUCUAUUUCGCGAGUUUAGUCGUAGACUGAGCUACGAUUCGUACGACUAAGACUACGCCCAGAGCGGCUAGAGAUAGGGUUAGCAGAGUCUGAUUUACGUCCAGAGCGGUUAAAUUACGACUUGUGAAUCUAGUUUCGGGUCUUAGUUACAAUUCAAAAAAUAUAUUAAACAUAUAAUUAAUUUAGAAAGCAAAAUAAUUGAUAUUGAGUUCCAAAAGAUUACAAAAAAAAACAUAUAAAAAAUAUCAAAAGUUACAAGCUAAGAAGAAAUCAAAAAUCUAGUCUUCUUCGUCGAUCUUCAGCUUGUAUAAGUCAUCCUUGUACUUUUCCUUUUCCUCGGGAUCCUCAUCUACCCACGUCAUAAUACCCGAAAUAAAGUCUUCGGGUAGUGAUGGGAACAUUGAGGUACCAAAGAAGCUAAGUUCUUGGAGUUGAUCGGAUUGAUACUUUUUGUCCAACUCCAAGUCCUUAACCUUAUCCAGAAGUGCGGAGUUCUCCUUCUUCGCAUUUUCCAACUCCUCCUUAGAGCGAGAGAGUUGGUCAUUCAGCUCAGCACACUUCCCCUCCAGCUCAGAGUUAGUGUUCCUCAAGUUCGCGUUUGCGGCUUCAAAGGAAACUACAUUUCCAAUCUCAGUUUCUAGCCGAGCUCGCAUGUCCUGUAAUUCCUUAGAGGCACUCUUCCGUUCUUUACGGAGUCCCAAAAUCUGCGCAACAUAAUCGUCGAUUUCCUUCUUCUGGGAUUCAAUCGUCUUCUCCUUCUUCGGGAUGACGUUGUCUCUAAGAUUCUCUGUCUCUAAGAUUCUCAAAUUUUCUUUGGGCAUGGGCCAGCUUGCCCAGCUGCUUCUCGCUAUUCUUGUACUUGACGUCCAGCUCAUUGUAUCGAUCCUGAAUUUUCUGGACAUCAUUUAUCGAAUCCAUGCCAAAACAAGCAUGGGCCAUGUAGCAAGCCUACAUAAAAAAAAACAAGUUAGAAAACAAACAAAAACAAUAAGUAAAAAAUGUUUUCGGAAAGUAGAAGCACUUACAGUGUUCAGAGCUGUCAUGAGCUCACUCCGAACCCUUCUUCAGGAUUUCGCCAUUAAGAUGGACAUGGCAUCCGACCUGACUUGUGGAUCAGCCAUAAAAUCAGGAAGGGGCAUGCCACUCGUGUAAGGUGCGAAACCAGCCCGCUCAGGUGCGGCUUGAGAGCUUGAGCCCCUCUCAAACGUGCUCGGGACCUUGGGAGCCUUGGCCUUCUUUUCUAGUCUAACCAGCUUCGCACGUCGAUAUCUCUCGGCCAUGUGCAGAGCAGCAGCAUCGAAAUAUAGAAGCGUUCGCUUCUUUGCGCUUACUGUCUCUUCAUCCGUAGGAGGUUUCUGAACCUCCACAACAUCCUCAAAAGUGAAGUCCUCACGCUGGCAGAGGACAAAUGGCACGCCACGGGGCAGGCGGUGAGCGUUCAGGGCCUGGGUGAUCUUGGUGACGGCAAUCACAUCAUCCGCCAUCAAGCCCAGAUUCACGCUCAGCUUCGUGCAAUUCGGGUCAUCCCAAACUUCCCGACUCCCGGGAAGAAACUCAGAAUUGAUAAAAAUAAAUUCUUUCUUCCACACUCCAUGGUUAGUUGGAAGAUCGUCCAUUAAGUUGCGAUCGAGGUUUCGUCGCGCCAACCCGAGAAGACCCGAUCCAACCUUACCAUCCUUACUCAGCUUGUAUAGUUGAGGAAGAGGUAUGGGGUGGGAGUAACACCUAAACUCCAGCAAAUGUUGAGGAACCCUCUCAACGUCACAAAGAAUCCCGCUGGUAGCUGUGACAGCGAGACUUCAAAAGCAAGAAGCAAUUCACCCAUGAGCUCCGGAAUGGGCAGCUCAGGGAAAUGCUUGAAGUAUAUCUUAGGUAGAGCCUGGAACCCCGGUGGUGGAAGGUUCGCCGGCUGGUAUUUCGGGCCUCUUUCGCGCUGAUGAUUGAGGGGGGAUGCACUUCAGAUUGACACGCAAGCGUCGCCACAGUCAUAACUUCUUCAAAUCGACCCUCGCCCGAGUGGUCGAAAGGGAGAAAUUGCGUCGCGCCAUUGACAUAUGUUUCGCAAUGCGCAUAUCCGGUCUGAUUCACGACCCCAAUAUAGUUUGAGGGAUCAACAUCGGUAUCUCGACCUAAAUCCAUCUCGACUGGAGAUGGAGGAGUUCUUUCUCUUUCACGACGUCCCGCAUCUGGAGCAGGGACGGGAAUUCCACGAUCAAUGACGAGUUCCUCGUCAAAAUUUAUAUUUUGAGGAUUCUCGGUCUCCUCCUGGCCAGGCACAUAGAUUUUGCCUUUGCCAUGACCCUGUUGUCUCUUCUUCUUUUUCGAACCAUCGUCCUGAGAUGGUCGCUUAUUAGGGUUCAUCCCAGACACGAUGACACCCUCAGAAUUCACAACAAGUGGCUCAGAAUUUACAGUUGAAUCGUCCACUGUCAUGAUGGGAAUCGCCGACUCAACUACCAGAGUCGUCGAUUCAACUGGCCCAGUCGCCGACUCAUAUCGGAUAUUUAAGGCCUCGGAGUCAGUGGCCAACUUUUCCCUCCUCUUGAAGGAGGUCUUCUUCUUUGAAACCCUGGUAAUCGGCGACCCCGAAGUGGGAAUCGUCGACUCACCAUGGAUUUCUCCCUGUUCAGUUUCUGGCACGACUUCCGAAACCUUGUCCGGAAUCGUCGACUCCACAGAGGGAAUCGUCGACCCAGCCAGAGGCUCCAACAACUCGUGCACAGAAGCACUCAAAUGGUCGUCAGAAGGUGGAAUAACCGGAGUCAACGAUUCAACGUCUCUGGGAGGAGACGGAAUCGGCGACUCAACGGCGUUCAACACCUCGACGAGUGUCUCUUCUCCGGCCAUCUCCGCGAUCAUAGCGGCGGCCUCAGCAUCAGUAAGGUGGGGGGUUGUUCCUGCCAUCUCGGAGUUAUCGAUUCGAGUUCAAUUGAACUUGGGAAUCGGCGACAGAAGGAUCUAGGGUUUGGUAGGUAGGCGAUUCAAAAUUGGGGAAAAGUGAAGUGAGAAGUGUGAAGCGCUCACUACUAUUUAUAACCCCUGGAAAAAUUGCAAAAACCCCCUAGAGAUUCCGAAAAUUGCAAGGGAAGGAAUCGGAAAUCGAUCUCCAAAUCCCUGAAAUCAUGCCCGAGUCGACGAUUCCCAAGCUGAAUCGUCGAUUCCGGCCACUAUUUUGCAAAAUUUGAGAGAUAUAUUUCCUUACUUGGAAAAUUUGCAUAUAUCCUCCAAAUAUCUCUAAGAAUCUCCUGAAAGAUCCGACGUUUCACAGUAGUAGUCGACGAUUCCCAGAAGGAGUCGCUGACUCAAGGGGGGAAAUUUCAAAAACAACCCUCACAGUUACCCAAAACCUAGCAGUCAACGAUUGGGGCACCCAGUCACCGACUCAGGGUAAACAACAACACAUCUUCAGGAGAGAGUAUCGCAAGCCCUCUCCAACACUUCUGUCGCUUCGGCCAGAAGUCGUCACAUCUUCAGGAGGGAGUAUCAUAAGCCCUCCCCGACACUUCUGCCGCUUCGGCCAGAAGUCGUCGCAUUUCAAGAGAGAACAUCAAAAGCUCUCUCCAGCAUCAGGGUUCAAAGUUGCAAAGGUAACCCUCGAGUUUCGAAUAUUUAUCAGUUUCGAAUACUCCAAUACUUCAAAAAAAAAUAAAACCCACUCAUUCAAAGGGAUAUGUGUCGCAAAAGGCACGAUUUUCGAGAGAGAGUAUCACAAACUCUCCCGACACUUCUGUCGCUUCGGACAGAAGUCAUCACAUCUCAAGGGAGAAUAUCACAAACUCUCCCACACUUCUGUCGCUUCGGCCAGAAGUCAUCACAUAUCGAGGGAGAAUAUCACAAACUCCCCCGGCACUUCUGUCACUUCGGACAGAAGUCAUCACAUCUCAAGGGAGAAUAUCACAAACACUCCCGACGCUUCUGCCGCUUAGGCCAGAAGUCAUCACAUUUUCAAUACAGAGUAUCACAAGUCCUCCGGACGCUUCUGUCGCUUCGGCCAGAAGUUGUCAUAUUUCGAGGGGGAGUAUCACAAGCUCUCUCGACACUUCUGUCGUUUUGGCCAGAAGUCGUCAAAUUUCGGGGGGAGUAUCACAAACUCUCCCGACACUUCUGUCGCUCCGGCCAAAAGUCGUCAAAAAUUGAGCACGGUAAGAUCUGUCGCUUCGCCCAGAUUUACCAAGGAUCAAUUUGAGCAAAGGAGAGGCAUCAAGGAAGGUAAAAUCGUACGGUAAGUUCAAUAAGUUAAAUAUGCGUUUUGGACUGAUAUAGUUGUUUUGCAGGAUGUUUUCUUUUUUGCAGGAAAGGUUCUAAUAGUGAACCAGACUCUGAUAGUGAGUCAGACUCUAAUAGUGAGUCGGUCUAUCUCGUCGCUUCGGCCUUGAUAGACCAAAGGUCAUUUUGACGCUUCGGCCUUAAUGAUCUCAAGGGGGGAGUAUCACAAGCUUUUCCCGACACUUCUGUCGCUUCGGCCAGAAGUCGUUAAACUCCGGGGGGAGUAUCACAAGCUCUUCCCGACACUUUUGUCGCUUUGGCUAGAAGUUGUCGAAACCCAAUGGGAGCAUCACAAGUUCUUCCGACACUUUUGUAGCUUCGGCCAGAAGCUGUUAUAUUUUGAGCAUGAUAGAUCUGUCGCUUUGGCCAGAUCAAUCAAGGACUUAUUGAGCAUAAGGAGGAGGAGCACAAGAGGCAGCUCCACACGACAAGGUCAGUAAAUCAAUAAGUAUAUCCUUUAGACUGAUAUGGUUGUUUUGCAGGUUAUUUUCUGUUUUGCAGGAAAAGGUUCUAAUAGUGAACCAGACUCUGAUAGUGAAUCAAUCUAUUUUGUCGCUUUGGCCUUAAUAGAUCCAGGUCCAUUUUGUCUCUUUGGCCUUAAUUGACCAAGAAUUAUGUUGUCGUUUUUGCUUCAAUAAUUCUUCUAUCUUGUCGUUUCGGCCUUGAUACGUUUGGAGAUUACUUUGUCGUUUUGGCCUUAAUGAUCUCGACCCAUCUUGCGCUUUGGCCUAUGGGGUACCCGUCGUUGUGGACGUAAAGUCGCUCUUGAUCAGGGUGGACUAUAAACAUCAGUUCUGAUAGUGAACUAGAUUCUAAUAGUGAAUCUACGCAUUCUGUCGCUUCGGCCAGAAUCCACAUUCUGUCGCUUCAACCAGAACCCGAUUCCAAUAGUGAAUCCAAGCAUUCUGUCGCUUCGGCCAUAAUCCACAGCAAAAGUCUCUCCUGAUUAGAGUAGGACUAUAAACACGUAGUUCCAUUGGCCUGGAACUAGAUUAUGAUAGUGAAUCAAUCCAUCUGAUAGUGCAUGGAUCACGUGGAGUCAUUGUGUCACUGUGAGCGCAAUGACUCGAUCCCAUCUUGUCGCUUUGGCCUUGGUGCGGAUCACCUUGCUUGGGGGGGAUACUGGCGGUACACGCAUGUCUCUUGUGCUCUCUUCAGGGGGGAGUACUGGUGAGACAUGCCUGAUUACGUCAGUCACUCCCAGCAACGCCCUUCAACAAAGACUAGGGUUCCGCCGCUUUAUGCCGGACCCCCAGAGAGAUCCACGGAUACGGACAAGUGUCUACGUCAAGUACUUAAGUCAAAACUGGGAAUCGACGACUGAGACUACCAAGUCGCCGACUCCAGAGGUGAGCCGCCGAUUCUAGGCCUCGUUGGCCAGUUCUGGAAGACUGCCAACCUGGCUCAUGGGGAAUCGAUGGCUUCACCCUGAGUCACCGACUCUCAGCCGUUACUUGACUUGGCCCACGCCAUUAUGGUACCCUUAAUAGGGCACCAUAAUAGCAUGGGCCCCACAGGACCCUAUAAAAGGGGUCCUUGGGGGGUCCUCUCAUUCAUCAAGGAAUCCCUCCACUCACUUGACUCCACACUCCAACCAGAGAACCAAGGAGGCCGAGUCGCCGACUCCCACACCUGAGUUGUCGACUCCCCUCCACUUCUGCAGGUAUUUGACGUAAAGCGCGCGUCGUGGACUUCAAAGCCUCCGGCCCUCCUCGCGACCCCGCGAGCCUACUGAUAGCAAAUUUCGUGCUUCAUCAGUUAUCUUAUUACUACUUUUGUAUAUUAAAUAUAUAUUGAAUUAUCUAUAUCAUAUAUAUUCCAAUAUUCCCCCUCAAGUUGGCGUUUGAGAAAUUACACCGAGCUUGGACCUUAUUUCAAGGAAUCGUGAUGAUGAUAACGGUUUGGUGAAGCCAUCAGCUAUCUGAUCUCGUGUAGAGAUAUGAGUGACAUGUAUUUCUCCAUUUCUUACUAAUUCUCGCACAAACCCGAAAUUGAUCGCCAUAUGUUUCAUUCAAGAGUGGAACACCGGAUUGUGUGCUAGAUAUUUAGCCCCAAGGUUAUCCGUCCAUACUUGAGCUCGUCUGAUUGGUAUUAGUCGAAUUUCCCUUAGUAAAUUUCGAAUCCAGACUGUUUCCGACGCUGCAUCAGCCAUAAUGCGAAACUCAGCUUCUGUGGAUGAGCGUGCAAUAGUGGGUUGUUUCUUGGCUGAUCAAGAGACUAGAUUAUUUCCGAUGAAUAUAGCAAAUCCUUCCGUACUACGUCGAUCAUCUAGGCAUCCUGCCCAAUCAGCAUCGGUGUAUACAUCUAUUCUGAUCGAGGCCGAUGGUGCAAACAAUAUUCCAUACGAAACCGUACCUUGUAGAUAUCUCAUUACUCGUUUUGCCGCUGCCCAAUGAACUCUGGUUGGAUUUUGGAGAUAUUGACACAGUUUAUUUACGGCAAAUGAUAUAUCUGGACGAGUAUUUACCAAGUAUAACAACGCCCCUACCGUCGAUCGAUAUAGUAGCUUAUCUUCCAUGAUUACCCCGUCAGUCGCAGUCAGCUUUGUAGUGGAUGGCAUAGGUGUGGAUGCGGAUUUUGACUUGUGCAUAUUUGUUCGACGGAGCAGAUCACAGAUGUACUGAUGUUGAGAUAGAACAUACCCACCAGUAGUACCUACCGGAGUUAGUUCCAUUCCUAAGAAGAAAUGCAGCUUUCCCAUAUCUUUGAGUCUGAAUUCCUUAGAUAACGUGUCAAUCAACUGUGUGAUAACUGAAGCUGAAGACCCAUUCACUAUUAUGUCAUCUACAUAGAUCAGUAUAUAGACCUGAGAAUUUCUCGUAACUCGCAAGAAUAGAGAUGCAUCUGAUGCGGUACUUACAAAACCAAUCAAUUUCAGAAAAUUACUCAGGCGUUCAUACCAUGCUCGAGGGGAUUGCCGGAAUCCGUAGAGCGAUUUAUGAAGUCUGCAUACCUUGGUUGGAUGAUGUUUGUCUACAAACCCUGGGGAUUGUGUCAUAAACACAAUUUCCUUGAGGUCUCCAUUUAGAAAUGCAUUGUCGACAUCAAGCUGACGAAAUUGCCAACCCUUGGAUAUUGCGAGUGCUAACAUGAUUCUGAUAGUUGGGAACUUCACUACUGGACUGUAUGUUUCAUCGAAAUCAAUACCCUCGACUUGGGAGAAGCCCCGUGCCACUAGACGUGCCUUUCGUCGUUGGAGACUUCCAUCAGAUCCUCUCUUAACUUUGAAUACCCAUUUACAAGUGACUAGGUUCGCAUUUUGAGGAAGAUUCACCAAAGACCAAGUGUGAUUUCGCAUCAGUGCACCAAACUCCACUUCCAUGGCAUGGAUCCAUUCAGGUGAUUUGGACACCUGUCGGACUGUAGUUGAUUCUGAGAAGUCAUCAACUGCAAGUGACGUGGCUUCCAGUCCUACCAGUCUCCGAUAAUCAACUCGAGGAAUAUUCCGUUGAGGUCGAUUAUUAGGGGCUAGGAGACUUGUACUUGCGGGUUCAUCUGAAUCUUGACUAGUUGAUAAUGAAUUAUUCAAGCUUCCAGUACCGUGUACCAUUGGUGACACUGUGGGCCCCUCCAGAGUUGAUAGACUAGGUGAUUCUGGACUGGAUCGAGGAUUCUGAGAAUUUGACCUUUCAGUCGUAGGUGCAGCCGAAUCUGAUGGAUGAACUGAAAGCAGCCCCCAAGGGCCUGACUGGUGACUCGUUGAUGUGCCUUGGGGUACCUGUAAUUUUGCAAAUGGAAAGGAAUUUUCGAAAAAAGUACAAUGACGCGAGACAUAUAAUUUUUGAGUUGAUGGAUCAAGACAAAUAUACCCCAUAUAAGAUGGACUAUAUCCGAGGAAAAUGCAAGACGUAGACUGAAAGGCGAAUUUGUGUUGAUUAUAAGGUCUAAGAAGUGGAAAGACCUCACACCCGAACACUUUUAGAAAGGCGUGUUUAGGUUGGAUAUUGAAUAAUUUUUGAAGUGGUGGAGUCCCAUGAGUUUUGGAUGGUAUGUGAUUUAUGGCAAACACUGCUGUAGAAAAGGCAAAAUUCCAAUAUGAUAGAGGAACACUACCAUGAGCGAGAAGUGUUAGACCAGUGUCCACGAUAUGUCUGAUCUUCCUUUCUGCCGUGCCACUUUGUUCAUGAGUUUGUGGACACGACCUUCGGUGAUGAAUUCCAUGAGAGGUGAAGUAUGUGGUGAGCACUUGGAAUUCACCACCAAAGUCUGAUUGGAAAUAUUUAAUUUUAUGUCCGACUUGUUUUUCCACCAUAAUAUGAAAUUUCUGAAAGAUGCCUGCAACUUCAGAUUUAUGUUUGAUAGGAAAGAACCAGAUAAAUCUAGAAAAAUCGUCAAUAAAAAACACGAAAUAUUUAUGUCCAUUAUAGGAAGAGACCGGGGCAGGGCCCCACACAUCACUAUGAAUGAGUUCUGACGGACAUUUGGAUUUAGAGUACGUCGAGACAAGGUGGUUAUGACUCGCCUUGCCUAACACACAUGACUUACAUUUAUUGAAUUUGGAAAUAACAGAAGGCAAAUGAUUUAACGACACUACAUGACGGAGGACCGACUCAUUGGGGUGACCCAGCCAUUGAUGCCAGACAUCCAGAUUGGCUUGAGUCGAAUGAAGGAUCGGUGGUGGAGUCGGAACGAUCUUGUAGAGAGAUCCAUCAUGUAGUCCUUGAAGAAGUACCUUGUGAGUAAUUCGAUCCUUCACAAAGACACGAAAAGAGUCAAAUACAAAAUAACAGUUAUUAUCUCUGCAAAAUUACUAAACGGAUAAUAGUGGAGUUUUAAGUGACGAAACAUGUAAAAUAUUGCGUAACGAGAAAAGAGAGGAUCCACUUGCAAAAUUACCAUCCCCCAAGUGUUGGAUCUGAAGUUGGGUCCCAUUACCUAAUUGAGCGGACCCGGGUCCUUGAUACGGCAUUGGAGACGAGAUUGACUGGAUGUUUGGAGUAAAGUGGUGUGUCGCUCCAGUGUCUGGGUACUAGGCUGCCAUGUCAUGUUGAUCCAAGUCACUUGUCGAGAAAUAUGAAUCUGCCAUUUGUGUAUUAUUUGUUGCGGGCUGCCUAAAAUAAUUAGGAUUUUGUUGCUGGACCGGGGCAGGAUAAUAUUAGGCUGAUUGUGUUGGGGAAUUAAUAUAUUGGGCUUGGGCCAAAUUCGUUUGGGAAUUAAAUGCAUUUAGGAAAUUUGCGUUGUUGGCUUGGGGAUUAUUUUCUUGGGCCGGAUUUGAAUUUGUAUUUUGGUAGGGGUUUACGCGAUAUUGGCACUUAUAUGGGCUGUGACCCAUACCCCCACAAACCGGGUACGGGCCACGCCUAGUUUGGGCAACCCUACCCUUUCUUUUCCCCAAAUUAUUGAAGUUUCGGCCGCCGCCGCGCCCCCUUCCGGCGAAACUCGAAGCCGGCGACGUGACCGAGCCUCCCGCCGAUCCGUAGUAUUCUGCUAUCUGAUUCAAUGUGGGGAUGGGUUGCCUCAUUCACAACCGGAUCUGGUGACUGGACAUAACCUCCAGCAACUUGUCGAACGUAACCGGCAACUGCCGGACCGCCAGCGCCGUCACUGCUUCGCCGAAGUCUGGUCCCAGAUUAUUGUAGAUGGUCGCGUUGAAGAUGCGGGUGGGAACGGAUGCUCCAGCCGCUGCCAGUUCGUCGGCCAGGAGCUUGGCUCGCCGGAGGAAAACGGAAACGUCCUCGCCGGCGGCGUGUUUGGUGUUCUGUAGCUGCAUUUGAAGUUGGAUAAUUCGCAACUCCGAUGGUCGCCCAUAGGACAUUGCUAGAGCAUCCCAGAUUGCAGCGGCAGAUUCGAGUCCCAACACCGUGGGGAGCACCUCCUCCGAUAAAGAGGAUAAAAUCCAACUUAUCAAUAGUUGGUCCUUACGCCACCAAGCCAUAUAGAUCGGGCAUUGAAGGGAGGGCGUAGGAGAGGAGGAGAUUGAUUUAUCAAUCAUAGAUUUCAGAUCAAAGCAAUUUAGUAAUGGAUUGAAUUGCAUCCUCCAUAAGAGGUAGUUUGUUGGCGAUAGUUUGAUAUGGAGGAAACUCUGGAUGGAUUCAAAAGAUGGGGAUCCAGCCAACAUUGGUUGAGGGAGCAUUGCUAGAUUGGAUCCAUUUGGAUCAGCAAUUGCUGGAAUUAUCAAUGAAGGAUGAUCGAUCGGUAUUGUGGAAUGCAGCGGAUUUGCGUUUGAUGAAGCCACAGGAUCGACAUCGGCGGAUGAUACCAUGUUGGAUUGGUUGUCUAUGGAGAAUGAGGAUGAACCAAAGAAGGCCAUGGAGAAACCAACGUUUUAAGAAGUAAGUGUGGAGGUAGGAUUUUGGGCAAAUAAUGUUGUAAUUGCCUUGAGUAUAAGAGAGGUAUUUAUAUACACAUGAGGAUAACAAACCCACAAUUAUGUGAGUGGGGUUUGUUAUCUUGUUACUACUUUUGUAUAUUAAAUAUAUAUUGAAUUAUCUAUAUCAUAUAUAUUCCAAUACCGGUAUCUAUCUUAUCAAUCUCAUUGUCUCCUGGUAGUAAGGGAUCUUCUCUGUCUCGUCUGAGUAGGGGAUCUGCUAGCUUGUCUAGCCUAUCGUGUCUUGGGAGUAGUGUAUCUACUGGAGGAACGUAACCUGUGAUCCCUCUUGCGUACCGUCAUUUAAUUAUAAGAAAAUCAUCCUCUCUAGAAGUUGUAUAAUCUGAAUUAAACAGAAGAGAAGAUAUCAUCAAGUCUACUGUAAAAUCAUGCCUAAAAAAAUCACGAUAAUAUAUGAAGGACUUGGCAGAGAAAUCUAGAAGAGAAACAAUACUUAUAGUAGGAGAUUGGGUUAUGGUGACACUAUAACCCAACAUGCAACUAUCUACAUCCAAAUCUAGUGGCUCUCUACACUACAAGAAAAAGGCUUUCUUUACGACCAACCAAGUUGGUCGCAAAAAGACAUAAGUUGGUCGUUUAUAGAAAAAAAUGAUCGACUUUUUGGUCACUACGUUAGUCGCAAGAAACCCCGUCGCUAGUGAUCUAUAAGCGACCAACUUUUUGAGUUGGUCUCUUGAAGGUGACCAAUUUGGUUGGUCGCUCAAUAAAUCUAAAUCUGACCAAAUUUUUGGCACCAACAAAGGGUGGUUGGUCCCAAAAAUUUGGCACCAAUAUAAGGGUGACCAACUUGGUUGGUCGCAAAAAUUUUGACGCCAACAUUAGGGCGACCAACUUGGUUGGUCCCAAAAAUUUGGCGCCAACAUAAGGGUGACGAACUUGUUUGAUCGCACCAAUUUAGCGCCAACAUUAGGGCGACCAACUUGGUUGGUCGCAAAAAAUUGGCGCUAACAUAAAAGCGACCAACUUCGUUGGUCCUAAAAAAUUGGCGCCAACAUAAGGGCGGCCAACUUGGUUGGUCACAAAAAUUUGGCGUCAACAUAAGGGUGACGAACUUGGUUGGUCACAUACAUUUCCUCCAACAUAAGGGCGACCAACAUGGUUAGCCACAAAAAUUUGACGCGAAAUUAUAGGCGAACACCUGGUUGGUCGUUAUUUACUAGUAUUUAGAUUUUUAAGACCAAACAAAAUUUUGGAUGAAUUACACUUAGCGACAAACUAGUUGGUCGCAAAUUUUUAAGGCGAAAAAAUAAUAAUUUUGUUUUACAUGGGUUUCCAUUAGGACCUUACAAAAACUCAUUCAUAUAACCUGUUACAAUAAAAAAUAUAUAUAAUAUACAUUUAUCUAAACAUAUAUUAAGUCAAUCAUUAAAAAAUAUAUUUAACCAUUCAUCCAAAACGAUAUUUAACAAUUCAUCCAAAAAUAUAUUUAACCAUUCAUCCAAAUAUAUAUUCAACCAUUCAUCCAAAUAUAUAUUAACCAUUCAUUUAAAAAUAUAUCGAUCCAACCAUUUAUCGAUUAUUCGACAAUACAAUCAUUUAUCUUUAGUUUACCUUUAAUUUUAUUUACCAUUAAUUCAAAAUUAGUUACUUAAAAUAAUCUACCUUUCAAUUUUUUCUUCUUUUUUCCAUGUUUUUAUCUUUCUUCUUCUCCUUAUAUUUAUUUUUCUGUUGCUAAUCUGUUUCAAUUGAAACGUUUGAAAAUCCUGUCAUUCCAAGAUAGAAAAAUAUUAUAAGUAUAUAAAAUAUGAAAAUCAAAUAGAUUACAAAUUUUUACUUACUAAAUUUGUGGAGUGCUUUCGACAUUUGAGUUAAAAGUCUAAAUAUUUUGAGAUGACGACUAAAUAAAUAAAUAAUAUGAAAUUAGAAUUGAAAAAGAUAAUUUAAUUCAAAUACCGUAGAAAUCGUAGGACGACUCUCCAUUAAAUGUAUGAUCAUUUCAAGCAUCUCUUGUCGUUCUUUUUCAAUCUCUUUCAGUUCUAUUUGCAUUUGUGAUUGCAUCUAUUUUUGCAUCUCCAAAAAUCUUUCUUUGCGACCUUAAUCUACUUGAUUUAGUCUUGCUAUAUCAACCUUCAAUGAUUUCAAUUGAUCCACAUUACAAUUGUUACUUAUGGAUCCGUAGGCGGAGGAGAUUCUCUUCGAAAGCAUCGGGCACGGUUGAAUUUUUCCAAAUCCUUGAACACGGUGUUUUUUAUGAUUAAAUAUUUUCAUCCACUCUUGGUCAUCUUCACCAGCGUACAUAGGUUGUGGCUCUGCUGUGGAUCCUUCUGUACUUUGAGACAUAGGAAUUUCAAGACCGUGUUCUCGCAUGCUAGCAAGUCUUUUACUUUUAUAAAUUUUCUAAAACAAAAUACAAAAAAUAAAACAGUUAAUAUUUUUUUAAUUAAAUUUAACAAUGAAAUUAUUAUCUACCAUUAGAGAUUCAGCAAUUGGAUGAGGUUUGUUGGUUUUCGGAUUUGUGUGUACUUUCAAGUACACAUCUGCUCGACAAGUUUCCCUGCCAGUUUCUUUAUCCUGCAUUAAAAAUAAGUAUUCAUCAAAUAAAAAUUUAAAUGAAAAUUUAAUGGCAUACAUAUCAUUGCUUCUUUGUGUGAAGUAAUUGAUUUAGCACCUCCACGGUAUACCAUGAAGUCUGCUUUGCUAUUUUUGUUGAUUUUUCCAACAGAUGAUUUUUUCCUCCACGUUACAUUUUCAAGCCAAAAAUUAACUAUCUUCUUCCAUCUUGUCAAUGUCAAUUCCUGCCUUGUUAAAAGCAUUUUCCCUCUCUAUAUGAAGAUUGUUUUUAUACGUCUGGUUGAUGUAUUUCUCAAACUAAAAUUUAGCGAAAUCAUUAUCGUGAAAACUGAAAAAUUAAUGUAAAUUCCAAACAUAUAACAGACAUUAACAAUAUCAUUUUUAUAAUAUAUAAAAAAUCAUUAAAAAUAAAAAUAAAUAUUAAUAUGUACCAAUAAUUUAUUCCAUAUAUCAUCUUUUACAUCUUUUGGGAACAUCGCCCAUGUAGUCCACGCACCAUUGAUUUUUUCCUUUAACCAAACACAUAAUUUGGUUUUUUACUGAUUGUUGGAACGACCUGCAUAAAGUUAUAAUAGUUAAAAAAAUAAAAAAAUGUAUAAAAAAAAAGAUAAGUUCUUACAUAUCUGCAUUGAGGAAAGUGGGAACAGGCACGCUAGGUUGUGAAAGAGAUCUAGUUUCCCCUCGUCCUCCUACGAUUUAAUAUUAUUAGUUGAAUUUGAAAACUGAAAAAUAUAUUUUUGAAAAUAAUACCUAAGCGUCCAUCUUCAGAAUCACGACUUUUAGUUGCAGAAGAUCCACCCUAAUCCUAACCCAUAUGAUUCCCAACAAUUCAGCAUCACCAUUAUUUAUUUAGUCAUCACUAUAUACUUUAUCACCCAUCAGCCAUGUCAAAUAAACCCCAAAUAACCAUGAUAAAUCUCAGAUGCAUAAUAUCCUAUCUGCAUAAUAUCACUCAAAAUCAGAAUGAAUGCAGCAAAAUACUCAAAUCUGCAACUAUUACCCAUCGGUAAACCAAUCCAAUAAAUCUAUGAAGCAUUUACAUCACCAUGCGUACUAAGCGAUAAUUAUUAAUCAGAAAAAUCAGAUUCACAUGUUGGGACUUCUCCACCCUACAGAUCUGAUCAAUUAAUCCAAUCUACAAAUCCACUCAUUAAAUAAAUAGGGCAGGUUUCCAGUGCAAUAUAACAAAAUGCGCCGUAUGCAUCUAGACCAUUGGAUCUGUGGAUGUAAUGUCAGCCGUAUAUUCAUUAUUAGUAGUUGUAGUGUAGGAUUAUUUUUUAUUUGCUGGAUAAUAGAAUAUCCUUUGAUUAAAUUUGUAGGUAGAGUGUCACUAUGUAGUAGCUGUCUGAUAGGAGGGAACCGGCGUCCAUGUCAAGCAUUGAUUGAACAAGGAAACUUGAAAAAAAUUCUGUAAACCGACGCGUUGAUUAAUCCCCUCACAUAUAACUAGGGUUUUUAUUCUCCUAUUUUUUUCCCCUUCUUUCCUUCUUCCCGUUCUUGCCACCGUCGAAGUGAACCACGAAAUUGAUUACUUUCCACCAUACGUCGGGCGUUUCCCUCCAUAUUUUUGCAACUCUAAUAUAUAACAGUGCGGUGUUGGACUUCGCUUUGCCUUAUUCUACGGCGUUGGACAGAGGUAAGUAGUUUUCGUUUUUGGUCAUUCCUUUUUAGUAUUCUCGUUUGAUGAUCGUUGUAUUUUAUAGAUCUGUUUUAUAGAAGUUUCUUAAAUUUUUGAAUCUGUUUUUCUCCCUUGUUCAAGUAUACUCUGUUGUGUCGUAGGUAGUGAUUUUGAAGAAAUUGGUAGUGUUGUAUGAAAUUUAGUAUGAAUAUGUGGUAUGACAUGUAGGUUGUUACUAUCUCCGAUCGUAGUAUUUUUUAUGUUUUUAUUAGUAGUAAUUCUAGUUUUAGACGAAUGUUGUUGAAGUUGUUUUUGUUUGACAUCUAUUCAAUCGGUUUUUAAAGGAUUUUUUUUUGGAUGUUGAGGUUGUAUUUUUUUCCGAAGAUUUUCAAUAUCUUAAGACCCAUCAUUAUUCCCUGUUGAGGUUGCAAUUUUUUUUAAAGAACCGAUUGUGGUUGUAUUUUGUUUUGAAGAACCUUUUGAUCCUUGUUCAAGUAUACUCUGUUUUGAAAUUAGCAUUCGAUAGGUUAGAUUUUUGUUGGGAGAUGAUGAAUGAAUGUGUUUGCAUUUGUGUUGCUUAGUUAUUUUUGUUAUUCUAUUUUAAAAUGUGUUUGUUUAUGUUGGCAGUGAAAGAUGUUUAGGUGAAGAAUAAAUAUGAUGUGCAGUCUGUAUUGUACUAUUUUUUAGGUCAUCUUUUAUCAUAUAGUACGAAUAUGUGAUUAGGUGAAGUACUGAAUUAUUAGGUGUGGUAGUAUUCUAGUCUCCUGAAAUGUUUUAUGAAUUCAUGUCUAGAUAAUGUACUGUAAUAGAUGAAGCUGGAUAUUUUGUUGAUGUUUAUACUUGAUGAUUUAGGAUAUUUAGGAUGAGGUAUUUUUGAUGAUUUAAUGAAGGACCUUAUUUUAAAAAAUUUACACGCCAUUACGACUAGGUUGGGACGAUACCAUACCAUUUACUGUAAGAAACUAAAACAUCGAAGUAAUAGAAAUAAUUACAAUUUAUUUGUGUAAUUAUAAUUGUUGAAAAUAGACAAAGAAACCAUUAUAUGUAAAUUAUUAUAGACGACUAGACCAUAGCCCAUAUAUAGGAGAAACGACGCAAAUGAACAUUGAUUAAUUGGCAUUGCCGUAACCAGAACCCGAUCCACUUCCAUAUCCGGAAGCACUACCGUUUCCUUUACUCGAAGCACUUCCACUGCCACCACCUCCACCACUUCCGCUCGCACUGGUGUAAUCAUUGUACGUUGAGGUGGAGGCAGAUCCAGAUCCACGACCAGAACCAGAUCCGUUUCCCCUCCCAUUUCCAUUACUGGAGCCACCUCCACGACCACCUCCAUUUCCAUCUGCAUUUGUGUAACCGCCUCCGUAGUAGCCACCAGAAUUGUAUCCAGAUCCACUGCCAGAUCCAUUACCAUACCCAGUUGCACUUCCAUCCCCUUGGGAUGAAGCUCCACCUCUUCCGUUUCCAUCUCCAUUUCCGCUAGCACUACCACCAUUGUAAUAAUAAUAAUAAUUAUCCUUGUAUGAAUCGCCGUUUCCAUAACCUGAACCUGAACCAUAAGCACGUGCAGAUCCAUCGCCAUUGCUGGAGGCCCUUCCACCCCCGUUGCCAUUUCCAGAACCUCUAGCAUACGAAGUUAAGACUCUCGAUGCAGAGGUCAUGCUAACACAAAGAAUCAUGACCACAAGGGCGGCGACAUUCACCGUCGAAGAAUGAGCCAUAUUGGCUAUAGCAAGUUGAUUUGGAUAUGAAAGAAAGAAACAAUUUGAAAUAAGGAAUGAAGUAAUUUGAUAUGAUAUGAUUUGCAUGAUUGGUUGGUAUUUAUAGACAUGAUUGUGGUGCAGAAUUCAAUUGCAAGCAUUAAUUUCCAGCUAGUUAUCUAUUUUUUACAUUUCCUACUUUGAAUUCUUCCUUAAUUUCACUUCAAUAACAAACUUCUUACAUUCUUUAUUGAAUUCAGAGAGAAAAUGAAGAUAUAUAUGUUGAAAAAAUAAAAUCCCAUGAUUGAAGUAAUUGACUUAUGAUUAGGCUUAAUUACCAUUCCAUAAUUAAUUCAAACAUUUGACUCAUUUGUUAAUUCAUUACUUGAAUAUUCUAAUUACAACUGGUGGUUUGUUCAUUUAUCUAAAUUUCUUUGACUUUUUUAGCCAAAGAAAGGAUCAAUGUUAUGAACACACUCCCUUAUAAUAAUUAAUUAGUUCCUUGAUUCAAACUUUAAUUUGCCUCGAUUAACUAUUUCUAUUUUUUACAACUUGACAAUUAAGUAGAUUAUUUGUUUCUUCAACCUAAUCUCGCCAUCUCCGACUUUCUACAUACUCCAUCUCCGACCUAAUCUGCAGAACCUUUAGAGAUUGGGUUGGAGAACCCCUACCUUGCCAUCCUAAUUGUCAUUCCUUAAUUCAAAGUUUUGAUUCAUUUAUUUACAUCAAUUUAAUUGCAACUUGUAAACUCAAUUUAAUUACAUCAAUUUCUUUGCUAUAUAUAGAGAGAGAGUAAUUUUGCAGGAUCAUCCUUCUAUGUGGUGUAAUUUUAACAUUUGGCUAAUUUUAAUUAUAAUAGUCCUACGUUUUAUCUCUCUAUUCAUAAUUGUAUUAUACUUUUGGACCUUCGUAAAACCUAUUUUAUCAUAUUAAUCAUGAUAUGUCACAUAAUUCUAAUUAAAGCUUACUCCUACUUGAAAGUCAUCUAGUUCGAUUUUGGAAAAAUAUUAUUUCUCCUCGUCGUCGACGAUACACAAUCCUCCAUGGUAUUAUACAAUACAAGAAAACAAACCUUGCCCACGGCCAAGAUUAGUGGUCUUCUGUUGAAAUCCGUGGGCCGUGGACGUAGGUCUAGUAGCUAUUUUAUUUAUUGGCCGUGACUAACUUUUUAAAAUAAUAAAAAACUAUUGGAGAAUCCACGUGGCUCCACUGCUGGCAUAAUUAGUUAAGGCAACUAUGAGUUAGUUAGAUAUUAAUCGGUUAUAACAGUAUGUAAUCUGUAGCUAUAAGUACGUAAUAAUCAGAAAAAUAUCAGAUACAAUUUGGUUAAUUGAUUCAUCAUCUUAUAUGGUAUCAGUAGUUUGGGUUUAGAAUCAUGACAACCGAAAGAGUUUCCGUUGCAAAUUCAGGCCGUUUUCCUGCCACCAUCGAUGCUCGCACACAGUCUUCAUCAACGAAGAUUGUUAUGAAGCCGAUGAAGUGCAUACAACUCGAUAAGAGCAAUUACUACUCAUGGGAAGUGCAGUUUUUUGUGAUGCUUCAGGGUUUCCAGUUAUAUUUGACUAUGUUCUGGGAAGAGUGGAGUUAUCGUCGCCAUCAUCAAUCCAGCAGGAUCAAUUAAUCCUGAGCUGGACACUGACCAACAUCUCAAUAACCACUCUUCCUCAGGUAGCAUCGCGGAAGACUUUGGCAGAGGUUUGGGAUGGUCUGCGCAAGCUAUAUGCUUCUGGAACGCAUGCGCGGCAGCUUCACAUUCGCCUUCAUCUUCAGUCGAUUCGGAAAGGGGGCUUAAGCAUUGAAGACUACUUUUCCAAAAUUUCCAUCCUAAAAAACGCUCUCGCAUCUACUGGGGAGGGACUAAAGGAAUCGGAAAUAAUAUUAAUCACUUUGGGUGGAUUGGGAGAUGAAUUUGAAUCGAUUGUAACUGCAAUAACAACUCCGUUUAAUCCAGAUCUGACGUUCUCCGGAGUGUGCAAACUAUUGAUGGACCACAAUCUCCGUCUGGAAAAAUCAAGAUCCACAAAUUCCGUUGUGGUAAAUAUUGCUACCAAGGUUACUCAUCCCGCCAACAGUCAGAGAUCGCCUAGAUCGGAUAUCCAAUGUCAAAUCUGCACGCGGAAAGGGCAUAGCGCCGCGGAUUGCUACAAUCGUUUGAAUUUUGACCGCUAUCCGGCUUUGCACGGUAGGGUAUUAUCAUCACUCGGUCCGAACGGGAGCACACGAACUCAGACUUCGGAAAAUCUGAUAACGACAUCUUCUGGCACAGCCACGAUGUCGUACCCCGAUUCAAGGGCCACAUCACACAUCAUCGCGUCAUCAGAAAAUAUCUAGUGUCCAAGAGCGUACAAUGGUAAUAUUUUCACAGCAGAUUGCAGUCCAUUAUCAAUUUCUUAUUCCGAUCAGAGCAAAGCUAUCUCCGAUUCCAAUAAUUUUGUUUUUCGUGAUUUACUGCUAGUCCCCUUGGCUACUAGGAAUUUAUUAUCAGUAAAUAAAUUUUAACGAAAGAGGUGGAGCUUCAUCCCAAGGGGAUGGAAGUGCAACUGGGUAUGGUAAUGGAUCUGGCAGUGGAUCUGGAUACAAUUCUGGUGGCUACUAUGGAGGUGGUUACACAAAUGCAGAUGGAAAUGGAGGUGGUCGUGGAGGUGGCUCUAGCAAUGGAAAUGGGAGGGGAAACGGAUCUGGUUCUGGUCGUGGAUCUGGAUCUACCUCCACCUCAACGUACAAUGGUUACACCAGUGCGAGCGGAAGUGGUGGAGGUGGUGGCAGUGGAAGUGAUUCGAGUAAGGGAAACGUUACUGCUUCUGGAUAUGGCAGUGGAUCGGGUUCUGGUUACGGCAAUACCAAUUAAUCAAUGCUCACCUGCUUUGAUCUAAUCGUCUAUUAUAAUUUACAUAUAAUUGUUUCUAUUUUUGGAGGUCCAAAAAUUAAUAUUGUUUGUUGACGGGAGGUCCAAAAAUUAAAGUAAAAAAUUAAAUUUAUAUUUUACUUUUUUGCCCAAUACCUGAUCCAAAUCCAAUGGAUACUCAACCAAAGUUCGGGUACAAGCUAGUAUGGGUAAGUAUUAGUGGUCUAUCAAAAAUGUUCGGGUAUAUGAAGUAUAUUGCAUUUAUUACAUUAAAUAUAUGAACAUGUAGAAGACAGGAUUUCCCCAAGUAGUAGCAAACAAUUGCGGAAGGUGAAAUAUUUUUUAGACAAACUUAUUAAUAAUAAUAAAAUAUCAGGUAAAAACCCCUCUUUUAGGUUCUUAAAUGAAAACUUUAUCUUAGUCAUCCAUUCUACUCUGAUAAAUCCUGGUCAUUCAUUGGAAACUGAUUGCAACCGAUGGAGAUAACUAUUUUUUUUAUUCUCACAUUUUGUCUCUCCCUACGUAAAUGUCAGAAUGCUAUUUUUUUUCAUCUUUCUCUCACACAGACACUCUCUCCUACCGUCUAAAAUGUCAGAUUUUUUUUCUCUCUUACAAUUUUUCUCUUCCUCCGUCUUCUGUGAGAACCAUUUUUUCUCUUCUUUUCUCUCACAAUCUCUCUCUCUCUUCGUCUGGUGUCAGGUACCGAUUUUUUUCCCUCUCUCACGAACUCUCUCUCCAUACGUCUUUGUUGUCAUAUUUGGAUUUUUUUUUAUCUUUCUCUCACAAUUUUUCUUUCUCCUACGUCGUUUGUUAAUUAAUUUCUUCUUCUUCUCUCUCUCUCUCCGCCACACCAGGCAGGAGGAAAGGAGCGAUAGGCACGCGACAAGGAACGACAAGCGGGAUAAGGAAACGACAGUUGCAGGAGAGCCAAUGAAUGAUGGUUUGGAUUUAACGAAUGAUGGUUUUAUAAUAUCAAUGAUGAACUAAGCUUUCUUAUUUAUAUGAUUGCAUUAUGACCUUUAGUAUUUUCAGCUUUGAUAUAUGAAAAAUCAGAUGUAUUUUGCUUGUCUUUGGUAGCUGAUGAAGCACGAAAUCUGCUACCAGUAGGCUUGCGGGAUUGCGAGGAGGGCCGGAGGCUUUGGAGUCCACGACGCGCGCUCUACGUCAAUGUACCUGCAGAGAAGAAGGGAGUCGGCGACUCAGGUGUGGAAGUCGGCGACUCGGGCUCCUUAGUUGCUCUGGUUGGAGUGUGUGUCAAGUGUUUGUGGAGGGGAUGUAUUUAUGAAUAAGGAUCCCCCUAGGGCCCCUUUUAUAGGGUCUUUCGGGCGUUUCUCAUUCAUUACCAAUGGGGCUCACGCUAUUAUGGUUCCCUAUUAAAGGUGCCAUAAUGGCGUGGGCCAAGUCAAGUAACGGCUGGGAGUCGGCGACUCAGGUAUGGGAGUCGGCGACUCAGGGUGAAGCCAUCGAUUCCCCAUGAGCCAGGUUGGCAGCCUACAUGAACUGACCAACGAGGCGUGGAAUCGGUGGCUCACCUCUGGAGUCGGCGACUUGGUAGUCCCAGUCGUUGAUUCCCAGUGUUGACUUGAGUAUUUGACGUAGACACUUGCCCGCAACCGUGGAUCUCUCCGGAGGUCCGGCAUAAAGCGACGGAACCCUAGUCUUUGUUGAAAGGCGUUGCUGGGAGUGACUGACGUAAUCAGGCAUGUCUCACCAGUAGCUCUGACAGAUAAGCCAGUCUAGCUACUGAAUGUUUUUAUGACUUUGAAUAGUCCAAGUAACCCUGAAAUUAAAGAUGGACAGGAACAAUAUAUUGAAAUCCGAUGGAUAAAACGACGUGACCAUCACCCAGGGGGCGGUGUAGAUGCCCUCGAGCAACACUUGUUGAUCGACGGGAAUCUUUUGGGAUGGAGGGCCCCUAAGUUGUUGAUGUCUGAGAGACUAACUGACCCGGAGGAUUACCUACACUUAUUCCGUACAUGCAUGGACGAUAUGACAGACCUAAGGGAUAUUCGGUUCUAUAUAUUCCAGAGAAAAUAUGCAUGGUAAGGGACCACUCGAGAAGUCGGAUGGACCCUAGGUCCAAGGAUUACUCAAAGACCGUUCGAGCUAUUAGGCCAACACACCCGAAGACAAGGAAAUGUCCAGAGGGAGAGGUCGCUCGUAAAUUUGGAUGAAUCCUAGGUCCAUAGACCGAUUGAAUUUCGUACGACCUAUUGGGCCAAUACUCGAAGGCAAGGAAAUAUGCAAGGGGAGGGGCCGCUCGAAAAUCUAUACAGACCUAAGGUUCAUGAAGCCCUCGAAGGUGCUUUCGGUAGAAAAGCCAGACGGAGCAAGCCUCGUAUAUUAUUAGGGGUCCCCUCUGGGAUGGGGGCGUAGAGUGGGGAGAUUGGCGAGUAGAUCUUUUAACUUCCAAAAUGCCUUUUCGCAGGCUUCAAUCCAAACUAGUCUUUUGCCAUCCGUUUUUAGAAGAUGGAAAAAUGGGCGUAGGUGGUCUGCUCUUCUUGACAUGAAGCGGUUGAGAGUGGCUACCUUCUCGUUAAGCCUUUCUACUUUUUAUGGUUCUUGGUGGGGUCAUGAUCCUAACGGCUUCCGUUUAUUCUUUUCGUGCUUUUAUCCCAUCCGGAGUUAUCCAAAAUCCAAAGAAAUGGUUUUUUUUACCUUUAACUUCAGGCCCACCCUCCGUAUGUUAUCGAACGUUUCUUCCAGGUCUCGUAGAUGGUCUCCUAUUCUUUGUGAUCUGGCCAGUAAAUCAUCUAUAUAGACUUCAAUAUUUUUGCCGAUUUGACUUUCAAAAAUCCGAUCCAUCAAUCUCUGGAAGGUGGUCCUGGUGUUUUGGAGGCCAAACGACAUGAUUCAGAAGCAGAAGGUGCUCAUCUCGAUCACGAAUGACGUUUUUUCCUCGUUCUAUGUGAACAAGAUGGUUUUCAAUAUUCUUAUCCUCUUUCCCUCGGUUUUCCAAGUUAGGUCUGAUGCGUACGUACCUGGAAUGCCUCUCCCCUAGAUAUGGCCAAUAUCUUGUCCAUUUGUUCCUCUUGAGGCUCUUGUUUUGGGACCUUGUGCCCUGUUGGGAUGAUCGACCACCGUUCUUCCUAUCUAAGUGUAUGAUGGUGGUAGGGCAUUGGACGUUGAUCUCAAUCUAAUCAGCAGUUUGUCCAAGUCUAAGCAUUCUGUCAUUGUGCGGCCUCGAUCUUCGUGGUACUCAUAAUACUGAUUGUUAUCUAAUAAUUCUAUAGAAGACAAAAACUAGAGUUUAAGGAUUGAGAUAACAUUGAAGUGUUGAGAUAACACUGUUUUCUCACGACCAAUAAAUAAAAUAGUCACUGAUAUUUCCGUGGUCCUCGUUAUUUCUAUAAGAUGAUGAAUCAAUUAACCAAAUUGUAUCUGAUAUUCGUCUGAGUAUUAUAUACUUAUAGCUAUAGAUUACAUACUGUUAUAACCAAUUAUUAUCUAAAUAAUCCAUAGUUGCCUUAACUAAUUAUGCCAGCAGUGGAGCCACGUGGAUUCUCCAACACACCCCUUUCAUCCUUCAUAGAGUCCCACUGGAGCUUCGUCGACGAUAUUUUCUUGUAGGAUAGAAAAUCUUCUAAGUGGCAGUGGCUUGGUCAAAAUGUCCGCUCACUGCUCACGCCCGGGAAUGUGCUUAACGAUAAUGUCUCCGCUUUGUACCUUCUUGGGGAUGAAGUAGAGAUCAAGAGCUACAUAUGUUUGAGCUUUAUAUGCCCGAUUGGAUUUUUCGCAAUGAAAGUAGCUUCUAAGUUAUCCGAUAGACUCACCAUAGGUCGCGGCACCUCUACCCCCAACUCAAUCAGUGCUGAGCAAACCGCUUCUAUCUCCUGAGUCGUAGUGGCUAUCGCACGGUACUCGGCCUCCGUACUUGAUCGAGCCAGUGUGCUCUGUUUCCGAGAUACCCAUGAUACUAACGUUCCUCCCACGUACACUAAGAAUCCCGUGCGAUUUUUACGAUCGACCGUGUCCUCUCCCCAGUCGGCGUCACAAUACGCUGUGAUCCCGAAAUCGUUGACCCACCGUAGUACGAUCCCGUGCCUUUGAGUUCUGAAUAGGUAACACAAAACGCGCUUUACAACCACCCAAUGUACCAUCGUUGGUUCUGUCAUAAACUGGGCGAGCCGAUUAACCACAACCUGGACUUCCGGCCUUGUUAGAGUAAUGAAUUGUAACGACCCUAUAAUCCAUUGAAAUUCACCAGGGUCGUCGAUAACAGGUUCGUCUAAGCGAAGCUCGAUAUCUGCAAGCAUUGGAGUGGAGACGGCCUUCAGUUCCCCUAUGUUACAACUCCGGAGAAGAUUCAGAAGAUACUGGUUUGUGAUAAAUGUAACCCAUCCUUGACGUGCCUGACCUGGAUGCCAAGAAAAUAUUCCAGAGUACCUAGGUCGCGUAUGGAAAAUUUCGCGCCCAAUCUGUUUAUCACCUUCUUGACUUCUUCUUCAUUCGAUCCCACUAUUACUAUAUCGUCGACAUAGACGAACAAAAACAUUGUGAUUGAACUUUUCUGAUAAUUGAAUAACGAAGGAUCAACUGCAGAUUCCUUGAACGACAAUGUUCCCAAGAACCCACUCAAUUUUUGGAACCAACACCUCGGUGAUUGUUUAAGUCCAUACAGAGACUUAUAAAGGAGGCAGACCUUAUCAAGAUUUUGGUUAUCGAUAAACCCAUACGGUUGUGAAACAACAAUUCUCUCCUUGAGGUUGUCGUGUAGAAAAGCGUUUGACACAUCGACUUAAUGAAGCACCCAUCCUCUGGAUAUUGCCAAUAGUAACACCAGUCGAAUCGACAACGGACGAACAACCGGACUAAAAGUAUCAAAGUAGUCCACGCAGUGAAUCUGUCGUAACCCAUUAGCAACCAAACGCGCCUUGAAUCAUUAUACUGUUCUUUCUACCUUGGAUUUAACUUUAAACACCCACUUGGUGUUAAUUAUAUUGUCUUCUGGUAGACGCGGUACUAGGGUCCAUGUUUCAUUUUCUUGGAGUGCGUUGUAUUCUUUUACCAUGGCGUCCUUCCAUUGAGGAACAAGGAGAGCCGAUUUUGCAGACUUCGAGAUUGAAACCUCAUAUGUCGUUGUUGCCAAGGCGAACUUCGGAUUGGGUUUAAAGAUCCCAACGGAACUUCUGGUGACCAUAGCAGUACGCUGGUUCGAUGAUCAUCAGAUUCUUCAAAGUCAUUCUCAUUCAUCGGAAGAUCAGUAGCCACGGAGUACGAGUCCAGCUCAGCUGAUAUUCCCGUCAAUCGGUCAGGCACGUGUACCAAGUGUAAAAACCCUCAUGAAAUUAAAGUUAAAAAAAAAAAUAAAUAAAUAAAUAAAUAAAUAAAAGGAGUCUUGUUGGGUAAAUAUGUACUAAGGCCAAUUAAGCCAUUAAAUCAAGAUGUGGGGACAUGAGCCCUAAUUAAACUAUUAUAUAAUGGGAAGAUGUAGAGGUCUAGGAGGAGAGGAACGGAUGAGAAGGAAAAGAAGAGAAGAGAAAAGAAAAGAAGGAAAGGAAAUAAACCAAUCGAUCUUAAGGGGAGAUUUCGAUCUUGGUGUGGAGGAUGUGAGCUGAUCAAUAAGGUAUGGGUUUAGAAUAUGUUCUUAUGAUUUUCUGUAAAUCUUUGGGGUUUAAGUAGUAUGAUUCUAUUGAUAGAUAGAAAUAGAAACAUGAUUAGGUUAUGUGUUACAUGAAAUAGUUCAACAAGUGAUACAUAUAUAUCCAUUGAAGAUGGGAUGGAUUGAUAGGUGGAUUAGAGUAUGACCAUUUCUGAAAAAUCUGAUGAUAUUCAGAUAUUGGAGUUGGGUCCUUUCUACUGUUUGGUGUUGCAUUUUAUUUAGAAUUAAAUUUGCUGGAUUUAAUCUAAUUCUAUCAAAUUUUCAGAGAUUUGAAGGUGGGUGUUGUUGUCAUAAUUUUAAAGAUUUUAGAUAUUUUAUGAUUGAUUUCAUAACUAAUUCUUCGAAGAUUCCGUAGUAUUAUUAUCUUAUCUUUGUGAUUGAGAUUGAUUGUGAUUGUUCUCGAGUAUUGUCAUUUAUUCUGAUUUGAUUUUUAUUUUGAAUCGCUUAUUUUUUAAAAGUAUUCCACAGUUGUCGGGAGUAUUAUUAUGUGAUGAUUUAAUCCAAAAUAUUGUGAGUUUGUACUGUUUUGAGAAGGGCGAGUGAAGUAUUUUUUUUGGAUUUUAUUUGACAUUGAAUGAGGGAUUAGGGAGUCAUGAGUAUGAGUUUUCUCGGUCUUUAUAUUUUAUGUUUUCAUCGGUAAAAAUUCUGUUUUGAUGUUAAGUUCGAAGAAUGACGAUGUUGAAUGAUAUUAUGAAGGUCUAUAAAAUGGUAUGAGAAGCACGAUAUGACAUGCCACGAAUCUCAUGAUGAGAUAAACAAUAUGACAAGAAUUAGGCUACAAAUAGUCGUUAAAUAGUUUGUUUGAUUGUAGUUAUUGAUAUUUUUAUGAUUGUUUAUAGGUGAUAAGAAUGAAUACUGGUAUAUUAUUCCUUAUGUGAAAUCAUAGAUACAGAUUUCCAUACUGAGUCAGUUGAGACUCACCCAUUUUGCUUUGCUAUGUUGUAUCGUGUUAUAAAAUUUAUAGGAUGGGGAGGUUGAUGAAGCCACGUUGAAUGGAUACAGGAGGGUGGAGCAUAGUUAACAUCAUGAGUAGUGGUGCUUCAUCUUGAUGAAUAUUAUGAACUCCGUUGGUGCAUGUUUAUUAUUUAUAACAAUAUUCUAGAGUCUUACUAGUAAAUGAUGGUGUUCUGGACUUUAUUCACAAAUUUUGAACUUUUAUUUUAUUGACAUAUUAUUAUGUUGAUUCUCGACAUUAGGAAAAGUACAACAUGUUUGUUUGUUUUCACCUGAUGGUUUAAAUGUUCAGAUUGAUAUUAUUAACAUCCCAUGUUACACCAAGUCAUCUUAUCGUAAGAGGAUGUUACACCAAGUCAUUCUGAUUUUGACUUUUUGUUAUCUCAUGUUGGCUUAUCCCAGUAGGUGAACUGUUGUUAUCGGUCUGGUCAGACUCCAUGCUAUUACCUUGGAUUGAUUCCACCGAAACCGUUAUUGGUAAAAUCCCCAAAUCAGGUAUUAUUUUCACCCAAAUUAAUUUUUGUAGAAAUAUCAUCUCGGUCCCCAAAUACUUCUUUGUUUAAGGAAAAGUCCUCCUCGCCAAACUUGACGUCCCGAGAAGCGUAAAUCCUCCGGCUGAUCGGCUAAAAAAAUAGGUAACAUUCUCGGGUCAUGGAGUAACCUACAAAUAUGCAUUUAGCCGAUUUUGCUUCCAGCUUGUUCUUCCGAUACAGACGAAUACAGGGAUAGCAACUGCUCCCGAAGACUCGAAAUUUCGAAUAUUCCGGUGCCUUCCCAAAUAAGCUUCCAUUGGAGAUUUCCCGGAUAAUAGCAAUGUGGGGUUCAUGUUGUACAAGUAGCAUGAUGUUAGCGCCCCAUAGUCCCAGAACUGAUUGGGUAGAUUGGCGUGAUGCAACAUUGUAAAGGUUGUGUUGAUUAUGUGCCAAUGUCUUCUUUCUACUUGACCCAUCUGUUGGUGCGAGUAUGGGGCGGACAUCCGAUGAGAAAUACCCAAUUCCUACAGUCUUUUUCCAAACUUUUGGUAUUCCAUUGUAUUAUCGGUUUGUAUAGCUAGAAUUUUGCCUCCACAGUGCCUCUCUGCCCACGUCCAAAAAAAUUCGAAUACCUGAUACAGAUCAGACUUUCUUGUAACUAGAUAGAUCCAAUUAAAAUGAGUGCCGGCGUCUACAAAACUGAUAUAAUACGAGUAACCUUCUACUGAAAUUAUGGGAGCCGGUCCCCAAACAUCCGAGAAAAUGAGUUCUAGCGGUUUGUAAAUCGUUGAGCGAGAAGAGUGAGGGAGAGAGUGAGAUUUGCCAAGCUGACAUGAGUUACAUAGUUUGAAUGCCUUAAAACCCAAUUUUAUUAGACCUUGUUUCUCCAAUACAGACAUAUAAGACGAAUUUAAAUACCCCAGACGGCAAUGCCACUAGUAAUGGGCAGGCAGAUUUUCGCACAAAUUUAUAGAUUUUGUGCUUGGUUCGAUGAUCAUCGGUAACUCGUGCAAUCCCCUGUUCGCCACCCCUUCAAGCAGCACCAUUUUAGUAGCCGAGUCCUUCACUCGUACCUUCUGUGAAUCAAAUUCAACACAAACAUUGUUAUCAAUACAAAAUUUGUUUACUGAUAAUAAAUUCCAAUAGCCAAGGGGACUAGCAGUAAAUCACGAAAAACAAAAUUAUUGGAAUCGGAGAUAGCUUUGCUCUGAUCGGAAUAAAAAUUGAUAAUAGACUGCCAUCUGCUGUGAAAAUAUUACCAUUGUAGGCUCUUGGACACUAGAUAUUUUCUGAUGACGCGGUGAUGUGUGAUGUGGCCCUUGAAUCGGGGUACGACAUCGUGACUGUGCCAGAAGAUGUCGCUACCAGAUUUUCCGAAGUCUGAGUUCGUGUGCUCCCGUUCGGACCGAGUGAUGAUAAUACCCUACCGUGCAAAGCCGGAUAGCGGUCAAAAUUCAAACGAUUGUAGCAAUCCGCGGCGCUAUGCCCUUUCCGCGUGCAGAUUUGACAUUGGAUAUCCGAUCUAGGCGAUCUCUGACUGUUGGCGGGAUGAGUAACCUUGGUAGCAAUAUUUACCACAACGGAAUUUGUGGAUCUUGAUUUUUCCAGACGGAGAUUGUGGUCCAUCAAUAGUUUGCACACUCCGGAGAACGUCAGAUCUGGAUUAAACGGAGUUGUUAUUGCAGUUACAAACGAUUCAAAUUCAUCUCCCAAUCCACCCAAAGUGAUUAAUAUUAUUUCCGAUUCCUUUAGUCCCUCCCCAGUAGAUGCGAGAGCGUUUUUUAGGAUGGAAAUUUUGGAAAAGUAGUCUUCAAUGCUUAAGCCCCCUUUCCGAAUCGACUGAAGAUGAAGGCGAAUGUGAAGCUGCCGCGCAUGCGUUCCAGAAGCAUAUAGCAGACCAUCCCAAAUCUCUGCCAAAGUCUUCCGCGAUGCUACCUGAGGAAGAGUGGUUAUUGAGAUGUUGGUCAGUGUCCAGCUCAGGAUUAAUUGAUCCUGCUGGAUUGAUGAUGGCGACGAUAACUCCACUCUUCCCAGAACAUAGUCAAAUAUAACUGGAAACCCUGAAGCAUCACAAAAAACUGCACUUCCCAUGAGUAGUAAUUGCUCUUAUCGAGUUGUAUGCACUUCAUCGGCUUCAUAACAAUCUUCGUUGAUGAAGACUGUGCGCGAGCAUCGAUGGUGGCCGGAAAACGGCCUGAAUUUGCAACGGAAACUCUUUCGGUUGUCAUGAUUCUAAAUCCAAACUACUGAUACCAUAUAAGAUGAUGAAUCAAUUAACCAAAUUGUAUCUGAUAUUUUUCUGAUUAUUACGUACUUAUAGCUACAGAUUACAUACUGUUAUAACCGAUUAAUAUCUAACUAACUCAUAGUUGCCUUAACUAAUUAUGCCAGCAGUGGAGCCACGUGGAUUCUCCAAUAGUUUUUUAUUAUUUUAAAAAGUUAGUCANNNNNNNNNNNNNNNNNNNNNNNNNNNNNNNNNNNNNNNNNNNNNNNNNNNNNNNNNNNNNNNNNNNNNNNNNNNNNNNNNNNNNNNNNNNNNNNNNNNNCAUAUUUUCUCUGGAAUAUAUAGAACCGAAUAUCCCUUAGGUCUGUCAUAUCGUCCAUGCAUGUACGGAAUAAGUGUAGGUAAUCCUCCGGGUCAGUUAGUCUCUCAGACAUCAACAACUUAGGGGCCCUCCAUCCCAAAAGAUUCCCGUCGAUCAACAAGUGUUGCUCGAGGGCAUCUACACCGCCCCCUGGGUGAUGGUCACGUCGUUUUAUCCAUCGGAUUUCAAUAUAUUGUUCCUGUCCAUCUUUAAUUUCAGGGUUACUUGGACUAUUCAAAGUCAUAAAAACAUUCAGUAGCUAGACUGGCUUAUCUGUCAGAGCUACUGGUGAGACAUGCCUGAUUACGUCAGUCACUCCCAGCAACGCCUUUCAACAAAGACUAGGGUUCCGUCGCUUUAUGCCGGACCUCCGGAGAGAUCCACGGUUGCGGGCAAGUGUCUACGUCAAAUACUCAAGUCAACACUGGGAAUCAACGACUGGGACUACCAAGUCGCCGACUCCAGAGGUGAGCCACCGAUUCCACGCCUCGUUGGUCAGUUCAUGUAGGCUGCCAACCUGGCUCAUGGGGAAUCGAUGGCUUCACCCUGAGUCGCCGACUCCCAGCUGUUACUUGACUCGGCCCACUCCAUUAUGACACCUUUAAUAGGGCACCAUAAUAGCGUGGGCCCCACGGGUAAUGAAUGAGAAACGCCCCAAAGACCCUAUAAAAGGGGCCCUAGGGGGGUCCUCAUUCAUCAACACAUCCCCUCCACAAACAUUUGACACACACUCCAACCAGAGCAACUAAGGAGCCCGAGUCGCCGACUCCCACACCUGAGUCGCCGACUCCCCUCCUCUAUGCAGAUACAUUGACGUAGAGCGCGCGUCGUGGACUCCAAAGCCUCCGACCCUCCUCGCAACCUCGCGAGCCUACUGGUAGAAGAUUUCGUGCUUCAUCAGCUGACGCCGUCUGUGGGACUAUCGAACUACGGUAUCCCGUCGUAAUCGCGAAAUUUUCUUCGCAAAGUUCGGCUCGAUUCCCUUCAGGAAAAUAGAAAAUCAUCGACUCCACCUAGUGAGUCUCCGAUUCUGGGUUAUUCUGCUAGCUAAGAGUGCUGUCCUCGACUCGGCUCGAAAGAUAAAAAACCUAAGGCCAAUCGCCGACUCCACCUGUUGAGUCGCCGAUUCCACUUGGUUUCUUUCGAGUUAGUUCUGUCAAUACCUGCGCUUCGGUUGGAAUUCGCUUUUGUCAUCCAUGACUUCUGAAAGGCAAAAGCACGAUUACCAUUUGAGGAACAAAGGCAAAUCCUCAGUGGCACCCGAUAGGGCACAAACUGAGCAUCCUCAGCAAAACAGGCAAGCUGAAAGGUUUGAGGAUGCUCAAACUGGUUUGCCCCCUCGGACAUCCAUCCCUCCCGCUCUAGAAGCGAGGUUGAUUAACUUCUUGGAGAACAUGGAGCAAAGAGUUAACAACCUCGAGAAAGCGAGGAGUCAGAGGACCAUCGCCCGCGAAGGAGCGGGUGAAUCGGCCUCUCACAAUUCUCCGUGUGCGGAGAAAAAGAAAGGUCCAGAACCACAAAAAUCAAGAGCUGAAUCUAGUAAGAGUCGCACUGAAAGGACUCUUAUAACACGUUUCAUGGAGGACCUCCGUCGGAAGCUAGCCAACAAUCCGGUCGCCAGCGGUCCGAUCGAAUUCCUGAGAGUCAAAAGCGCUCCUUUCCAAGAGGACCUUUUGAAGGUGUCCUUUCCACCAACCUGGCGGGUACCCAGAAUAGAGUCGUAUGAUGGUUCAGGUGAUCCAAAAGAUCACGUCAACCUCUACCUUAAUGUUCUGGAACCACAAACCACCGACAACGCACUGCUGUGUCGAGCAUUCCCCGACACUCUCAAGGGAAGUGCCUAUCGGUGGUUUUCCGGUCUGCCAGCUGGAUCAAUCUCCAGCUUUGCGGACCUCUCAUCCAAGUUCAUCGCCCAAUAUGUGGGGAUGAUUAGGAUCAAAUACAGUGCCAAUGCACUGCUGGCACUACGACAGAACAAGCUGUCGUUAAGGGAUUACACGAUUAAGUUCACUUCAAUGAUGACAGAAGUGAGCGACUUAAUCCCGAGUCUAGCCAUAGCGGGGUACACGAAUGGGCUAGUACCCUACUCCCCUUUGACCCUGAAACUUACGCUCCAUAAAGUGGAGACAUUACCCGAUCACUUCCAACGAGCUCAAUCAUUCAUUGAGGUGGAAGAGCAGAAUGAAAACAAGCUAGUGGAACUUGAGAGCAAUAGCUUCAAAAAACCAAAGUUCGAGAAGAAGGGCUACAGUGAGAAGAACAAUUUUCAUGACUCCUCGAACAGAUACACUGACAAUGCAGUUGAUUCCUUGAAAAAGGAAUGGAAGCCCAGACACGAUAACAAGGUGUAUCAAACCUCCACCAAACAAUCGCCAAAGGGUCCACCUCAACCAUGGAAGGAUCGGACCCCGCUAACAAUCAGCAAAGGCGAGCUGUUUGAGAAACUGAAGUACCGAGCGGAUCUGUCCGCUCCUCACUCUAUGGAUCCUGCAACCAAGGAUAGCCGUCAAAAAGGUGGAAGAUUCUGUAAAUUCCACAAGGACCACGGCCACCUGACGGAUUAUUGCAGGGAGUUCUCGCUUUAUGUCGAACAACUGAUCUCGAAAGGUGAACUUGACAACUUUGUCAAAGGAUCUCGAGGUCGGAAUGAUUGCAAGUCUGACACAAAGGGGAAGCGUCCACGCUCUCCUUCGCCAGACUGCGACAGUAGCGAGGACAACCCACGGAAAACCAUCAGUAUGAUAUUUGGUUGUGGAUCCAUUGGAAGGCUAGUAUAACUGAGAGGAAUAGACCAAGGAAUAAGUUGUCAUGCAAAGGUCCCUACAUCUGGCACACAGACAAUAUGCAGUAAUACUACGCUUAGUAUUGAACACAUUAUUCCUUAGGGCCUCUUAGUAUAUAUGUUAGUACAAAUUACAAAGUAGAAUAAUUAGAUUUUACCUUUGUAAUUCUUAUUUCAAUAAAGUUGACAUUUGUUGCAAAAUCAUCUACCUACGACUCUAACUAGCACCCCACCUUAUAAAUCUAUUUUGUCGCUAUAGCCUUAAUAGAUUAAAAUCGUUUUGAUACUUUGGACUUAACGAUUCAACCCAAUCUUGUCGCUUCAGCCUUGAUGUGGGUCCAAAAGUUACUCUGUCGCUACGGCCAGAGUUCAACUACACAUUAGGGUCUAAAGUGUAGAGUCGUAGGUAGUUGAUAGGUACAAGUGAACCCAACCCCAAGAGGUUCUAAGUACCCACCACACUUACCAGAAUCUAUUAUGUCGCUAUGGCCUUAAUAGAUUAAGAAUCGUUUUGUCGCUAUAAGCCUUAACAAUUCAACCCCAUCUUGUCGUUACGACCUUGAUGAGGGUAAAAAGUUACUACGUCGCUUCAGCCAGAGUUGAAGUACAUAUUAAGGAAUCUAAAGUCUUAGGAUCGAAAAAAGUUCUAAGUGCUUACGUCACUUAGUCUAGAAAAUUCUAAGUCUUGGCUAAAAUUCCCAACAAGUUUUUUGUAUCUCCAACUCACUACGUCAAUUAGUUUUGCGAGUCUUGAUUAGUUGUGAAGUUUAAUUUAUUUCACGAGUUUAGUCGUAGACUGAGCUACGAUUCGUACGACUAAGACUACGCCCAGAGUGGCUAGCGAUAGAGUUAGCAGAGUCUAAUUUACGUCCAGAUCGGCUAAAUUAUGACUUGCUAGUUUCGGGUCUUAGUUACAAUUCAAAAAAUAAAUUAAACAAACAAUUAAUUUGGAAAGCGAAAUAGUUGAUAUUAAGUUCCAAAAGAUUACAAAAAACAUAUCAAAAACUACAAGCUAAGAAGAAAUAAAAAAUCUCUAAUCUUCUUCGUCAUUCUUUAGCUUGUCGAGGGCAUCCUUGUUUUUCUCUUUCUCUUCGGGAUGCUCGUCUACCCAUGUCAUGAUAUCCAAGAUAAAGUCUUCGGGUAGUGACGGAAACACUGAGGUACCAAAGAAGCUAAGUUCUUGGAGUUGAUCGGAUUGAUACUUUUUAUCCAACUCCAAGUCCUUAGCCUUCUCCAGAAGUGCGGAGUUCUCCUUCUUCAACACGGAGUUCUCCUUCUUCACAUCUUCCAACUCCUCCUUAGAGCAAGUGAGUUGGUCAUUUAGCUCAUCGCACUUCCUCUCCAUCUCAGAGUUAGUGCUCCUCAGAUUCGCAUUUGUGGCUUCAGAUGAAACCACAUUUCCAAUCUCCAUCUCCAGUUGGGCUCGCAUGUCAUCUAUUUGCUUAGAGGCAUCCUUCUUUUCUUUGCGGAGUCCCAGAAUCUUCGCAACAUAAUCAUCUAUUUCCUUUUUUCUGGGACUCAAUCGUCUUCUCCUUUUUUGGGAUGACGUUGUCUCUAAGAUUCUCGAAUUUUCUUUGGACAUGGGCCAGUUUGCCCAGCUGUUUCUCACUACGCUUGUACUUGGCGUCCAAUUCAUUGUAUUGGCCUUGAAUCUUCUGGACGUCAUUUAUCGAGUCCAUGCCAAAGCAAGCAUGGGCCAUGUAGCAAGUCUACAUUAAAAAAAAACACAAAACAAAUUAGCAAACAAAAAAAUAUAUAGGUAAAAAGAUGUUUUCGGAAGAUAGAAGCACAUACAGCAUUCAGAGCUGUCAUGAGCUCACUCCGAACCCAUCUUCCAGAUUUCGCCAUUAAGAUGGACAUGGCAUCCGACCUGACUUGUGGAUCAGCCAUAAAGUCCGGAAGGGGCAUGCCACUCGUAUAGGGCGCGAAACCAGUCCGCUCAGGUACGUCUCAAGAGCUUGUGCCCCUCUCAAAUGUGCUCGGGACCUUGGGAGCUUUGGCCUUCUUUUCCAGUCUGACCAGCUUCGCCCGUCGAUAUCUCACGGCCAUGUGCGGAGCGGCAGCAUCAAAAUAUAGAAGUGUUCGCUUCUUCCCGCUCACCAUCUCUUCAUCUGUGGAAGGUUUCUGAACCUCCACAACAUCUUCAAAUGUGAAGUCCUCACGCUGGUAGAGGACAAAAGGCACGCCACGGGGAAGGUGGUGAGCUUUCAGGGCCUGGGAUAUCUUGGUGACGGCGAUCACAUCAUCCGCCAUCAAGCCCAGAUUCACACUCAGCUUCGCACAAUUCGGAUCAGCCCAAACUUCCUGACUCCCGGGAAGAAACUCAGAAUUAACAAAAAUGAACUCCUUCUUCCACACUCCAUGGUUAGUUGGAAGAUCAUCGACCAAGUUACGAUCGAGGUUUCGUCGCGCCAACCCGAGACGACCCGAUCCAACCUUCCCAUCCUUGCACAACUUGUAGUAGUUGAGGAAGAGGUAUGGGGUGGGGGUAACACCUAGACUCCAACAAACGUUGAGGAACCCUCUCAACGUCACAAAUAAUCCCACUGGUAGUUGUGUCAACGAGACUUCAAAAGCAAGCAACAAUUCACUCAUGAGCUCCGGAAUGGGAAGCUCAGGGAAAUGCUUGAAGUACAUCUUGGGUAGAGCCUGGAACCCCGGUGGUGGAAGGUUCGCAGGCUGGUAUUGUGACAUCCAAAAGCAGAGAUGUCCAGAAAUCUUCAUCGCCCUCAAAAGAUCUCGAGCCUUUUUUGCACUGAGGAUGGAGAGGGGAUGCACUUCAGAUUAACGCGUAAGCGUCGCCACAGUCAUAACUUGUUCAAAUCGACUCUCGCCCGAGCGGUCGACAGGGAGCAGUUGCGUCACGCCAUUGACAUACGUUUCACAAUGCGCAUAUCCGGUCAGAUUCACGACCCCAGUAUAGUUUGGGAGAUCAGCAUAGGGAUCUCGACCUAAAUCCAUCUCGACUGGAGAUGGAGGAGUUCUCUCUCUUUCACGACGACCCUCAUCUGGAGCAGGGUCGGAAAUUCCACGAUCAAUGACGAGUUCCUCGUCGAAGUUUACAUUAUGAGGAUUCUCGGCCUCCUCUUGGCCAGACACAUAGAUUUUGCCUUUACCAUGGCCUCGUCGUCUCUUCUUCUUUUUUGAACCAACGUCCUGAGAUGGUCGCUUAUUAGGGUUCACCCCAGACACGAUGACACCCUCGGAAUUCACCAUCAGUGGCGCAGUAGUUGAAUUAUCCACUGUUUGAAUGGGAAUCGCCGACUCAUCUACCAGAGUCGUCGAUUCAACUGGCCUAGUCGCCGACUCAUAACGAAUGUUUGAGGCCUCAGAGUCGGUGGCCAACUUUUCCCUCCUCUUGAAGGAAGUCUUCUUCUUUGAAACCCUGGGAAUCGGCAACCCCGAAGAGGGAAUCGUCGACUUACCAGGGAUUUCUCCCUACUCAGCCCCUGGCAUGACUUCCGGAACCUUGUCAGGAAUCGUCGACCCCACAGAGGGAAUCGUCAACCCAGCCAGAGGCUCCAACAGCUCGUGCACAGAAGCACUCAAAUGAUCAUCAGAGGAUGGAACAACCGGAAUCGACGAUUCAACGUCUCUGGGAGGAGACGGAAUCGGCAACUCGACGGCAUUUAACACCUCGACGAGUGUUUCAUCAGACAUCUCCGCUACCAUAGCGGCGGCCUCGGCAUCAGUAAGGUGAGGAUUAGUUCUUGCCAUCUCUCAGAGUCGUCAAUUAAAGUUGAAUUGAACUGGGGAAUCGGCGACAAAAGGAUCUAGGGUUUUGAUACGCGAUUCGAAUUGGGGAAAAGUGGAGUGAGAAGUGUGAAACGCUCACCACUAUUUAUAGCCCUUGGGAAAAUUGCAAAAACCCCUUAGAAAAUCCAAAAAUUGCAAGGGAGGGAAUCGGAAAUCGAUCUCCAAAUCCCUGAAAUCACGCCCGAGUAGACGAUCGUCGAUUCCGGUGGCUAUUUCGCAUAUUUGUGAGAUAUGUUUCCUUAAUUGGAAAAUCUGCAAAAAUUUUCCAAAUAUCUUCAAGGAUCUUCUGAUGGAUCCUACGUUUCGCAAUCAGGAGUCGACGAUUCCCAUGCAAAAAUUCUCCAAAUAUCUCCAAGGAUCUUCUGAGAGAUCCUACGUUCCACAAUCAAGAGUCGACGAUUCUCAGAGGGAGUCGCCGACUCAAGAGGGAAAAUUUCAAAACAACCCUCACAGUUAGUCAGUUACCCAAAACUUAGGAGUCGACGAUUGGGGCACCCAGUCGCCGACUCAGGGUAUCACAUUUUCAGAAGGGAAUAUUGGUGAGACAUGCCUGAUUACACCAGUCACUACCCAUCAACGCCUCUCAACAAGGACUAGGGCUCCGUCGCUAUGGCAGGACCCCUGGAGAGCUCCCACGGUGCGGAACACGUUCAUCGUCCAGAUCGCCGAGUUAGCCCGUAAAGUCGCCCGAUUGGACUACCAAGUCGCCGACAUACAGGAUAACUCGCCGAGUUAAGGCAAGAUCGGCAGUAUGGUAGACUGCACAUCUUGGCCCUAGAAACUCGCCGAGUUAGCCCUUAACUAGGCGAUUUCCAUACCUGAAUCGGCGACUUACGACCGUUACUCGGCGGCAGCCAACGUCAUAAAUGUUACCAUAUAUGACCAUAGGCGCGAUCUCCGCCGUUGAGUGCGCCCUCCGAGACCCUAUAAAAAGGGUCCCAAGGGGACAUUCAAAGGCACGAUUCAAGUUCCACUCUCACACCAGAGCACCACUACGAAACUCGCCGAUUCUCACUAGAAUCGCCUAGUUUCCACUUGCAGGUAUUUGACGUAGAGCGUGCGUCGUGGACUCCAAAGCCUCCGGCAUCAACCUCGCACCACCGCGAGCCCUGGUAGCAGAUUCAGUGCUUCAUCAAGUAUCACAAACUCUCCCCGACACUUCUGCCGCUUCGGCCAAAAGUCGUCGCAUUUCAAGAGAGAGUAUCACAAGCUCUCUCCAGCAUCAGGGUUCAAAAUUGCAAAGGCAACCCUCGAGUUUCGAAUAUUUUUUAGUUUCGAAUACUCAAGUACUUCGAAAACCACUCAUUCCAACGAUUAUGUGUCGCAAAGGCACGAUUUUCGAGGGAGAGUAUCACAAGCUCUCCGACACUUCUGUCGCUUCGGCCAGAAGUCGUCACAUUUUGAGGGGGAGUAUCACAAGUACUCCCGACGCUUCUGUCACUUCGGCCAGAAGUCGUCACAUUUUGAGGGUAGUAUCGCAAACUCUCCUGACACUUUUGUCGCUUCGGCCAGAAGUCGUCACAUUUCGAGGGGGAGUAUCACAAGUACUCCCGAUGCUUCUGUCGUUUCGGGCAGAAGUCGUCACAUUUCGAGGGGGAGUAUCACAAACUCUCCCGACACUUCUGUCGCUCCGGCCAGAAGUCGUCAAAGUAUCUUGAGCACGGUAAAAUCUGUCGCUUCGGUAAGAUUUACCAAGGAUCAAUUUGAGCAAAGGAGAAGCAUCAAGGAAGGUAAAAUCGCACGGUAAGUUCAAUAAGUAAAUAAAAUAUGCGUUUUGGACUGAUCAAGUUGUUUUGCAGGAUGUUUUCUUUUUUGCAGGAAAGGUUCUAAUAGUGAACCAGACUCUGAUAGUGAUUCAGACUCUGAUAGUGAGUCAAUCUAUUUUGUCGCUUUGGCCUUAAUAGAUCCAGGUCCACUUUGUCGCUUUGGCCUUAAUGGACCAAGAAUUAUGUUGUCGCUUUGGUCUCAAUAAUUCUUCUAUCUCGUCGCUUUGGCCUUGAUAAACUUGGAGAUCAUUUCGUCGUUUUGGCCUUAAUGAUCUCGACCCAUCUUGUCGCUUUGUCCUAUGGGGUAACCGUUGUUGCGGACAUAAAGUCGCUCUUGAUCAGGGUGGACUAUAAACACCAGUUCUGAUAGUGAACUAGGUUCUAAUAGUGAACCAGACUCUAAUAGUGAGUCAUACUAUGAUAGUGAGUCAAUCUAUUUUGUCGCUUUGGCCUUAAUAGAUCCAGGUCCACUUUGUCGCUUUGGCCUUAAUGGACCAAGAAUUAUGUUGUCGCUUUGGCAUCUAUAAUUCUUCUAUCUCAUCGCUUUAGCCUUGAUAAACUUGGAGAUCAUUUCGUCGCUUUGCCUUAAUGAUCUCGACCCAUCUUGUCGCUUUGGCCUAUAGGGUAACCGUCGUUGCGGAAUCCACGCAUUCUGUCGCUCUUGAUCAGGGUGGAUUAUAAACACCAGUUCUGAUAGUGAAUCCACGCAUUCUGUCGCUUCGGCCAGAAUCCACACAGCAAAAGUCGCUCUUGAUCAGAGUAGGAUUAUAAUCACGUAGUUCCGUUGGCCUAGAACUAGAUUCUGACAGUGAAUCAAUCCAUCUGAUAGUGCAUGGAUCACGCAGAGUCAUUGUGUCGCUGUGAACGCAAUGACUCGAUCCCAUCUUAUCGCUUUGGCCUUGAUGCGGAUGAUCUUGCUUGGGGGGGGGAUACUAGCGGUACACGCAUGUUUCUUGUGCUCUCUUCAGGGGGGAGUACUGGUAAGACAUGCCUGAUUACGUCAGUCACUCCUAGCAACGCCCUUCAACAAGGACUAAGGUUCGUCGCUUUAUGCCGGACCCCCGGAGAGAUCCACGGUUGCGGGAAAGUGUCUACGUCAAGUACUCAAGUCAACACUGGGAAUCGGCGACUGGGACUACCAAGUCGCCGACUCCAGAGAUGAGCCACCGAUUCCAGGCCUCAUUGGUCAGUUCUGGUAGGCUUCCAACCUGGCUCAUGGGGAAUCGAUGGCUUCACCCUGAGUCNNNNNNNNNNNNNNNNNNNNNNNNNNNNNNNNNNNNNNNNNNNNNNNNNNNNNNNNNNNNNNNNNNNNNNNNNNNNNNNNNNNNNNNNNNNNNNNNNNNNNNNNNNNNNNNNNNNNNNNNNNNNNNNNNNNNNNNNNNNNNNNNNNNNNNNNNNNNNNNNNNNNNNNNNNNNNNNNNNNNNNNNNNNNNNNNNNNNNNNNNNNNNNNNNNNNNNNNNNNNNNNNNNNNNNNNNNNNNNNNNNNNNNNNNNNNNNNNNNNNNNNNNNNNNNNNNNNNNNNNNNNNNNNNNNNNNNNNNNNNNNNNNNNNNNNNNNNNNNNNNNNNNNNNNNNNNNNNNNNNNNNNNNNNNNNNNNNNNNNNNNNNNNNNNNNNNNNNNNNNNNNNNNNNNNNNNNNNNNNNNNNNNNNNNNNNNNNNNNNNNNNNNNNNNNNNNNNNNNNNNNNNNNNNNNNNNNNNNNNNNNNNNNNNNNNNNNNAUAAAUGAUUGUAUUGUCGAAUAAUCGAUAAAUGGUUGGAUCGAUAUAUUUUUAAAUGAAUGGUUAAUAUAUAUUUGGAUGAAUGGUUGAAUAUAUAUUUGGAUGAAUGGUUAAAUAUAUUUUUGGAUGAAUUGUUAAAUAUCGUUUUGGAUGAAUGGUUAAAUAUAUUUUUUAAUGAUUGACUUAAUAUAUGUUUAGAUAAAUGUAUAUUAUAUAUAUUUUUUAUUGUAACAGGUUAUAUGAAUGAGUUUUUGUAAGGUCCUAAUGGAAACCCAUGUAAAACAAAAUUAUUAUUUUUUCGCCUUAAAAAUUUGCGACCAACUAGUUUGUCGCUAAGUGUAAUUCAUCCAAAAUUUUGUUUGGUCUUAAAAAUCUAAAUACUAGUAAAUAACGACCAACCAGGUGUUCGCCUAUAAUUUCGCGUCAAAUUUUUGUGGCCAACCAUGUUGGUCGCCCUUAUGUUGGAGGAAAUGUAUGUGACCAACCAAGUUCGUCACCCUUAUGUUGACGCCAAAUUUUUGUGACCAACCAAGUUGGCCGCCCUUAUGUUGGCGCCAAUUUUUUAGGACCAACGAAGUUGGUCGCUUUUAUGUUAGCGCCAAUUUUUUGCGACCAACCAAGUUGGUCGCCCUAAUGUUGGCGCUAAAUUGGUGCGAUCAAACAAGUUCGUCACCCUUAUGUUGGCGCCAAAUUUUUGGGACCAACCAAGUUGGUCGCCCUAAUGUUGGCGUCAAAAUUUUUGCGACCAACCAAGUUGGUCACCCUUAUAUUGGUGCCAAAUUUUUGGGACCAACCACCCUUUGUUGGUGCCAAAAAUUUGGUCAGAUUUAGAUUUAUUGAGCGACCAACCAAAUUGGUCACCUUCAAGAGACCAACUCAAAAAGUUGGUCGCUUAUAGAUCACUAGCGACGGGGUUUCUUACGACUAACGUAGUGACCAAAAAGUCGAUCAUUUUUUUCUAUAAACGACCAACUUAUGUCUUUUUGCGACCAACUUGGUUGGUCGUAAAGAAAGCCUUUUUCUUGUAGUGUAGAGAGCCACUAGAUUUGGAUGUAGAUAGUUGCAUGUUGGGUUAUAGUGUCACCAUAACCCAAUCUCCUACUAUAAGUAUUGUUUCUCUUCUAGAUUUCUCUGCCAAGUCCUUCAUAUAUUAUCGUGAUUUUUUUAGGCAUGAUUUUACAGUAGACUUGAUGAUAUCUUCUCUUCUGUUUAAUUCAGAUUAUACAACUUCUAGAGAGGAUGAUUUUCUUAUAAUUAAAUGACGGUACGCAAGAGGGAUCACAGGUUACGUUCCUCCAGUAGAUACACUACUCCCAAGACACGAUAGGCUAGACAAGCUAGCAGAUCCCCUACUCAGACGAGACAGAGAAGAUCCCUUACUACCAGGAGACAAUGAGAUUGAUAAGAUAGAUACCGGUAUUGGAAUAUAUAUGAUAUAGAUAAUUCAAUAUAUAUUUAAUAUACAAAAGUAGUAACAAGAUAACAAACCCCACUCACAUAAUUGUGGGUUUGUUAUCCUCAUGUGUAUAUAAAUACCUCUCUUAUACUCAAGGCAAUUACAACAUUAUUUGCCCAAAAUCCUACCUCCACACUUACUUCUCAAAACGUUGGUUUCUCCAUGGCCUUCUUUGGUUCAUCCUCAUUCUCCAUAGACAACCAAUCCAACAUGGUAUCAUCCGCCGAUGUCGAUCCUGUGGCUUCAUCAAACGCAAAUCCGCUGCAUUCCACAAUACCGAUCGAUCAUCCUUCAUUGAUAAUUCCAGCAAUUGCUGAUCCAAAUGGAUCCAAUCUAGCAAUGCUCCCUCAACCAAUGUUGGCUGGAUCCCCAUCUUUUGAAUCCAUCCAGAGUUUCCUCCAUAUCAAACUAUCGCCAACAAACUACCUCUUAUGGAGGAUGCAAUUCAAUCCAUUACUAAAUUGCUUUGAUCUGAAAUCUAUGAUUGAUAAAUCAAUCUCCUCCUCUCCUACGCCCUCCCUUCAAUGCCCGAUCUAUAUGGCUUGGUGGCGUAAGGACCAACUAUUGAUAAGUUGGAUUUUAUCCUCUUUAUCGGAGGAGGUGCUCCCCACGGUGUUGGGACUCGAAUCUGCCGCUGCAAUCUGGGAUGCUCUAGCAAUGUCCUAUGGGCGACCAUCGGAGUUGCGAAUUAUCCAACUUCAAAUGCAGCUACAGAACACCAAACACGCCGCCGGCGAGGACGUUUCCGUUUUCCUCCGGCGAGCCAAGCUCCUGGCCGACGAACUGGCAGCGGCUGGAGCAUCCGUUCCCACCCGCAUCUUCAACGCGACCAUCUACAAUAAUCUGGGACCAGACUUCGGCGAAGCAGUGCCUGUUCUUUGUCAGAUUAUUUUGGAGCAGCAGAGUAUUGUUGUGGCUGCUCGGAAAACCUUGUUCGAGGAGUGGUCUGUUGGAGAACUUUCUCUUAGGGAACCUGCUAUGGUUGCGAGACGUGGUCACCGUCGGAGGCGUUCCAGUUGUGCUAGAUGUCCCAUAGUUGAUGUUCUUAGACGGCUUUACCGUCGUAUCAACUUUAAUUAGAAACUUGUAUUGAUAUAUUCUUUUAAAUAUCGACAUGUAUUACGAAAUGUCGAGUUGUUUCUCUUUAUUUUUUGAUCGAGAAAUCGAGCCGUGUUGUAGACUUGUUUAAGAUGUCGAGCCUUUAAACGUCGACUGACGUUCAAAUCUCGCAUUAUGAUUCUCACAUCUACGGGUCCAGAUGUCAAGCUGCAUUUACAAAAUGUCGAGCCUUCGAGCAUCGACCGAUGUCAAAAUCUCGCGUCGUGAUUUUCAAACCUACGGUCCANNNNNNNNNNNNNNNNNNNNNNNNNNNNNNNNNNNNNNNNNNNNNNNNNNNNNNNNNNNNNNNNNNNNNNNNNNNNNNNNNNNNNNNNNNNNNNNNNNNNUGGGAGGGGAAACGGAUCUGGUUCUGGUCGUGGAUCUGGAUCUGCCUCCACCUCAACGUACAAUGAUUACACCAGUGCGAGCGGAAGUGGUGGAGGUGGUGGCAGUGGAAGUGCUUCGAGUAAAGGAAACGGUAGUGCUUCCGGAUAUGGAAGUGGAUCGGGUUCUGGUUACGGCAAUGCCAAUUAAUCAAUGUUGAUCUGCGUCGUUUCUCCUAUAUAUGGGCUAUGGUCUAGUCGUCUAUAAUAAUUUACAUAUAAUGGUUUCUUUGUCUAUUUUCAAUAAUUAUAAUU